RNAcentral lists this long non-coding RNA (100004 nucleotides) under Populus tremula. RNAcentral's name for it is "long non-coding RNA (PTRE_LNC002252)". The stretch from base 72163 to 72252 matches the Rfam family "MIR478 microRNA precursor family". Lineage: Eukaryota; Viridiplantae; Streptophyta; Magnoliopsida; Malpighiales; Salicaceae. The record is from RNAcentral.
UUUUCUCCCGUGAGAAGCUCCACAAGAACUACCCCAAAGCUGAAGACAUCGCUCCUUGCGGUUAAAAUACCCGUCAUAAGAUACUCUGGAUCCAGGUAGCCUAAAGUCCCUUGAAUUUUUGUUGCUAUAAUGGUUUGGUCUGAAGAAAUCAGCACUGAAGCUCCAAAAUCUGCAACCUUUGCCGUGUGGUUGUUGUCUAAGAGUAUGUUCACCGACUUGACAUCUCCAUGAAUAAUCGGAGGGUCUGCAAGAGAAUGCAGGUAAUUAAGCGCAAGGGCAAUCUCUGAUGCUAUCCUCAGGCGAUUGCUCCAGGAAGCUAGUAACUGCGACGUUUGUCAUGUAUGUGCUUGAAAAGAGUUCCAUUUGAAAUGAACUCAUCAACUAACAAUGGCACUUUGGUCUCCAAACACAGGCCCAAGAGCUUCACCACGUUCUUGUGAUUGACCUGUGAGACAACGCCCAUUUCCUUUUGAAAUUCCUCAUUCAUCUGAGCCUUGUCUACCCCUUUAAACUUCUUGACUGCAACUUGGACAUCAUCUGCUAGAACUCCUCUGUAAACAGAACCAAAACCACCUUCUCCAAGUUUCUGAUCAUCAUCAUAGUUUUUUGUUGCCUUUUCCAGCUGCGCCUCGCUGAAAAUCCUUACUCGUUGGUGCUUUAAAACCAUUCCCCCGUUCUCCCUGAAGUUUCUAUCCUUCUUCCUUUUCUUGCACAUCAUGUACAGUAGAACACAAAUGAUCACAAGCAAAAUGGCUGCUCCAAUAGCUGCAUACCAAUGUCAAAGAAAAAUUAUUGUUGCUUUAAACACAAAUCUAGAGAUUUCUUCUCUAACCUUUUACCGAGUGAUAUAUGGCCAUUAGUAUCAUCAUAAGAGCAUCUAAAUCGCAUUUUUUUUUACUGUUCUCAGAUUAAGUUUUUUUGCACACCAAGACGUAAUUCCCUUUUCCGAUCCAGCUAAAGUCAAGCAAUGCAAGUUGGGAUUAGGAGAUUCAUGAAUAUUCAUUAUAUAUGCUAGUCUUUUUAAUCAUAUACUUAUUGAAAAUCAUCAAAAAAAGAAGAACCAUACAUGCAUAGAUAUAAAUGCCUGUUCUUAUUGUUAAUUGUCUAUAAAGCUGAAGCUCGAGAAUUACAUGUUGAAUAUUAAACUCAAUCUAGAUGGUCAAGGAAGACAACCACCAUUUGCAGCCACAGCUGCCACCAGCCGCAGCCGCCAGCUACUAGCUGCCACAGCCGCCAGCCGCCAGCUGCCUUCACACUUGAAGGUUGAAUUUUCUAGUUUUUUGAUUUCGUGUAUGAAUAGAGUGCCCAGCUUCUGUUAAUGUGUAUGGAGAGAAUUGAGAGAAACACUAGAAAGAGAAAAAGAGAGAGAGAGGGCGUGUAUUGUGUUAAGCUUUUGUUGUUUAAUUGUAAGCUUCGGUUUCUUGUAAUAAAACCUUGUGUUUUAUCCCCUCUGAGUGUUUCAAAGCCACCACCAGUGGUUUCUCCCACCAACAAUUGGUAUCAGAGCCUCGUUCGUUAGAAAACAGAAGAGUUUUGGGGUAUAUCCGAAUUUUCAAAGUUGUCAAAAACAAGUUUUGAUAAUUCCACAGUGUAGAGCUCAUCAAGAGGAACUCACUGUCGCAAGAAUAAGCCUGAUCGGAGACCACGGUGAGCCACACGCGCGGCCUGAAGAUUCUGCACAAACGCCCACGCGCCCAGAGGUAGACGACGACUGAUCCACACGCGCGCCAUAUUUGAGCCGCGCCGAGCCGUUCACGCCGAGUCCAAGCCGAGCCGAGAGCCGUGCCGUACAGCGCGCCGAGAGAAUAUUUCCCAGAAUAUUCCUGGUUCAACCCAGCGAACCGCCCGCCUUACAUAAUUGGUUUUUUGAUCGGUUCACCCAUUUUUUGACCCGAUUUCAACAAAGUCAGACCGGUUCCCUACUAUUUGGACCAUUCUGGAUCGAUCUACAGUGUCCGUUUGGCCAAAUUCGGCUCCCAGAAGGUGAUAUAGUCAUUAAAAGAGCAAAAUAACUAUAGAAAGUACACAUACACUCAUCCCGAAGCUGACCAAAGACAAUUAUGAUAGUUGGUGCAUCAGAUUGAAGGCAUUCCUUUGUUCACAAGAGUGUUUGGAUAUUGUACAACAUGGUUAUGAUGAACCAGAGUCCAAAGAAGCAGAAGAUGCUUUACAAGAGGCACAAAAGCAAGCCCUCAAAGUCAACAGAAAGAAAGACAACAAAGCAAAGACCAUCAUCUAUCAGGGUGUUGAUGAAGACACAUUCGAGAUCAUAGCUUCCGCUGAAACAUCACAUGAUAUAUGGGAGGCUCUCCAACAGAAAUACAAAGGUGCUGACAGAAUCAAGAAGAUUCGUCUUCAAUCUUUACGAGGUGAAUUUGAGUUAUUGCAAAUGAAGUCCUCAUAAUCUAUUUCUGAUUAUCACACAAGGAUUAUGGUAAUAGUCAACCAGAUGAGGAGAAAUGAAGAAGCCCUCAUCGAUUCUCGAAUUACUGAGAAAAUUUUGAGAUCCCUAGAUCCAAAAUUUGAUUUUGUUGUUGUCGCAAUUGAAGAAUCCAAGGAAGUGGACAAGUUGACAGUUGAUGAGCUUAUGAGUUCGUUGCAAGCUCAUGAGCAGAAGAUAGUAAAGCGAAAUGAAGAUAAGGCCAUCGAGCAUGCCUUACAAGCAAAGCUGUCUCUCAAAGACAGAUAUGAGCAAGGGGAGACUUCAACAAGUGGCUACACUACUCAAGCAGGAAGUUAACAAUCUAGAGGAGGAUUUCAGAGAUUCCAAGGAAGAGGUUCUUGGAAUACAAGCUUUAAAGGAAGAGGUGGCAGAAACAUCACCAGAGGAGGCCGAGGACAACAAGCAUUCACUCUUAGAGGAAGAGGAGGCGGUUACAAUAACCGUGACAAGAGGAAUAUCCAAUGUUAUAGUUGCAAUCAAUUUGGGCACUAUAGCACUGAAUGCAGAAGGAAAGCUCCGUUGGAGAUACGCGAGCAAGCCAACUAUGUAGAGAAGGAUGAUAGAGAAGAAGCUGCAUUUCUUGUCCAACAAGGACUUGGCGAGAAACAGGAAAAUACAUGGUAUCUAGAUACUAGAGCCAGCAAUCACAUGUGCGGCUACCGAGAGUUAUUUGGCGAUCUAGAUGAGACCAAGCAAGGUCUAGUUACUUUUGGAGAUACCACAAAGGUUCCAUUCAAAGGUAAAGGCAGCAUCCCAAUUAAGUUGAAGAACGACGAUUCCAGCUACAUCGCCGAUGUGUAUUAUGUCCCAGCCAUAAAGCAGAACCUGAUCAGCUUAGGUCAACUUUUGGAGAGAGGAUAUACUUUUUACUCGAAGAAUUGUCAUCUGACAAUUAGAGACAACAAUUGGAGAUUAAUGGCCUACGUGAAAAUGUCUAAGAAUAGGAUGUUUCCUUUGAACAUCCAGUAUGAUGCAGCAAGGUGUUUGAGUGCCAUCACCAACAGUGAAGAAUGGCUUUGGCACCUGAGGCUUGGACUUCUGAAUUUCACAAGUCUGAAGAUGCUAGCAAGCAAGAAGAUGGUCAAAGGUUUGCCUCACAUUGAUCAUCCAGAUGAAGUCUGUGAGAGUUGUGUCCUCAGCAAACAUCACAGAUCCAGUUUUGCCAAAGAAGUCAACUGGAGAGCAAAGAGGCCACUGGAGUUAGUACACACAGAUGUGUGUGGCCCAAUAACGCCUAUGUCGACUGGACAAAAUAGGUACUUCCUCACUUUUACUGAUGAUUUUAGUAGAAAGACGUGGAUAUACUUUCUGAAGAGGAAGUCAAAGUAUUCAAUUGUUUUAAAGAUUUUAAAGCAAUUGUGUAGAAGCAAAGUGGCUACAUGAUCAGAACCGUGAGAUCUGAUCAAGGUGGAGAAUAUACAACCAAUGACUUUGAAGCCUUUUGUACACAACAAGGCAUCCGACAUCAAACGAUACCAGCUUAUACACCACAGCUGAAUGGUGUAGCCGAGAGGAAGAAUCGAACGAUUCUUGACAUGGCCAGAAGUUUGCUCAAAGCAAAGAAGCUGCCUAAGCAAUACUGGGCUGAAGCUGUAUCAUGUGCAGUGUAUCUAUUGAAUCGCUGCCCAACCAGAAGUUUGCAAGGAGUCAUUCCAGAAGAAGCAUGGAGUGGUCACAAACCAAGUGUAACUCAUCUACGAGUCUUUGGUUGUGUGGCAUAUGCAAAGAUCCCAGAUACAAGAAGGAGAAAGCUCGAUGAUAAAAGCGAGAAAUGCAUCUUUGUCGUAUAUUGUGAAAGAAGGAUGGGAUACAAGCUGUAUAAUCCCAUCACGAAGAAGGUGAUUAUGAGUAGAGAUGUUAUCUUUGAAGAAGAUAAAUCUUGGGAAUGGAAUGAUGAUCAAGAAGCAGUCAAAUGGAUCAAUCUUGAUUUGAUCCUUGAAGGUGAAGAAGUACCAACAGUACUUGUAGAAGAACCGAUUGUGCCAGCAUCUGAACCACAAAGUCCGGUGUUUAUACCAGCAGCUGAACCACAAAGUCCGGUACACAGAUUCCCUGUAUUCAACAGGAGGAACACACCAGGAGCAUCAUCAUCAACACCACCAUCAGCAUCCUCAUCAGAAGGACCAAGAAGGAUGCGAAAUCUUGAAGAGUUGUACGAUGCCACUCAAGUCAUGGAAGAUACAACUCUGUUUUGUUUCCAUGCAGAUAGUGACCCAUUAAGCUUAAAUAAAGUUGUCACUGAAGAGAAAUGGAUUAAAGCAAUGGAUGAAGAAAUACAUGCCAUUGAGAAGAAAGAUACCUGGAAGCUGACUUAUCCACCAGAAAACAAGAAAGCAAAAGGUGUCAAAUGGGUCUACAAGACGAAAGCCAAAUUAGUGGAUAAAGGCUACAAGCAGAGAGAAGCCAAAUUCAAUCUAGAUGGUCAAGGAAGGCAACCACCACUUGCAGCCACAGCUGCCACCAACCGACCAGCCACCAGCCGCAGCCGCCAGCCGCCUUCACACUUGAAGGUUGAAUUUUCUAGUUUUUUGAUUUCGUGUAUAAAUAGAGUGCCCAGCUUCUGUUAAUGUGUGUGGAGAGAAUUGAGAGAAACACUAGAAAGAGAAAGAGAGAGAGAGGGCGUGUAUUGUGUUAAGCUUUUGUUGUUUAAUUAUAAGCUUCGAUUUCUUGUAAUAAAACCUUGUGUUUUAUCCCCUCUGAGUGUUUCAAAGCCACCACCAGUAGUUUCUCCCACCAACAUUACAGACUCGGCCAGUAAUGGCUACGAUGCUCUUCAUAACGGAGAAACUCAUAACAAGAUUAAUUCCAAGGUCACUUCCGUACCUGCAAUUAAUGUGAUGAUAUCAAGUCCUUGACAACCUAUUUUAACAUCACCAUGCAUACCAAGUGGACAUCGACACUUGUAAUUCCCAAUGGUGUUCUUGCAUCUACCAUGACAUGGAUAGCUUUCUGGAUCCUUGCACUCAUCGAUAUCUAAAUGUUAAAAAAAGUAGUGAGUAACAAACCGCUACUAUUUUAUGCUUAAUCAUGGAAUGAAGAUUGAGAUUGAUGGAUGUUUAGUACUUAAAUACUUUGAAACUAUAUCAUGCAACCAUUUUAAUUAAAAAUCUCAAACUGUUUAAAGAAUUUUCAAAAAUAAAUUUAUAUUACUCUGUAGGCUAGUUGCUUAUAAAGCUACAACUCGGGAAUUAUAGAUAGUGCAAGUAAUGGCUGCAACGCCUCAAAACGGAGAAGCUCAUAACAAGAUUAAUUCCAAGGUCACUUACGUACCUGUAAUUAAUGUGAUGAUACCAAGUCCUUGACAACCUAUUUUACCAUCACCAUACAUACCAAGUGGACAUCGACACUUGUAAUUCCCAAUGGUGUUCUUGCAUCUACCAUGACAUGGAUAGCUUUCUGGAUCCUUGCACUCAUCGAUAUCUAAAUGUUGAAAAAAGUAGCGAGUAAAAUCUGAUUAUAAAUUCGAAAAAUAAAUUAUAUAAAAAAUAAAUCGUGCCAAUUAAAUGGAUAUGAUUAGGCAAUGAAAGAUUUGCAUGUAUAUUAACCAAUUGGUCUAGCAUGAAACUCAGGUAGUGCUUAAGUUGAAAUGUUUAAUAAAAAACACUAAUCAUGAGAUGGAAAUUUUAAGCAAGCUCAAAUUUCAAACUAGGCCACAUGAUUUUUUUUAUUAUUAUUACACAUGACGAGAGACAAACAGGGAAAGAGCAUAACCUGCAAAAGCAUAUAUAAAAAGUACUAAUAAUGGAAAUCAUACCAAAAAUCAAUAACCAGUUUACCUUGGCAUCCUUCUUGGAGAUAGGGAUUUCCUUCGAACCCUUCAUUGCAUAAGCAACGAUAUCCUUGACCACUCUCCGGGUACGUGCAAUUUGCAUUAGCGCCACAAGCAUAUGCACUUGCAUUAGCUUUAGCCUGCUCGCAAGUCUCAUUUUUAACUACCCAUUCAAUCACAAUAUCUGUUCUAUAUGCAUCUUUUCCAUAUUUUGGCUUGCGAGAGAGCGGCCAAUCUGAAAUCUUCAAGGAGUUCUUGUCCACUAAAAAAGCAAAUCCACAGAGAUUGAAGUCCGAAACGUUCGUGUAGUUGUAAAAACUAAAUAAUGAAAUAUCAAGUGAUUUGAGGCCCUUGGGGAUUGAGCUUUGGCAGCAUCCAGAACCUGAGCAAGGAUUUACAUCGGACAUGCUCACAUAUUCUGUGCACAAGGAGAGACAGGCAGCUCCAUAUGUGAACUCAUAGUUGGUCACCUGGGCAAAGGUAUCGCAACCAAUAGCUGUGAAGAUAUUUCGGAGGUGUGAGAGCAUGAAGGGGCCUGAUCCAAGGGUCAUAUACUGUGGGAAAGAGUCUAUCUGUAUCCCUGAUUUGUUAUAGCAUUUGAAUGCUGCAUCAAUGCCUAGAGUUACUGUGCCCUCCAGCUGUGAUAUAUUGUGAAUAGCCAUGCCAGUUCCAAACCACAGCUGUGAUUUGGAGAUCUUCUGGUUUGAUAGUUGCAAGGAAUUUCCCGGUGACUAUAGAUUGGUAAAGAAACUAGGAACUUUGGGGAAAAGAUUGAGACAAUGGAACAAAUCCACCUUCGGUAAUCAAAAUUCAAAACUUGCAGACAUUCAGAACUCCAUCACAACCAUCGAAGACUUAAGCGAGGUACGCCUCUUGUCUGAGACUGAAAAAACAAAGCUCAAGAAUCUAAACUCUGAACUUUGGGAGGUUAGUAGGAAUGUCGAGGGCAUUUGGAGGCAGAAAUCCCAGCAAAACUGGUGCAAAAUGGGGGAUAAAAACACUCGGUUCUUCCAUCUUUCGGCAAGUUUGAGGAAUGGUCGGAACCACAUUAGCAAGAUUGAGCAGAAUGGCAGAUUUUUAGACUCUCCAAAUGACAUCAAAGAGGGUGCUGUCAACUUCUUCUCAACUCUGUUUGCCAAGCCACAAUGCAGAAGAAUUGAAAUGGGAGACUCAGGGUUCUCUAAAAUUUCAGAAGAAAGUUCAGUUUGGUUAGAAAGACUACCUUCAUUGGAGGAAGUGAAGCAAGCCGUUUGGGAUUGUGAUGGUUCAAAAGCCCCCGGUCCUGACGGGUUCACCUUCUCCUUCUAUAAAAAGGAAUGGAAUCUUAUCAGCCCUGAAUCUUUGUGAUGGUCACAGAAUUUUUCAGAACAGGUAAAUUACCAAAGGGGAUCGGCUCGUCCUUCGUGACUUUGAUUCCAAAGACCAAGAGGCCGAGCACUUUCUCCCAAUUUCGACCAAUUAGUUUGAUUCAUGGGUUAUAUAAAAUAGUGGCAAAGCUCUUGUCCAUUAGGCUCCGAAGCAUUCUACCAGAUGUGAUAAGUGUAAACCAGUCUGCUUUCAUUGCCGGGCGUCAGAUUCUAGAUGGGUUCAUGAUAGCAAACGAGGUUGUCCAUAGUAUUCGUAGCAAAAAGGACCACGAGUUUUUGCUGAAGGUAGAUUUUCAUAAAGCCUUCGACUCGAUUUUAUGGGAGCAUAUCGAUUCUACCAUGGGUUAUAUGGGUUUUGGAUCUCACUGGAGGAAACUGAUCUUUGAAUGCAUGUCCACUUCUAAAUUGGCCAUCCUGAUUAAUGGCUCACCAAGCAGAGAAUUCAGUAUGGAGAGGGGUCUCAGGCAAGGGGACCCUCUCUCUCCUUUCCUUUUUGACAUAGCAGUUCAGGGGUUAACAGUUCUAUUCAACAGGGCAUCAGAUUUAGGUUACUUUAAAGGUUUACAGACUUCGCAAGGACAUCACAUAACCCAUUUGCAAUAUGCAGAUGACACUCUGAUUUUCCUGUCGAAUGAUUAUACCUCUCUACUGCAUGUCAAGAGGAUCCUCCGCUGGUUUGAGAUCAUUUCAGGACUGAAAGUUAAUUUCUAUAAAAGCUCACUUAUAGGAAUUAAUUUGGAUAACGAAUACACUUCAGGUCUGGCUAACACAAUUUUCUAUCGCAGUGACUCCUUCCCAGUCAGAUACCUUGGGUUGCCUCUUGGUGCUAACCCAAAUAGGCUCUCCACUUGGAAACCGGUAUUGUCCACAAUCAGAGCAAAGUUAAGCAAAUGGAAAUGGAAGUUUUUGAGCAUGGCCGGUGUCGCUCCCCAAAAAAAAUCAGUGCGCGGCAUCGGCUGGCGAUUUAAAUCUCGUUUGUUGUGUUUGCUUUGAAUUGGUUCGUUGGAGUCGCCACCUAGUAAUUGAAUGCGGGCUACUAGGAAACCGGAUGUACUGGUCUUGUCAGAGAUUCGCGGGUAAGGGACUGGUUGUGGCUAGGGAAGGUAUUAGCACCCCUAACGCACCCUACCUGAGGUAAGCUGCUUCGUGAAUUCGAUGUGUUAAAGAAGUUUUAAUAAUUGUCUUUUCAUCGGAAAUUAGAAAUAUCACUUACGUAUAAGUUAAUAAUUCUUAACCGAGAUUCGAUCAAAAUAUUAAAUUCUUCUUUAAUAUAUUUUCAAUUUUAUCAUAAAAAAAAUAUAUAUAUACAAAUGAAUAAAACAAAAUACAAACAAACACAUACACUUUCACCAUUUUUGUUUCUUUUCUUUUUUCUUUUUUUCUUUUUUCUUUUCUUUUCUUUUCUUUUCUUUUACAUCCAUAUUUACAAAAUACAAAAUCAUAAAAAACUCAAAACUAAAUAAAUAUUACAUUAAACAAUUUAGAAAUUACAAAAUGAACCAAAACAUUCCGGAACAGUGCUGGAAACCUCUAAAUCGCCGGAACAGUGGCGUGAAGCCGCUGGGACAAUAGGCGGCGCGUCUUCCCACGUGCCACCGCCAUUGGCGGCGCGUGAACCCACGCGCCGCCACAAAAUACCUGAAAACAAGCGGGUCUUGCUCAGCUUCUUCUCUUCCAACCGGUGACGACCUGUAAUCAAGAAUAGAACACACACAACAGUUGAUUUUACUCCAUUUUUGUCCGAAUCUAUUCUGAUUAUUUUGUUUUUUAGAUCUGUUAUUUUCUGUAUUCUUUGUUCUUCGUGCGUUUGUUCUUUCCUUCUUCAACCGGUGGCUGGUCUGGCGGUGGUGAAGAGGGUGACGGCAGCCAGGCGGACCGAUCUGGGAUCUGUGGAUGGUUCUGGAGGGAGUCUGUUGGCUGCGUGCUGCUGACUCUCCGGCGAGAUAGCUGGUUCGGGUGGUGCUGCAGUCUCUCUGUAGCAGUAGAAGGCUGACCGGCGAGAGGAGAGUGAGGGUGUCUUGUCUGGCGACAGUGACUACUGCUAGUGGAAGAAGGCUGGACGAUUUGGGUCCGUCAGCGCUACUGUGUUGGGGCUGGUCUAGGUCGAUUAUGAUGGAGACAGGUGGCGGUGUUGAGGUGCAGCGGCGGCUGUGAGGGAAGGAGACCGGCGAUGGGGUUGUUUGGGUCGUGAGCGGGUGAAGGGAGAAGAAACCAAAAAUCAAAACAAAAGGGGGGUCGGCUGCAGAGAAAAUGAAAAUUGCACAGGGGAGAGGGUCAUGGCUGCUUGUGUCCGGCCAAAAGAGAAUAAAGCUGGCGUUGAGGGAAAACGGUGAUGGAGGGGGUUAUGUGCAGAGUUUUUUUUUUCUUUGGGCAGAGGGCAAGGGAGAGAAGAGAAAAAAAUGUUGGAGAGGAAAGGGGCGUCGGUGGAGAGCUGAAAAUCAGAGGGUGGGGGCUGCUCCGAUUGAGUGAGAAGAGAAAAAAAAAAUUCAAAAGGUGAGGGGGGCUGGCUUGGUUCAGCGGCUGCCAGGGGGAAAAUCUUUUAGGUUUAGGGUUUUUGUUCUUGUGUUUUCUCUCCCACAAUCUCAAAAUUGCCCCCCUCCCUUUGUGUGAGUUAAAGACCAGUAUUUAUAGGUAAAAAAUGUUGCCAAGUUUUUCAACUUGGUCCCUCAACUUCUUUCUUUUUGUAAAUUUUGAUUUUUCUUAGUUUUUUGUAUUUUUUUUUUUAAAACGAGCAAUAUCACCGUCGACUCAACGAGGAAAAUCAAUGUUUUUAAAAAUAACGCGUGAAAAGUCGAACGCGUUUGAAAAUCUUUUUAAAAAAAUUUAAAUUCUGUUUUUUUUUAGACGACGUUGAAAAUGCUAAAAGGACGAAAAUAUAAAAAAACAUAUUUUUUGGAUUUUCAUUGUUUUUCUCUAUUUUUGGAUUUUUUGAAAAUAUAUCAAAAACAUUGGUCAAAAAUUGAGUAGCUACAACCGGAAGGAUAUGUCUUAUUAAAUCUGUCUUAAACUCUCUACCUCUAUACUAUAUGUCGGUCUUUAUUAUGCCAAAGGGCAUUGCAAAAGCAAUAUCCUCAAUCAACCGUUGUUUUCUCUAGAAGGGCUCCUCAAAUUCACAUGGUUUUUGUAAGGUUGCUUGGCAUAAGGUAAUUAAGAGUAAGCCACUUGGAGGUCUCGGGCUUGGUUCUAUUCACAGUAAAAAUCUGGCUCUGAUGUUUAAAUGGCUUUGGAACCUUGACAAAGGAGUGGCAGGAGGUUGGCAAGAACUCAUCUUACGAAAGUAUCAACCACAUUUUACAAAUGGCCUUCCUGUGUUUGCAGGUUCCUUAUCUCCAACUUGGCGUGGCAUGGUAUCUGCAAUUUCCUUAAAUCACAGCAUAGCCGCUCCCAUCCAAUCCAAUGUUGGGUUUAAGGUGGGUGAUGGGAGAAACAUCAGGUUUUGGUCUGAUUCUUGGCUAGGCUAUGCAACCCCUCUCCAGUUCAUGUUCCCUAGGCUCUACAACCUCUCCCUACAGCAAUCUUUAAGCGUUGCAGAAGUUCAUAACCCAAUAGAUAACUCAAUCAAUCUUUCUUGGAGAAGACCACUUCGAUCCCGAGAACUCUACAUGUGUGAAAGCUUGAUAGCAGAAGUGGAACGUGGCCUAGUCUUCUCUGAUGGUGAAGACAACAAGAUUUGGAAACACCAUAGCUCCAACAAUUACACAGUCUCCUCUGGGUGCCAUCUCUUUGACGGUUUAAAUGUUUCAGGACAUCUUCACUCCCUGCUUUGCUUUGGAAAGGGUUUGCGCCUCCACAAAUAGAUGUGUUCAUAUGGCAUCUUUUCAAUGGCAGUGUCUGCACAAAGGGUUUCUUAGCUGAGAGGAGAAUCAUCAAUUACAAAGGAAGCUCUUUGUCCUUUCUGCUACAAGGAGAUUGAGACUACACAUCAUCUUUUCCAUCUUUGUCCAAAAUCAUGGUCUCUUUGGGGCAGACUAUUUAGUUGGUUUGGGUGUGUAGGUUGUCUGCCAAAAGAACCAUAUCAUAACGUUCAGGAAUGGUCCAACAUGGUAAAAGGAAAAUUCCAGCGUCAGGCAAUUACCCUUCUCUGUAAAGGAUUAUACUGGUCAAUUUGGAUAGCGCGCAACCACAUGAUCUUUGACAACAAAACUCCAGACUGGGAUGUGAUUUUUGACCUCACCUUUCAUCGGUUGACCUUUUGGUUGAAGUCCUUUAUUAAAAAUUUCAGCUAUACGGGCUCUGAUCUUUAUAGGAAUCCUGAAUGUAUUAUGAACUGGACUAACUAGUCAGGUAUUUAGAUUCCUUGUUUUCUUAAUGUAUUUUUAAUUUCCCAUGUAAUCUUCCUUAUCAGCCCUCAUCUCCUUAAUGGGGGCGUAUUAUUUAUAAUAUUCUCGAUUACUAUCAAAAAAAAAAAAGCCACAGUUCAUGAUGACCUUCAUCGUUAGAACUGCAAUUUAGGAAGAAGAAGUCGUUCAUGGCACAACUUCGUUCCAAAAUCCCAAACGGGUAAGGAACACUAACAUUCCCACACGUUUCUAGGCAGCCAGGUUUCACAUCUGACCUAGUUGUAGCUGCCACCGCAACAACAACAGCAACAUCAUCAGCCAAGACACCCACAUGAUCUGCAGGAUCAUUUUUUAUGCACUCCUCAGCUUGUGUGGCUUAGAAAACUAUCUCCCUCUAAUUUGUGUGGCCUUUUUUCCUGCUAGAGAGUUUAUACUGCUAUGGGAAACUAUCCAAUUCAUGAGCAUGACGAAUGCCAAUUCUAAAAACAGAAUAAAACAUAACAAAUGGAGAGCGUGCUCGGUACACCGAUGAAGACCUAACUACCCAUUGCAACAAUUGUUCAACGUAUCCUCCCUUCUUUUUUUUUGCCCCCCUUUCUUCUUUGUCUUAAAAAAGAAAAAUGACUUGUAUAUAUAAUGAAGUCCAUCUGACAAUAUUGAAAAUUCGCCUCCAUCCAAUCUGUGUUCUGUCUCGUCUGAUCAGUAGAUAAUUUGUUCUGACCCAAUCUUGAAAACAACGUAGUCAGCUCCUUCGAAAAUCAAUGAAAAAUAAAAAAACAUUUUGCAUCUAAUUAUAUAUUAAUAUUUGAGUUUGUUGUGUAAGUCAGCUGCCAAGUCGACUACAUCAGCCGCAUUAACCACUUGCGAAGUUGCUUGCCCUUUGGCUAGAGGCACGCAUUGGUUUUUUAGCCUUGUUCAAAUAAUCAUUUAAACUUAAUAAGCCUAACAUUACAAAGCACCGUUAUUCACAUUACAAGUAAUCAUUUAAGGUCGAGAUCUCUUAUUAAGAAAAAAGAUGUUAUCAAAACACCACAAUUUACAUCAUAAGGGAAUUUAGAUUUAUUGACCAUGGAUAUUAUUAUAUAAUUUUAUUGAUCUAGUUUGCAUUUGAAAUCAAUUUUAUGGUGUGUUUAAAUAUGUUUUGGUGUUUCGAAGAUAUUAUAUAUAAUUUUUUUUAUAAUGAAAGUGAUUGAAUUCACUAAGAUUAUGAGCGGUUAUUAUGAAAUAAAUCCUUAAAAAUAUCUAUAAAGUAUAUAUGUGAUGAGUUUAUGAUUUGUACCUGUCGGAUAAGUUCAUGUUAGAAUUAUUUGAGUUUAAUGUAUUUGCUUUGUGUUAUGAGUUACGCAAAUGAUGAGAUGAGUUAUGUUCUAGGAUGAAAAUUAAUAAUCAAUGUGUGCUUGAAAUUAAUAUUGUUCUUGAGUGUAUUUAUUUUGAUUACUAACUAAGUCAUCAAAAGUUGGUCUUCUUCAUAAUUAUUUUUAUUUUAGGCAUAUAGAUUUAAAAAACAUGCAUGACAUGGCAAAAAUACAAUAAUAGCAAAUUAAACAUGAUUAUUUUUUAUGCACUGCCCAACUUGUAUGACAUAAUAAUACUACUUCCCUCUCUAAUCUGUGUGGCCUUAUUACGUGGUAGAUAAUUUAUACUCCUACGGAAACCACUCAAUCCAUGAGCAUGAGGAAUGCAAAUUCAUAAAACAAGAAAAAUAUAAAAUAUAUGGAGAGCAGACUCGGUCGAUCGAUGAAGCCUUAACAGCCCACUGCAACAAUUUUUCAACAUCUUCUCUGUUUUUUCUUCUUCUUCUUCUUUUUCCACAACUGUAACUUAUCAUAAGAAAAAAAGACUUGCAUUUGGAUAUAUAUAUAUAUAUGUUACAAAAAUUAAAGACAAUUAACUUGCACCCAUCAACAUCAAUAUCAAUAUUGAUCAAAUAUAGUAAACUCACGACCAUCGAGAAAGAAUGAAAAGUAAAAUACUUGCACCUAGCUAGGCUUCUGAUAUUUUAUAAUAUGUGAGUUUGAAGUAUAUGUCAGUUGCCAAGUUGACUAGAUAUACAAACAUUAACAACUUGUAAAGUCCAUGAAAAUAUAAUUGCAUUUUUAUAUAUAUAUUCCCUCGGGCUAUAGCACGCAUUAUAAGUUGUAUACUUCGCUGAGUUGAUCAUUUAAAAUUUAAUAAACCUUAUAUUAACUCUUCCACUUGAGAAUGAACGUCCACAGUAAUUUAUAUUAUAAAGAAUAAUUUCGACCUCGAGAUAUCAUAAAAAUAAUAAGGAAUACAUUAUUAAAGUACCAUAAUUUACAUUAUAAAGAAAAAAAAAUAAAACUCGAAGUCUUAUUUUAACACCAAUUACUGGUUGGGCUAGAAUAGGUAAGAACUAUAAUCACACAAGUUGGCUUAUGAAGAUGAUUUUGUUUUUGAGCUCAAUAACAAUACCACGCAACAAAUUAAAAAUCUAAACUGAUUCAAAAUCCGAUUGCUAGUACGUAGUGGGGAAGAAGGAAAAAAGUUCCAAAAGGAGGAUAAGAAGGUUUGGAAACACACUAGAUGAUCAUAUUUAUGAUGAAAAUAGAUCUUAAGUAUGGAAUUUUAUUAUAACAUUUUAAAAACCCUAUUUCCUAUUAGAAUUCCAAGACAAAAUAGAUCUUAAGUAUGGAAUUUUAUUAUAACAUCUUAAGGUUUGGAAACACACUAGGAUAAGAAGGUUAUCAAACAGGCAACAGUCCGCUUAGUGUUCUCCAUUGCAGUUUCGAGUGGUUGGAAAAUUCAUCAGCUUGACAUUCAUAAUGCAUUUCUAAAUGGAGUCCUUGAUGAAGAGGUUUACAUGAAACAACCUCCAGGUUUUGUUGAUUCUGCACUCCCAGGUCAUGUAUAUCGAUUGCAUAAAUCUCUAUAUGGGUUAAAACAAGCUCCGCGGGCUUGGUACACUCGUCUGAAUGAUUUUCUAUUAUCCAUUGGUUUCCGUGCUUCUAAAGUGGAUACCUCAUUGUUUAUCUUCUCGGUUGGUAGUGAUAUUUGUUAUCUUUUGGUUUAUGUUGAUGAUAUUCUGCUUACGGGUAAUAAUGGAACUCUGCUACAACGACUCAUUCAGCUACUGAGCUCAGAAUUUAAACUUCGGGAUUUGGGUGAUGUUCAUUAUUUCUUGGGUAUUGAAGUGCAGUGUACUGGUCUGGGACUUAUGCUUUGUCAACAUAAAUAUACACUUGAUAUCCUCACACGAGCUGGUAUGUUAUCCUGUAAACCAGUUGAUACUCCUAUUUCGGCAUCCAAAGCCACCAUUAUGCCGGAUCCAUUGUUUUCUGAUGCUACUCGUUUUCGGCAACUUGUUGGUGCUCUCCAAUAUCUCACUUUCACACGCCCGGAUAUUUGCUUUGCUGUUAACCGGGUCUGUCAAUUUAUGCAUGCUCCUACAGAAUCCCAUUGGGCUGCCGUGAAACGCAUCUUGCGUUAUCUCCGUGGUACGGCAUCACAUGGUUUACAUAUUACUCGCAGCUCUUCCUUUGCUUUACACGGUUUUACAGAUGCAGAUUGGGCAGGUAGUAUUGAGGAUAGAAAGUCUACAGGUGGUUAUCUUGUGUUCUUUGGUCAGACGCCAAUUUCAUGGAAAUCGAGUAAGCAACGCACUGUUGCUCGUUCUUCGACGGAAGCUGAGUACAAAGCCUUAGCCGAUGGCACGGCUGAAGUUAUCUGGCUUCAGUACUUGUUAACGGAUCUUCAGAUUCCGACUCCUUCUGCCCCUAUUAUCUGGUGUGACAACCUUGGUGCCACGUAUUUGUCCGCAAACCCUAUAUUUCAUGCUCGCACAAAACAUAUUGAGAUUGAUUAUCAUUUUGUCCGAGAUAGAGUUGCGAAGAAGGAGAUUCAGAUUCGUUUUAUUUCCUCUCAGGAUCAACUUGCCGAUGUCUUCACUAAGCCACUUCCUGCUGCUUCAUUUACUGCUUUUAGAUUCAAGCUUCGGGUUGAUCCUCCACCCUCAGCUUGAGGGGGCGUAUUAUAGAAUGUAAUUAUAUAGGAAAUAUUGUAGUCAUAUUCUUAUGUGGUAAUCUCCACCUUUACUAUUGUAUAUUGCCCUAAUCAUAUAUAUAGAAAGGGUUGGCUAACCUAUUAGGUUAAGCCUCCUAAUUAUUCUCAACUUGGUAUCAGAGCCUCCUAAUAUUUUCUCUCUUUGCAGCCGGCCCUAAUUUUCUCCCCCAUGGACUCUCCUCCUACUGCCGUUGCUCCAAUCUCUCCCUCCACCGGUGAUGCAUCAUCACCGGCCAGCCCUUUUCCUGCUGCUGGCUCUGCCGUUUCUCUGCCUCUUAUGGGAACACAAUCUUCAAUGGUUCCUCUAUCAAACACCCACCAUGUUGUGUCGUUGAAACUUACGAACACAAACUAUCUUUAUUGGAGAAUGCAGAUGAAGUCAUAUCUCCUUGGUCAAGGUGUUUUUCAAUUUGUUGACAGCUCCUUGCCAUGUCCUCCAUCUCAUAUGAUUGAUGCUUCGGCUGAUUCUUCUUCUGCCAUCAGCCCCUCUUUUCUUCGUUGGAAGCAACAAGAUCAACUUAUUUUGAGUGCUCUACUCUCCUCUCUUUCCGUGGAUGUGCUACAUCUUGUAGUCGAUUGUUCUACUUCACAUUGUGUUUGGCGCACGCUUGAGAAGGCACUUGCCUCUCCAUCUAAUUCGGAUCAUGCAACUACAUGGCUCCUUUCAAGACCUUCGGCAAGGUGAUGCAUCGGUUAGUAUGUAUAUGCAGCAAGCCAAAUCGUUAUUUGACGAAUUGGCUGCUGCUGGUCGCCCAAUGUCCCUUGAAGAUUUCAAUCUCUAUGUGUUUCGUGGACUUCGCGGUGAGUUCAAAGACUUGGUAACUAGUCUCAUAACCAAGGCUGAACCGCUAUCGUAUGCUGAUCUUCAUAGCCAUCUCCUUACCCAUGAGUUUCUGCACAAGAACUCUUUUCACUCCAUGGCUGUCGGUUCAUCCUCUUCAUCACUGUUGUCUUCUUCUUCUCUACCGCAGCAGCCACCAUUGCUGCCAACACCUCCGAAUUCUGCUUAUUAUGCCAUGACUAAUCACAGCCGAAACAGGGGACGUUCUAGAGGUAAUUGGCGCUCAAACACCAACCGAUUUCAGGCCCCAAACAGAGGUCACUCCGCUGUAGAUUGGAGGCAAAAUCAGUGGCAGAACAGGCGCACCUCUGCUGCAGAUUUUCGGCCAAAUCAGGGGCAGUGGUCUGGACAUGUCCGCUGCCAAUUAUGUUCCACUCCUGGCCAUUCAGCUCUUCAAUGCUAUCAGUUUCGCAGCAGCACACAGCAGCCCUCUGCUCACCUUGCUGUUGCGAAUGAUUCUACUGCAACGACUUGGUUUCCCGACACCGGCGCGAAUCAACAUGUGACGCCUGAUCUUGCAACUCUAACUGAUUCUGCUCCUUAUCUUGGUAAUGAUUUCUUGCAUGUUGGUGAUGGUAAGGCCCUUGACAUAUCCCAUGUUGGACAUACUACUUUAUAUUCCCCCAAACGCUUGUUUACAUUAACUAAUGUUCUUCGUGUGCCUCACAUUACCAAACCGUUGUUAUCUGUUCAGAAAUUCUGUCGUGAUAAUCAUGUUUAUUUUGAAUUUCACGAUUCUGUGUUUUAUGUGAAGGAUCUCGUCACCAAGGAAGUUCUUCUUUCCGGUCGGAGUCAUGAUGGUCUUUAUGUUCUCUCCGAGUCCUCGGCUACGUCAGUUCCUCAAGCUUUUUGGUCUCCUUGCAUUUCCGCGACUGCCGACUUGUGGCAUCGUCGUUUAGGUCAUCCAACUCCUCGCAUUCUAAAUUUGUUAGUUUCUGAUAAUAAAAUUAUUUGUACGUCUAAACGAUCUUUUACUCAAUGUCAAGCAUGUCCAUUAGGCAAGUCAUCCCGUUUGUCAUUACGACCGACGGGUCACAAAACUUCUACCCCACUUGAAUUAAUUUUUAGUGAUGUUUGGGGCCCUGCUCCAAUGUUUUCUUCUGAUGGUUUUCGUUAUUUUGUUAUCUUUGUUGAUGCGCACACUAAAUAUAUCUGGUAUUAUCCGCUUGUUGCGAAAUCUGAUGUAUUUUCCACGUUUCAACGUUUUCAGACACUUGUUGAGCGUCAGUUUUCUCUUAAAAUUAAAUCUGUUCAAACUGAUUGGGGUGGUGAAUAUCGUAAAUUAAAUACAUUUUUUCAAACAAUUGGUAUUCAUCAUCGAUUAAUUUGUCCUCAUACUCAUGAACAAAAUGGCACAGUUGAACGUCGUCAUAGACAUAUUGUCGAAACUGGCCUAACCCUCUUAGGCCAGUGUAAUGCCCCAUUGCGUUUUUGGAACUAUGCUAUGGAAUCAUCGGUCUAUCUUAUUAAUCGCAUGCCUACUCCUGUUCUUCAAAAUAAAUCUCCUUUUGCGUGUCUGUUUCAUCGCACUCCUGAUUAUAAUUUCUACGCACUUUUGGGUGUCUUUGUUUUCCAUUUUUACGUCCAUAUCAUGCUCAUAAAUUAGAUUUUCGGUCUUCUCCUUGUGUGUUUUUAGGCUAUAGCUCGUCUCAUCUUGGUUAUCGGUGUCUUGAUUUAGAGUCUGGUCGUGUCUAUGUCUCCCGUCAUGUUCGUUUUCAUGAAUGUGUCUUUCCUUUUAAAAAGUCUGAACAGGUAACAACACCCCCGGUUCCCCCACUCCACCUACCUAUCUUCCAUCACUGCAACCCCCUUCCUGUUUUCAGCCUCUUCCUUCCCAACUCGGCAAAACACACAACCCACCUUUGCCCCUUGCCGCAACCCCCAGCUUGCUCCCCUGCCCGUUGAUUUAGCCGACCCUGCCUCACCACCCCACACAGCCAUACUAUCACCACGUGCUUGUCUUUCCAAUGAUUAUUGUGCAGGAACAGGUUCUGACUUGCAGGAUUCAGUAGCGGCACAACCCGCACCUCCCCGGCUUCACCUCCUGGUCUGCAACUUUGUGUUGAUCUCUCCUCUUAUCCUCUUCAGCACAUUCCAGGUACAGGUGUUGCUACUCAUGCUCCAUCUCCCAGCUGCUCCUAAACACCCAUGGUUCUUCGUCUGAGACAGCCCAAGACAGCGCUGAUCACCACCACGGUAGCCACCUCUACUGCUUCCUUCAGUCGGGUAACUUCUCCUCCCUCGCAUGAGCCACUUAUUUUUCCUGAUGCUAACAGAUAUGAGGCGUGGCAUAAUGCUAUGCGAGAGGAAAUCCAGGCCUUACGCGCAAACAGAACAUGGACUUUAGUGCCAUUUCAUCCGUCCAUGAAUGUUGUUGGUAGUCGUUGGGUCUACAAAAUUAAAUGCAAAUCUGAUGGUAGCAUUGAGAGGUAUAAGGUGCGCCUGGUUGCUAGGGGCUUCACUCAGCAAGAAGGUAUUGAUUACUCAGAAACUUUUAGUCCUGUUAUCAAACAGGCAACAGUCCGCUUAGUGUUCUCCAUUGCAGUUUCGAGUGGUUGGAAAAUUCAUCAGCUUGACAUUCAUAAUGCAUUUCUAAAUGGAGUCCUUGAUGAAGAGGUUUACAUGAAACAACCUCCAGGUUUUGUUGAUUCUGCACUCCCAGGUCAUGUAUGUCGAUUGCAUAAAUCUCUAUAUGGGUUAAAAUAAGCUCCGCGGGCUUGGUACACUCGUCUGAAUGAUUUUCUAUUAUCCAUUGGUUUCCGUGCUUCUAAAGUGGAUACCUCAUUGUUUAUCUUCUCGGUUGGUAGUGAUAUUUGUUAUCUUUUGGUUUAUGUUGAUGAUAUUCUGCUUACGGGUAAUAAUGGAACUCUGCUACAACGACUCAUUCAGCUACUGAGCUCAGAAUUUAAACUUCGGGAUUUGGGUGAUGUUCAUUAUUUCUUGGGUAUUGAAGUGCAGUGUACUGGUCUGGGACUUAUGCUUUGUCAACAUAAAUAUACACUUGAUAUCCUCACACGAGCUGGUAUGUUAUCCUGUAAACCAGUUGAUACUCCUAUUUCGGCAUCCAAAGCCACCAUUAUGCCGGAUCCAUUGUUUUCUGAUGCUACUCGUUUUCGGCAACUUGUUGGUGCUCUCCAAUAUCUCACUUUCACACGCCCGGAUAUUUGCUUUGCUGUUAACCGGGUCUGUCAAUUUAUGCAUGCUCCUACAGAAUCCCAUUGGGCUGCCGUGAAACGCAUCUUGCGUUAUCUCCGUGGUACGGCAUCACAUGGUUUACAUAUUACUCGCAGCUCGUCCUUUGCUUUACACGGUUUUACAGAUGCAGAUUGGGCAGGUAGUAUUGAGGAUAGAAAGUCUACAGGUGGUUAUCUUGUGUUCUUUGGUCAGACGCCAAUUUCAUGGAAAUCGAGUAAGCAACGCACUGUUGCUCGUUCUUCGACAGAAGCUGAGUACAAAGCCUUAGCCGAUGGCACAGCUGAAGUUAUCUGGCUUCAGUACUUGUUAACGGAUCUUCAGAUUCCGACUCCUUCUGCCCCUAUUAUCUGGUGUGACAACCUUGGUGCCACGUAUUUGUCCGCAAACCCUAUAUUUCAUGCUCGCACAAAACAUAUUGAGAUUGAUUAUCAUUUUGUCCGAGAUAGAGUUGCGAAGAAGGAGAUUCAGAUUCGUUUUAUUUCCUCUCAGGAUCAACUUGUCGAUGUCUUCACUAAGCCACUUCCUGCUGCUUCAUUUACUGCUUUUAGAUUCAAGCUUCGGGUUGAUCCUCCACCCUCAGCUUGAGGGGGCGUAUUCUCGAAUGUAAUUAUAUAGGAAAUAUUGUAGUCAUAUUCUUAUGUGGUAAUCUCCACCUUUACUAUUGUAUAUUGCCCUAAUCAUAUAUAUAGAAAGGGUUGGCUAACCUAUUAGGUUAAGCCUCCUAAUUAUUCUCAACUAACACCAAUUACUGGUUGGGCUAGAAUAGGUAAGAACUAUAAUCACACAAGUUGGCUUAUGAAGAUGAUUUUGUUUUUGAACUCAAUAACAAUACCACGCAACAAAUUAAAAAUCUAAACUGAUUCAAAAUCCGAUUGCUAGUACGUAGUGGGGAAGAAGGAAAAAAGUUCCAAAAGGAGGAUAAGAAGGUUUGGAAACACACUAGAUGAUCAUAUUUAUGAUGAAAAUAGAUCUUAAGUAUGGAAUUUUAUUAUAACAUUUUAAAAACCCUAUUUCCUAUUAGAAUUCCAAGACAAUGCCAUCCGAGUUUCGAGAACAUACCAGAUUUGAUCUAAAAGUUACUACCAAGAAUUUUUCAUUAUUUUUCUAAUUUUUUAGGAUUUUUCUCUCAUUAAGUUAUAGAAUCUUAUAUGGUUUAGAUUUCUAUAUCCAAAUCAGUUUUAGUUAUUUUUUUACAAGAGGGGAUUGAUUAUUUUAAAUCUUUAUAUUUGUUUGGGAUAAUUAAAGUUUGUACUUGUAGUAUAUAUCAAAAGACUUGAGAACAAUUGAAGCAGGUAGUUAGGCAGGCUGCUUUUAAAAUAUCUACCUUCAACAAAAGAGUAUAAUAAUGAUUAAUUGUUAAAGUGUUUUUUUUUUAAUGUAUUAAAAUAUAUAUAUUUUUUAUUUUUUAAAAAUUAUUUUAACAUUAACACAUUGAAAUAAUUCAAAAACAUAAAAAAAAAUAUUUUAAAUAUUUUAAAAAAAUCAUGAAAAACAAGUUGCACCGUAACCCUAAACAGCCUCUUCGAUGAAGACUUUACAAUUUCAAAAUUGUUAUACACUUGAUAUGUAUUUAUGCAUUUACAUUUCAUAUUAUUGUCACAACUUUUUAGUAGCAAUAAGACUCUCAUAUCUUUGAACAAGUAUUUAUCUAUUAAAGUUCAUUUUUUCUAUAUUAGAUCUUAAACAAAACAUUCACACAUGCUACUUUUAUUUAUAAAAUCAGAACUUUUCUAGCAUCAUCUUAAAAAGAGAUCAAUGUAAAUUUUGGGGGCGUAAGCCCUCUCUCAAUAAAUUUCUUUUAUUGCCCAAAAAUAAAUUGAGAAGAAGAAAGAUGGUCAAUUGAUGUCAUUACUGAAUCCCAAGUUUUCAGUCUAUUUUCUUUUUCUCAAGGAAAGUUAUUAGUGUACACGUACGAAAGAUACAAAAAUAGAAAAGAAAUUGAUUAUUUUAAGUCAAAAUUAAAGGCAAUCAGAUUAUUCCUUUUAUUCUAUUCUAAAAAGAAAAUUCUAUUCUAGAAAGAAAAAGAAAUUCUUAUUUCUACAUGAUGAAGUAACUGUUUUAAAACUCUAACCGGUUUGAUUGUUAACCUAUGAUUCUGGUGACUCAAAGCUGAGACCAAGAAGGAUUUUGAUAAGAAUAGAGAGAUAAUUGAUCGAAUUAAAAAUUUAAAUUUUUAAAACUAUGUUUGUAGCUGCUCAUGCAAUGGCUAGAAAAUGAUUGGAAUCUUGUUUCGGUAAGAAUUCGUAUGCUAGGGAAAUUUGAGGUAGCUGUGGAGCUUUCUCUAUCUGUGAAUGGAGGUAAACAUCAUUGAAUUUGGUUUUAUUAGGAAAUCGAAGGUACUCGUCAAUUUCUUUUUGAGAGAGUAGUGUUGGGGGAUCCGACCGGUGAUGUACUGAUAGUUGCCCAUUGGAGUCUAAGCACACUGACACAAUAUUUAACGUGGUUCAGCAAACUACCUACAUCUACGGGAGAGGUAUAUAUUAUUAUAGAUGGAUAGAGAAAGGGUUACAACACACAUGGAGGAGGAGGAUCACUUCACUCUAACUCUACUCGCAUUGCUCACACACACUGCUGGACAUUGCAGCAGGGCUUCCGCCCUUGGCAGCCACUCAUCUUUCUCUCUUCCUCUCUUUUCUUCACACUCUCAUUCUCUCUCAACUUUGCUAUCUAAAUUUUGCCUCUAUUUAUAGGCAUCAAUGAUGCUGCUCCAGCUCAUCUUUAUUAAUGGUGGUCACCUAACAUUUGCCUACUUUGUGACUUUUGGUUGUUGCACCAACAAUCCUUUUUGAAAAUGGAAGCCAUCUUCUUUGUUGUAACCCAUUUCCGGGUCCCCACAAAAAUAAAUAAAAUAAAUAGCCAAAGGAGGUUAGAAAAAUAACAGGAGGCAGAAGCGCUCAGAAAAUGGUCAGAAAAAUCGGUCAAGGAGGUUAAAAAUACAAAGAUGGAUUUUUGACAAUAUAUUCUUGAAUGAUAAGAGCCCUGGUGGAUAAGAAACUUUGAUUUUUGAGGAGAAAAGUCCAAAUUUAGAGGUUUAUGGACUUAAUUGGAUUUUUAAUUGAAUUUAUAGAGGAUUUGAUUGCAAGAAAAUUUGAUUUUUAAGUCAAUUUGGGCUUUAAUUAGAAGAAAUUUAAGUUCUGGGCCAAAAUAUAUCUUUAGGAAUUUAUUAAGUCAAAUCAGGGGCUUAAUUGCAUAAAUAUUGAAGUUUAAUGGCCAAUCAGGGACUUAAUUGUGAAAAUCCGAAACUAGGGACCAAUUUGGAAAAGGCGCGAAGAUAGGGGGCUGUAUUGAAUUGAUUCAGGGGCCUAAUUGAAGAAAUUGGAAGUUUUUUGAUCAAUUGAGGGCUAAAUUGCAUAAAUCAGAGGCCAAGGACUGAAGUGAAAAACACGGCCAACUAUAGGGGCGGGGACAGAAAUUGGCAGGGACGCAAUUGAAAUGAACAAAAAGUAAUUGGGGGCUAAUUUGAACAUUGGCGCGUUUCUGGCGCUACAUUUAAAUGAAACGGCGCCUUUUCUCCAAAACGACGCCGUUUCAUACACAUAAAAAAAAAAGAGAGAGAGAAAGACCGAACGGUGCCGUUUUGAACGACAUUGUUCCCCUUUCUUCUUCCCCCCGAACAUGCAGCGGGGAAGAAGGAAAAAGAAUGCAUUGUUUAAUUUCGUCGGUCCCUCUAGCCCACCGACCAACCGAGGCCCCACGUUGUUGAACCACCAACCGAAGACACUGGCCGACCACCCGCCGCGCUACCGAAACCGAGGGAGGCACGCCUGGACAGCCGCGCCCCGACCAGCCGCUGCGUGACCCGCUCCCCAUGCUCCACAAUGAAAAGCCACGCUCACUGGCUCUAUAAAUAGGACCCAACACAGCAGCAAAAAGAAAGGAGGAGAAAAAAAACAGAGAACCAGAAAAAAAAAAACAAAAAAAAACCGAAGAGGGAAGAGAGGAGAGAACCCGAAGAGAGAGAGAGAGAGAAGAAACCGGAGAAGGAACGGACAGAGAAGAGAGGGAGGAGGAAACAAAACAAAAAAACAAGCAAUGAGACAGUGAGGGGACGACCGAGAGGGGAGACCCAUUGUACACAGAGAUGAUUGAACAGCUGACAAAAGGAAACACCCGAGAUCAAGAGGAGAAGAACCAGACAUAAGCAAAAAGGAGGAAGACAGAGGUACAUGUGUCUGCAUAAAGGAGAAGAAAUAAUGUAGAAAACAGUUGCGCUUCCCAGCCACUGCCACCGUCAGCACCACCGGGAGACGUCGACUGCCUCUCCACCGCCACCAGCAUCACUGGGAGUGUUCGCCAUCGUCUUCAACAUCGUUUCUGCCACCAGGUUUGCACCCCCUUCGUCGCUGUGCAUGCACCAUUUCCUUGCAUUUCACUGUUCAAGUGAAAUAUAAUUCACUUGAACAGUGAAAUGCUAAUUCACUGUUCACAUUAAAUAUAAUUCACGUGAACAGUGAAAUGCUAUUUAACUGUUUACAUCAAAUAUAUUUCACUGUUCACACGAGGCCUGCUGGGUUCAGCCCAGCCACGUGGGACCUGCUGGGUCCAGCCCUAAAAAAAUAUAAAAAAUAAAAAUUCUUCAAAAAUUGUUUCAAAGAAUUUGUGAUUUUUCUGUAAUUUUAUUACUAUAUUUUGGUCAAUAUCGGUUUGUAUUUUUAUAUUAUAAAGAUACAAAUCCGGUAUUAAAAUACCCGGUUUUCGUCAACAAAAAAAAUGUUUAUUAAAAAAAAAUGUUUUGUUUUCAUGCAAACGGCCAAUACUCUAACAUGUUUUGAAUGUUCUUUUUAUAUAAAAAAAAAAAUUGGAAGUUUUGAAAAUGUGUUUUCGCAUAGAUUUCUUAAACACAAAUUAUUUUCUUGCAUUUCUGGAUUUUACAACAUAUUUGUAAAACUCCAAAGGGUAUUGGCCAAUAUUCCAAAAACUAUAAAAAUCUUAUUUUGGGGGGGGAAUUCAUCUAUUAUUCACCGCUAAUGUUUGGAUAAAGAAAUCCUUAAAGGACGAAUAUCCAAAAUAUUAUUAGGAGUAAUAAAUCUGCACACAUCCUUGAAAGAAGCCUUGAUUAUAAUUGAGGACAUUUCAAAAUUUCAAAUUUUUUACUCCACGGUUUACGAGCCGUGAAAGUAUGAAAUACUAAGGAAAAAGGAGGCUUUUAAAGCGCUUUAAAUUUCCUUAGAUUUCUAAAUUUUUUUGUCCCUCCUCCUUGCGAUUUACGAGUCGUAAACUCUUGAAAUACUAAGGGAAAAAUGAGCUUUCAAAGCACAUGGAAUCUCUUGAAAUAAAUUUCAUUUGAAUCAAACUUAGGAAAAUUGAUGGGAUUAGGAAACACCAACACCAUAGCAAUUAUAGAGCAAGCCAAACACCAAGCAGCUUACCUUAGGUAGGGCAUACUAGGGGUGUUAAUACCUUCCCUUUACACAACCAGUCCCUUACCUUAGAAUCUCUGAAAGACCAGUUAGAGUUCCUAGUGACCAAAAUACUAGGUGGCGACUCCAAAGAACCAAAUCAGCAAAACAAAACAAAAUCACCAAUCGAACCUGCAAUAUGGAUUUUUUUUUAGGGUGCGACAUUCUUCUAGAAGAUGGGCUGCAAAUGCUGCCACAUAAGUGGUAAUAUCCCAACAAUCACCCCCUUUGCCAUUUAUGUGGGGCAAUUGUCCUCUUGCAUUUUCAACACAAGCUUGCAUCCUGCAGCUCUUCCAAGCUUACCAUUCCGAGAGAAUCUGUGGCCAAGUUUACAGGUACUCGCCAAACCUUUCAAUCACCAGAGUUACCCAAGCACACCUUUUCUCACACCAAAGGAUCACUUCAACCAGAUGGUCUCCAACAUCACAUCUGAAUAGUGUUAACGCUUGUCUCUAUGACACUACAUUUCCUUUCGAGCGUAUCAACCAUGCUCGGUCCAGAAACCACGCUUUACUCAUCCCAGAGUUGCAUCUGCCCUCUGUUCCACCAUAGAAACCACGCUUUACUUCUCAGUGAGUCUUCCACUCUUAGUCUCAAGAGUCCAGGUAGCUCUCCACCUUUAACCAUGGGGGCAUCCCAUUAAAGGUUGAUCCAUAUCUGUCUUCAUACUCUGAGUAUUACAAUGCCAUCACCGAGCUCGCCACCUUGACAAGAGUCAACUUGUUCCCCGAACCUGCGCAUGCCCUCUGCUCAUUCCUAGCAGUCACGUCUUAAUACUCCACAAGUCACCCAUUUAUUGUCCAAGGCAAAUAUCUUCUAGCUCAUUGAUCUUUAGCAUGGGGGAAAUAUCCAUGAAAGUCAAUCCUGCAUAUGUCUUCAUAUUCAUCAUAGCCACUUCAUUUAGCUAUACACUUGUCCACUUAUAUCCAGCCAUCACAUUGGCUCUAGGGCAUUCUGAACUGGGGCUCCUAUCAUGGCCCUCACACCUUCUCUAAGGUGUCUUCGCCUGUUGUCAUAAGACGGUCUGAACUGGGGCUCUUAUCAUGGCCCACACACCUUUCAUUUCAGGUGUCUCUGCUCGUCGUCAUGCGGCGGUCAGAAUCUGGGCUCAUAUUAUAGCUCUCACACCUUCCAUCCGAGGUGUCUCCGCUCAUCAUGGAGCAAUCUCAUCCUCCUUCAUCAGGGAUAACUCCAGUGGCUCCAAGAUUCUCUACCACUAUGUGGACUUGGGAGAGAUCACAACUGUCGACUAAAUAAAAAGAGAAAGUUGCGGUAUACUCCUCACAAUCCUCCACCUUGAAUUCUAUAUUUGGAGCUUCUACGCCUUUCUGCUUGACAGCUCCACCUACACCAACUCUCUUUGGUGUCUUCGCCUUUCAUAGGCGGUCGCCAUUUAUCAUAAGCGUUUGCACCCCCUCAAUUAGGUGCCUCCACAACAGCUCAUCUUUCCAUUGUUACAUGCAUUAGAAAGGUCUUCGACUGUUGCCUUUACCAAGAGCACAAGAGACUUCCUGUUGUAUAUCAUUCACACAAUCUCUACACUGAGCUUCAUUUGGGAACUCUUCUUCUCUUUUCACUUGUUGUCUCAUUACAGUACCUCGUUAGAUUCUACGGGUACUCCUGCAUAAUCUCCAUAUGCUCUCGUGCAAUAUCUGUUCUCUAGAUUUCUCCCUAUUCUUUGCUUUUAUGUUUGACAACAGCUUAUCAUGUCACAACGCCUACCAAGUCAAAAUAGGGAGCCAAUCUUUAUCCCCUUGUUGUAUUUCUCUUCCAUUAUCAGGGUCUUCAUCAAUUCUCCCCUCGAGAAAUUACAGUCACCGAAUCUAACUUCUUUAGAGAAAUCACCACUCCAUUAGAUCCUUGAUCAUACGGAACCCAAUUGUUCCUUUGUGCUGUCAUCUUGCUAGUCUUCAAUAGUUUCAUUACAAACUGUUACAUAUACGAAAAUAGUACCAUAUGGAUAAUCCUUCAGCUAAGCAAGUUCCCAGGAAAGAUUGGAGGGAUUACAACGGUCUCGUUUAAAACUUAAUAUCCUAGCCAGAACUUCUUAGGCUAUAUCUAUCUAUCGUACUACCUUUUCAUAUAUACAACCAUUUGCUAGCUUUGUUGCAACUUUCUUUUAUAAGUGAUCUGGAAUAUUUUUUUUUAUACAUGAUUUCUCAACAUCUGGUGAGACUACCAGUGCUUAGAUUCGUCAAGAUUGGUCUUCAUCAAUUUUUCACACUCCACCUCAAAUCGUCUAUAUGAUCGGGUGUUUAGAGUGUCCCAAUUUUACUUUCCUUUAAGGCAAUUAAAAUUUCCCCAUUUAACAGCUUAGCACAUGCAAUUGGAUAAACAUGUGCACCUUCUUCUUCAUCUUCAUCUUCAUCUUCAUCGACCACCAUGAUGAUCUUCAUCUUCUUCAUCUCGAUCGGGCAAUCUCUCUUAAUAAUUCACCACCACCAUUUUUGGUCUCAAUCUGAAUGAUCAGACUAUACCAUUGUAUUUAGAAUGAUCAAAUUAGUUGGAAAUAAGUCUGAAAUCGUGCAAAUCACAUUUCAGACGUCUAGGAUUUGAUCAAAACAAUUCUGGCCUAAUCGACGGGCUAGAUUUAAUCUUAUAUCUAGUUGCAAGUAGACUCCGCUACACAGAAUCCUAUCCCUCGGCUCUGCUCAACCUAGCUUGGCUCACGACUGAUGACAUCGCAGGUGGGUCCCACCUGAUGAUGUGUCUGCUGACUAGUCGCUGACAUUGAAUGCCAACUGUGCAUGAUGAUGUCAUCCUUAUCCGAGUAAGGCACAUGGGUCGGUUCAUCUGGUAUUCGGGUCUAGUCGGCCCAUCCGGGCGAAGAAGACUCGUGCGGCAUGUGGCUUGCGUCUGUGCGCGUGGAUAGCCAGUUGGCUGGCGUGUGGGGGAGCGUGCAGCCAUUCCUGGCGUCUGAUUUUGACGGGGUUUUCACUAGUGUGCUCGUCUCUUCCUCCUCUACAAGGUGGUAUGGUCAAAACCCAAUUUAAAAACUUUCAUUUAUGAGCAAAAAUCAAACACCACUUUAAACCAAAUGCUCUGAUACCAAUUGUUGGGGAAUUCGACUGAUGAUGUACUGAUAGUUGCCCAUUAGAGGCUAAGCACACUGACACAAUAUUUAAUGUGGUUCAGUAAACCGCCUACAUCCACGGGAGAGGUCUAUAUCAUUAGAGAUAGAUAGAGAAAGGGUUACAACAUACAUGAAGGAGGAGGAUCACUUCACUCUAACUCUACUCUCAUUGCUCACACACACUACAUGACAUUGUAGCAGGGUUGCUACCCUUGGCAGUCACUUCUCUUUCUCUCUUCCUCUCUUUUCUUCACACUCUCAUUCUCUAUCAACUUUGCUCUCUAACUUAUGCCUCUAUUUAUAGGCAUCAAUGGUGCUACUACAGCUCAUCUUUAUUUAUGGUGGUUACCUAACAUCUGCCAACUUUGUGACUUUUGAUUGCUGCACCAACAACCCUCUUUGAAAAUGAAAGCCAUCUUCUUCUAGAAGAUGGGUUGUAAAUGUUGCAACAUAAGUGUCAAUAUUCCAACAAGUAGUACGCCAUGUAAACACACAAUUUUUAUUUGAACACAGGUGACAAAAGAAAUGGAAAAUUUGGAUUCUUGAAAAAUGUCAAGCUUCCAAGUUCCACGAGAAUUACUAGAUAACUCAAGAACAUCAUCAGCCAUAAUCUACAAUUUAUUAAUGGAGCUAUCUGACUUAAUUGAAUGUUGGAAACUGAUUGUGGUCUGACUUUAAUUGCUGUUAGUGUAGUUCUCGAUCUGCAAUGACAUCACAGUCUGGGAUGGUUCAUAUGAGGACUUGCAUUCUUGCAGAAAGAGUGUGAUGAUUCGCCUAACAAGUGUUCUGUUUCCUCGCUAUUUUGCUGAGCCAAUGAUUUCUGAUGAAGAGCUUUCAGCUUAGCAAGCUCAUCGGACACUUCCUUCAUGGUUGGCCGGUUUACUCCCAUGCUAUUCAGACAUCCUUUUGCAAGCUUAGCUACAGCUUCUAUCUCAUCCAUUUCGCCUUCAUCAGCUGCCUGGAAAUCCAAAAUUCUGAAAAGAUUAUUAGUUUCCAGUGCUGAGAUAAAGUGUUGAAUGAGGUUCCGUUUCUCUCCAGACUUGGAAAUGGAGUUUGGCAUCUCUCCGGUGAGAAGCUCCACAAGAACUACCCCAAAGCUAUAGACAUCACUUUGAACGGUUAAAAUACCCGUCAUAAGAUACUCAGGAUCCAGGUAGCCUAGAGUACCUUGUAUUUUUGUAGCUAAGAUAUCGGUUUGGCCAGGAGACAUCAGCACCGAAGCUCCAAAAUCUGCUACUUUUGCUGUGUAAUUACUGUCUAGAAGUAUGUUUACUGACUUGACAUCCCCAUGAAUAACUGGAGGGUCUGCCAGAGAGUGCAAAUAAUCAAGCGCAAGCGCAGCCUCCGAUGCCACCCUCAAACGAUUGGUCCAGGAAGCCAAUAUCCGGGAACCUUUGUUGUGGAUGUGCUUGGAAAGAGUUCCAUUUGAGAUGAACUCAUAGACCAGUAAUGGAACUUUGGUCUCUAGACACAGGCCCAAGAGCUUUACCACAUUCCUGUGAUUGACCUGCGAAACAAUGCUCAUUUCCUUUUGAAAUUCCGCAUUCAUCUGAGCUUUGUCCAUCCCUUUGGACUUCUUGACAGCAACCACUGUAUUAUCUGUUAAAACUCCCUUGUAAACAGAACCAAAACCACCCUCCCCGAGUUUCUGAUCAUCAGCAUAAUUGUUGGUUGCCUUGGCCAGCUCUGCCUCGCUGAAAAUCCGUACUCGUUGAUUCUUUAAAAAUUUUCCCCCGUUCUCUUGGAAGUUCUUGUCCUUUAUUCUUUUCGUGCAGAUCAUGUAGAGUAGCAGACAAAUAACCACGAGGAAAAUGCUUGCGCCAACGGCUGCAAGCAAAUGUCAAAGAAGGACGUUAGUUUCAAAAUCAAAUGAAGGGAAAAUAUUUAUUUACUAACUUUCAAAAUCAAAGAAGGACGUUAUAAUUGAUCGCAAGCCUCCUGAUGUUUUAUUUUUUAAUUUAUUUUGAUCCCUCGAACUAUCAAGUCAAGUUAAAAUCAAGCCUUCGUUAGCCUUCCGAUCAAAAGCUACUUCAAAUGUCGUGGUCUCCUCAACACCAAUAGCAGCCAGAAGGAGAAGAAAUGAAGCAAAGCUAAAACAAUUAAUCGAAGAACACGAGAGAGAGAAUGGGGGGGGGGGGAGUUUUUUUUUAUUUUAAAUAAAACCAUUAAUUUAUAAAAAUAAUUAAUUUUAACCCAUUUUUAGUUUUUUUGUUUGCAAAUCAUGUGAUUCCACGUGUCUCAUUUAAGUAAUUUUUAGAGGGAACCUUAUGGUCAUGAAAACCCUGUACACUUUAUAUAUAUAAACCCUGUAUGCUUUAUAUAUAUAAACCCUGUAUGCUUUAUAUAUAUAACCUUCAUAAAUUAAUAACUCUUAUUGAAUAGUAUUUUUGUUUAAUCCCAACUUAAAUUUGAAGUUUAAACAAUAUAUCUUAAUUAAUUAAUUAAUUUUUAUGGUUUGAAAAGGUAUUAAUUUAUAAUGGUUUAAUUGUAGUUUAAAAAAUCAGUAUUAAAAAAUUAAAAAGUUCAGACCUUUUUAAUUACUAAUUGAUGGCCUUGAGUUUUUCAAAAAACAUGAGAGUAUCCAUAUCUCUCUUUUUUUUACAUCAAAUAUCUUCAAAAUAUGUUUAUGACUUUAUGCACGAAAAUUGUUAGUCUAAUUAUGUACAAUAAAAAACAGGCUAUUCACGUUAGAAUCAUGGGAUUCAUGAAUAGUCACUGUACUAAGCCCGUGAUUUGAUGCGGAGCCCAACUAUUUUCUUACAUAAAAAAUAAUAUUUAUGUAUUGUAAUUGCAUUUCAAAAAAAUUAUAUGAUUUUGAAUUAUAGAUCCAACUAAAAUAAAUAAGUUAAUUUUAAUUUAAUUAGAUGAAAAAAAUUAAUAAUAGAUGAAUCAACAUCCCAUUAAAUAUAUAAAAAAAUAAAAUAACAUAAAAAACUGAUCAACCGGAGUUAGCUGAAUUUCAAUGCUUACAAGAAAAUGCAAAGAAAGCUAAUUACCUGCAAUAAUUGUGAUGAUACCAGUUCCUUUACAGCCUGUUUUACCAUCACCGUGCUUGCCACGUGGACAUCGACAAUUGUAAUCUCCAAUCACAUUCUCGCAAGUACCUUCUUUACAAGGGUUUUUUAAAACCUUGCAUUCAUCUAUAUCUGUUGUAAAUGUUAAAAAUAUUAGUGGAAAAAACCUGAAUAUACAAAUUAAAAAAAAAAAAAAAACUGUAAAAAACAAAUAGUGCCGAAUAAAUAGAAGCAAGAACCAGGUUACCUUGGCAUCCUUCUCGGAGAUAAGGAUUUCCUCCGAACCCUUCAUUGCAUGAGCAACGAUAUCCUUGACCAAUCUCAGGGUAGGUGCAAUUUGCAUUAGCGCCACAAGCAUAUGCACUUCGAUUAGCUUUAGCCUGUUCGCACGUCUCAUUUUUAACGACCCAUUCAAUCACAAUAUCUGCUGUAUAUGCAUCUUUUCCAUAUUUUGGCUUGCGAGAGAGCGGCCAAUCUGAAAUCUUGAAGGAGUUCUUGUCCACUAAAAAUGCGAAUCCACAGAGAUUGAAGUCCGAAACGUUCCUGUAGUUGUAAAAACUUGAUAAUGGAUAAUAAAGUGAUUUGAGGCCCUUGGGGAUUGAGGUUUGGCAGCAUCCAGAACCUGAGCAAGGAUUUCCAUCGGACAUGUUCACAUUUUCUGUGCACAAGGAGAGACAGCCAGUUCCGUACGUGAACUCAUAGUUGGUCAUCCAGGCAUAUGUAUCGCAACCAAUUACUGUGAAUGCAUUUCGGGUGUCUGACAACGUGAAGGGGCCUGAUCCAAGGUUGAAAGACUGUGCGUAAUUUUCUGUCCUGCUCCCAUUUUUGUCAUAGCAGGCGAAAGCAGUGUAUAAGCUGGCACUUAUUGUGCCCUCCAGCACUGAUAUAUUGCGAGCAGGCAUGUUUCUUCGAAAAAACAGUUCAGGUUGCCCAUCAGCGCCUGAACUGCAGUUUAGAAGGAAGUCCUCGUUCAGGGCACAUGUUGGUUCUCCAAUCCCAAAGGGGUAAGGAACACUAACAUCCCCACACUUAUCUUGGCAGCCAGGUUUUACAUCUGCACUUGCCGUUGAUUCUGCUACUGGACACAAUAAUAGCGACACCAUCAUCAGCAAAAACACCCACAUGACUAUGCAACUCCCAACUUAAUAAGUACAGUGAUUGACCCCUAGGAGAUUUGUAUAAAGAAGCUCCAAACCACUAACCUCUGCAACUUCUUUUCUUGUAGAGGACAUAUAUAUAUAUAUAUAUAUAUAAGCUAAUUAACACAGACCACUAAAAAACACGACCAAGUCCAAGACUACAGGGUCGAUAGAGUCUUGAGAGUCCUUUCCUAGAUCUUUCUUUUCAGUUGGCACGCAUACAAAGUCAUAACAUUGACCAAAUCAAAGUCUACAAUUCCUUAUAACAUGUGUGGACAAACUAUGAAAACCCCAGUGAAGUCAUAUCACAGCCACCAACCUCGACGUCUCGGGUACGUAGAGUAAUUAAUGAUUAAGAGGAUUUUUUUAAUUCAUAUUUUAAAAUUAAUAUUUAAUGGAAUUGGAUUUUCUAAUUAAAUACAUUAAUGAUAUAAUAAUAAGUAUGUAUUCUUAAAAUUAUUAAAAAAAAAACUUAAUCUCAAGUGACUUUGAAACUAAUUAAAGAUACAUUGAUUGUUAAGGGAAAACUAUACACAAACACCAAACUAAAUGCUUGUUUGUAAAUGUGGUUUAACCAUGUUUUUUUAAAAUAUUUAUAUUUUUUUAUUUAUAUUUUUAAUUAAUAUUUUAUUAUUUUUAUUUUAUUAUUUUGAAGUAUUCACUACCAGAAAUUCGCUAAAUACCAACGGACUCACCGACAUAAUUUUUUCUGUCGGUAUUUUUCGGUCGAAAUCACCGACGGAACAUUUUCGUCGGCCGAAUUACCGACAGAAAAUUCAGAAUUAAUGAAAAAAGAGCGGGUAGAUGGCGCCAAGGUUUUGGCGGGUGAUUUUGCCGACGGAAUUAAAACCUGGGGCCCGUACGCGUGAUGGGACCUAUUCACCGUCAAUAAUACCGACGGAAUCACCAACGGAUUUGAAAUGCCAGAUCCGUACCGGUGACGUGACCGGUGAACCGUUAAAAACAACCGAUGGAAUCACCGAGGGAUUUGAAUAGCAGGUCCGUGCGGUGACAUGUCGAUUGCCCGUUAGAAUUAUCGACGGUUUCGCCGACUUAUUCACCGACGGAAUAAAACCGUCGGUAAGUCCGUUGGCAAAAGUGAAUAUAUGGCCACUCUGCCGACACUCUCCUCCCCCAUUUCUCCUUCUUCUUCCUAAUCCUAACCCUCCCCAUCUGCAAAUAACCAGCCCCCCUCGCCCCAAAACAAAAAUCUUCUUCAUCUCAGCACAACAAGUUGUAUUUCUUGAAGUUUUGUGGUCACAUCAUCCGUGUUCUGAUUUACCGAUGGAUUUUAUCAUUUUUUAUAAGUAAUUCUAUCUUUUAAAUUUUUAACAUUUAAAUGUCAAUUUUAUUGUUUUUUUAGUAUAUGUAUUUUUUUUUAGUAGAUGUACAUGUUUUAUUGUUAUUUCUCAAACAAACUUGUAGUAUAUGAAUGUAUAAUUUUAUACUUGUUAUGGUUUGUUUUAGAUUUUUUAAGAUUGUAUUUGUUUGUAAAUUGUUAAAACUUAAUUUGUAGAAUUACCGAAUUACAUGUUAUGUUUUGAAAUAAUUAAGAGCUUGCUUAAUGGGUCCUUUUUAUAGAGGUUCGAUAGAAGUCAUGGAUGAUCGUUCAUGGAUGUAUCUAGAUUCAUUCCCGUUACAAACCCAGAACUGGUAGGGGGAAGACUCUAGUGGCAUAUAAAAAACUUAGAUAUUUCCUGAUCACACCUAGACUGCAGAGGUUAUUUAUGUCACCAAGGACUGCUGAGCACAUGACAUGGCACCAAACACACGAUGCCAUUGAUGGUGUGAUGGUGCAUCGUUCUGACGGCGAAGCGUGGAAACGCUUUAACAGUGUUCAUCCUGACUUUUCUGCUGAAUCAAGGAAUGUUCGACUUGGGUUGUGUACAGACGGGUUCAACCCAUUUGGGUCAUUUGCUGCUCCCUAUUCUUGUUGGCCGGUCAUUCUCACAGUUUAUAACUUGCCACCUGGAAUGUGUAUGAGACCGGAGUUCAUGUUUCUAUCUACUGUCAUACCCGGUCCAAGCAGCCCGGGGCGGAAUAUAGAUGUUUGUCUUCGACCGUUGAUAGAUGAGCUGGCGUAGUUGUGGUCCUCCGGAUCUCUGACUUAUGAUAUAUCAAGGAAACAAAAUUUCCUUAUGAGGGCGGCUUUGAUGUGGACUAUCAGUGAUUUUCCAGCUUAUGGAAUGCUUUCUGGUUGGAGCACGCAUGAGAAACUCACAUGUCCAUACUGCAUGGAAAACAACAAGGCAUUCACGCUAGCAAACGGAGGUAAAGCUUCUUUUUUUGACUGUCACCGUCGCUUCUUGCCACUUAAUCACAGGUUCAGAAAGAACAUAAAAGAUUUCUUUGUUGGUAGAGUUGAAAAAGAUGCUGCAUCCCCGCGUCUUUCUGGUGAAGAAUUGCAUCAUGUUGUAUCAGAGUACGGUGACAUUGUGUUUGGCCUUCAAUCAGGUAAGCAAAAGUUUCCUGGUUUUGGUUUGACCCAUAAUUGGGUAAAGCGAAGUAUCUUUUGGGAGCUUUCGUAUUGGAAGACUAAUCUUCUCCGCCAUAACCUUGACGUCAUGCACAUCGAAAAGAACGUGUUUGAGAAUAUUUUCAACACCGUCAUGGAUGUGAAGGGGAAGACAAAGGACAACAUGAAGGCUAGAUUGGAUAUAGCUUUAUACUGUAACCGUAAAAAUAUGGAGUUGGUUUAUGACGAGUCACGGGUUGCAAAACCAAGGGCAAGCUUCGUGUUAGAGAAAAACGCACAACUGCUAGUCUACAAAUGGCUUAAGAGUCUGCGUUUCCCGGAUGGACAUGCAUCGAACAUAUCAAGGCUUGUUAACAUAGAGGACUGCAGAUUGUAUGGAAUAAAGAGUCAUGACUGCCACGUGUUUAUGCAAACACUAAUCCCAUUAGCUUUUCGUGAUUUGUUGCCAAAGAGAAUAUGGGAUGCACUAACGGAGAUCAGUCAUUUCUUCAGAGAUAUAUGCUCCAGCAAGAUGAAUGUUGAGCACAUUGAGAUGCUUCAAACGAAUAUCAUCGAGACACUAUGCAAGCUUGAGAUGAUAUUCCCUCCUUUAUUUUUUGACUCAAUAGAGCAUCUCCCUAUACAUCUACCGUUCGAGGCAAAAGCUGGAGGACCGAUCCAGUAUAGAUGGAUGUACCCAUUCGAACGGUGAGAUAUUACAGUUGCAAUGGAAUUCAUAUCUUAAGGUAUUUUCUAUGUUUUUCUUAAUUGAAAAUACUUGAAUUGUACUUCAAUGCAGGUACUUGUUUAAUCUAAAAAAAAAGGUUAAGAACAAGGUGCAUGUUGAGGCUUCGAUAUCUGAGGCCUAUAUUGUUGAAGAGAUAUCAACAUUUAUCUCGUACUAUUUCGAACCUCAUCUGAGAACAAGAAUCAAUCGCGUUCCACGGCAUGAUGAUGGCGGUGAAGUGCCUUCCAGUGGGAACUCGUCAAUAUUCUCCAAUACUGGACGACCCACACCUAAAAAUGCCGUAAGAGGAAGAUAUUUGUCGGAAAUAGAAUUCAAACAAGCACACAACUAUGUUCUAUUUAACUGUGAUGAGCUGAGACCAUUUAUUCACUAAGUCUAUAUAUGUGUAAUACUAAUUAAACUUUGUCAGUAAUAUACUGUUAAUUAUAUAUUGUAAUAUCAUACACUCGCAGGCAACAUCGACAAUAUUUUCUCUCUAAUAUAUCGCAGCUGACCGAAUCCCUUAUCAAAUGGGAAGGAGUGCGCCCAAGUCAUUGUCUUCACUAAGCCUCGACCCUGAAAGAAAAGUUAAGUGCUACAACGGGUAUUUUGUCAAUGGAUAUGUUUUCCAUACUGAAGAAUACGGGCAAGGAAGAAAGAUAUACAACUGCGGUGUUUGUGUUAAGGGAUCCACAAGUAGCCAGUUAGAAGUUGACUACUAUGGUAGAUUAGAAGAGGUCGUCGAACUGCAAUAUCAUAGCGAGCAGAAUAAAGUGUUUUUAUUCAAAUGCUAUUGGUAUGAGACGACGGACAGAGGAAUUAGAGUUGAUCCGCACCAUGGUUUGGUCGAAAUCAACUCAAAAGCUAGACUCUGCAACAUAAACGAUGUCUUUGUUUUCGCAAAGCAAUGUCAACAAGUUUAUUACACAUACACCCCUUCAUUUAGAAAGGAUCGAUCAAGAGUUGAUUGGUUGUCCGUUUUAAAAACGAAACCACGGGGUCGUGUCGAGGUUGUUCAGGAUGAGAACGAAGACACAAGUGUGCGAGAUGAAGUCUUUCAAGUUCGUGAGUUGGUUGAAUCAUAUCGAGUUGCUCCUUCGAUUGAAUUGGAAGAAAAUUCAAAUUUUCGAGUUCUCGAUGAUAGUCUUGUUGAUAUUCAAUGAGAGGAGUUGAAUGUUGUUCUCAGCUCAAGCGGACAAGCAAAUGUCGAUGAAGAAGAUGAUAUCCAUAUUGAAGAUUGCGAUGAAGAUGAUGACAAUUCAAUUGAUGAGGAAGAAGAAGAAAAUUCCGACUAAUUAUGAAAAUGAAGCCCUAUGUAAAAACAAUUGUCUCAUGUAAUUUAGAUUAUAGAUGAUGUAUUUUGUAAAACAAAAUAUUUAUUGUUUAAGCAAUGUGGUUAUUGUUUUAUGUGAUGGACAGUUUAUCAGUUAAGUUUUUGCAGGAAGGUAAACAGGCAAUACAAAGACAACUUUUCCUGCAUAAUGCAAACUUACCGACGUCCAUACCGACGGAUAACCAUCCGUCGGUAUCUCACAGAGAGUUCGAAAUUAAUUACGCGAAAUGCCACCAACACCGACGACAUUACCGACGGAUUCACCGACACCUACACCGACGGAUUCUAGUCUGUCGGUAUAUCACAGAGAGUUCGAAAACAAUUACAACAAAAUGUCACCUUCACCGACGGAUAUACCGACGUCAUUAAAUCCGUCGGCAUCUCACAGAGAGUUCGAAAACAUGGAACAAUCAUCGACGGGAAUACCGACGGAUUAUAGUCCGUCAGCAUUGUUGCUACCCAAUUUUUGACCCAUGUUUUGAUAUAUUUUAAAAAAUCCAAAAAAUUGAGAAAAACAAAGAAAAUCCAAAAAUAUGUUUUUUAAUAUAUUUUCGUCAUUUUAACAUUUUCAACGUCGUCUAAAAAAGAAUUUAAAUUGUUAAAAUAUUUUCAAACGCGUUCGACUUUUCACGUGUGAUUUUUAAAAUCAUUGAUUUUCCGCAUUUGAGUCGACGUUGAUAUUGCUCGUUUUCAAAAAAUAUAAAAAAAUAAGAAAAAUCAAAAUUUACAAAAAGAAAGAAGUUGAGGGACCAAGUUGAAAAACUUGGCAACAUUUUUUCCUAUAAAUAUUGGUCUUUAACUCACACAAAAGGGGGGGGGGCUAAUUUUGGAAACACAAAAAAAAUAACAACAAAAAAACCCUAAACCUAAAAGAUUUGUUUUCUCUGCAGCCGUUGAACCAAGCCAGCCCCCCCCCCUCACCUUUUGAAAUUUUUUUUUUCUCUUCUCACUCAAUCGGCCAAACAGCCCCUCCCCGGUUUGAAUCAUUCUCCAAUCCCUGGCCGUUCCUUUCCCUUCUCAAUAGCAGCGCCUCCCAACUCUGUUCCCAAUUCCCAGCCAACGAAAGCCAAAAAGAAAGCCAUAGCCAGCCGGCGUCCCUCAGCCUUUGAAGAAAAAGAAAGCCAUAGCCGAUCCCCCAUCAUCAGAUUUUUUCCCUUCUUCUCAGCCACUUCACAACCCCCCUCCCCCACCGGACUUUUGAUUUUUUUUCUUCCCCUUGGUUCUGAUUUUUUCAGACCACGCAGCCAUCCCAGCUCUUCUUCUCCUCCCCACUUCUCCCAACGCCAGCUCUCCUCUCACCGUUCACCAGAGAUUUCUUCCUUCACAGGCCCGGCGCCUCAUAGGUUCUCUCUCUCGGCCACGAUCUCCACCGCCUCUCGCCGCCCGUCAUUUGGGCGAACCAGUGGCGUCUCCGCAGUAGCGCCGUCCAAAGAUCCAGCAGACCCAGCUCCACAGAACCGGCUUCCACCGAGCCACACAGCAGCAGACGAUCUCCCCACCGACCGGACAACCACUCCUCACUCCACAGCAGGUCGGCCACAGAAGAAGAAGAAACCCACGGACUGAUCUGCAACGAAGAAGAAGAGAAAGAGGAGCAGAUCGAAAACGAUGCAGAUCUAAAAAAGGAACAAAAACAGAUUUGAAAUCAAAGAAAAAAACUAAAAUCGACUGCUGUGUGUUUAUUUCCUUGUUCUGCAGAUCACCGAUGGUUUAGGAAGACAGGAGAAGAAGAAGCUGUCUGGACCAGCUGUUUUCCAGCUCCUUCUCACGGUGGCGCGUGCACCCACGCACCGCCAGUGGCGGGGGCGCGUGGGAAGACGCGCCGCCAGUGAUUUCUGCCCCAGCAGCCUUCCCGAGCACUGUUCCUGCGGUUCUAAGUGGACUUCCCUGCACUUCUUGGACUAUUUAGGGACUGUUUUGUAGUUUUAGAAUUGUUUAAUGUAAUUUGUUUAGUUUUGAUUUUUUUUGUAAUUUAUAUUUUUGUAAAUAUGGAUGUAAAAGAAAAGAAAAGAAAAAAGAAAAAAGAAAAGAAAAGAAAUAAAAAAAAUAGUGAAAGUGUAUGUGUGGGUUUGUAUUUGUUUUUUAUGAAUGUUUUUUUUAUUUUUCUUAUGAUAAAAUUGCAAAGAUUAAAGAAGAAUUUAAUAUUUUGAUUGGAUCACGGUCCAGAUUUAUUAACUUAUACGUAAGUUGUAUUUCUAAUUUCCGAUGAAAAGACAAAAUUUUGAAACUUCUUUAACACGUCAAAAAUCACGAAGCAGCUUACCUCAGGUAGGGUGCGUUAGGGGUGCUGAUACCUUCCCUAACCACAACCAGUCCCUUACCCGCGAGUCUCUGACAAGACCAGUACAUCAGGUUUCCUAGUAGCCCUCAAUAAAUUACUAGGUGGCGACUCCAACAAACCAAUUCAAGCAACGAACGCAACAUACGAGAUUUAAAUCGCCAGCCGAUGCCGCGCGCUGAUUUGAUUUUUUUUUGGGGUGCGACAGAAUGGCGACUCCACUAGGGAAGGUAUUUUUUCGAGUAUUGGACUAAGCUUUGUGUAUUUGAUGUGUUUAAGUUUUUGCAUUUUUAUCUUUUUAUUAAUAUUUAUUUCCAUGCAUUUUAUAGAAUUGUUUCAUGCAUCACCUGUAUUUAUUUUUAAAAGCACACACAAGCUUCUAGGUUAGGUGGGGAACUAGCGAUCUGCCCUAAGACUAUCGGUCAGGGUUCAGAUGCGUGAAACACCCAACUCAUAUCUGAGUGCCUGCUUGGUAAUGGUGGGUAUACGUGCCUUAACCAUUCCUUGCAACGCCCCCAUACUGUCUUUACGAAGAACGUCACUGGGCAGAUAUGAGACCCUUUUGAGACCAGAUAGAAAACCUAUCCAUGUUCACAUAAUGAAUAGAACCUGUCCUUAGGUUGUAUGUGCUAUCGUUUUUUGCAUAAGAGCAAACCCUUCUUGAAGCAUCUUGAACUCAAGACUUAUUGGUGACACAUUGGCCGUUGCUCCGAAAAUUUUCAUUGUAGAGUUUGGGCAAAAAUCACGAUUCUUGUCCAUCAUACAAGAGUUACGACCAUAUUGUCACCUCUUGAAGGGUGAGUUCAUCAUAUAGAUUACAUGUUCAUACAUUUGUCAUGCAUGCACCGGGUUGAAAAGUAGGUUCCCCCGCACAAGCUGUGCUGCAAGGGAUUAAAGAAAGGAUGGAAGUGAAGAAAGAUGUCAAAUAGAGGCUCAUUAUCAGUUUGAGUGUGAGAGCAUCAAAGGUGAAGUAGUUGGACUCAGAUCUGCUCGAACAAGUGUUGAGCAUCAAAUGGAAAGAGAAUGUCUGCAUAGUCUUCUUUGGGAACACUGUUUGUCCACGUCCAAUUGAAGUUGCCUCUCCUUUUCAGUCAUGAACAACAACAACAAUGCCUUCAAUCAUCAACUAAUGACAACUCUGAUUCCUGUCCAGUUGCGCUGUUAAGUAUUCAUCGCCUCCACAUCAUCUAAUGGAACCAAACGACUACUAGCCUCCUGUUCAUGGUGCAUUAGUCUGCUUUGAAGUUACCCCAAUUAUGAGCUCAAUUCCAGUUCAACAGCACAAGAUGGUUUGAAAAACCAUGAUUAAACACUGAACUUCAAUGUGGCAGAGCUCUCUCUACAAAAAUCCAUUUAUGGAUCUGCCAAUUGGGAAUGCAAGAGGGGAUUUAUAAGUUGCAUAUGCUACAAAUAUUUCUCUCAUCAGUUUCAGCACGAAGACCUUUUAGUAGGUUGAAGAGCCAGACCUGGUCCGAAAAAUAUGAGCAGACAUCAAACUUCAACGUAGCAAAGCUCACUCAACAGGAAUCUGUUUGUGGAUCCGCAAGUGGGAAGUCCAAGAAGGAAUACAGUAGUUUCAGGUCAUCUAUGAUUUUCCUCCAACAGUGUCAGUAUUAAAACGCAAAAGUAGAGAGAGACAUGCCUAGACUGAAAAACAUGAAGAAUACUGAAACUUCAACAGAGCAGGACUUCCUCUAUAGGUGUUUGUUUGCUGCACUGUCAGUGAGAAAUCGAAGAAGGGACAAAGGAGUUUUAGAUUCAUCAGGUGCUCUUCCAAUAGAGACAAUGUGUGAUUCCACACGUCGGUAGUGGCGAUACUACAAGUUUCUGGGCGCUGCCAAGAUUACCAAGCUGUUAGAAAGUUUUCUAACAAUCCUCAACCAACCAUAGCAACAUUGGAGGAUUGAAAUAAUGUUGUGAGGAUUUGCCGAAGAAUUGAACAAGCUAUGAAGAGAAGAAAGAUUGAAGGAUCUGCCAUGGAUUUUAGAACAAUGAUGAGAUGUGAAUCAGGAGAUGACUUUGACGGUGUGAGCCCUUUAAUUAUGUGGUAUAGCCAGGUCUCACGGUAGCAUCAAUUGCUCAAAUAUCUUUGCCAAGAUGGGACAUUCCUCUGCCAUUUAAGUUUGUCGACCAGCAUCUGCCAGAUUCCAGAAUUUUGCUUGACUCCGACAAAUCCUAUGCAACCACCAUUUUCUGGGUGGUUUAAUCCAGACAAGAUGUGAUGUCAUGAUGGGGUUCUCAACCAUUUCAAUUGAGCAAUUGCAAGAAUGGCAACAAUUGAGUCUGAAAGUUGGUGAGCAAGGGAUAAAUGGAGCUUGCAAAGGAGGGUGUCAUUGGCUAUAUUGUCCCCCGAACAUCAUCAAAAUGACAUGUGAUCGAAAGUGCUUGGCAAAACACAGAUAUUGCCAGAAAAGCUGAUUCGAGAAUGGUGAUGAACAGUCAAUCAUAUUGUUAUGAAAUUCUGCAUUUUGUUUUGGGAUCACAUCUCAUCCUUCAACGAAACAUGCCUUGCUUUUGUCUCUUUGUUGUUUUGAAAUCAACAGAUGUUUAGCAUUUUAUUCUGACAAAAUAUUUUGAUCAAACUCCAACAUGCGAUAAAGGUUAAUCAAUCCGGAAGAUUAGAAGUGUUUUGAUUACAGAAAUGACUCUAUGCUUGAAAAUGACAUGGGGUGACCAAACAAUUUUGAACUCAUACCUUUUGAAACUGAACCACACAUCAUAUAGCUAAGUUUUAGCAGUAUGCAUAAUGACAUGUAGUGGAUUCAAUAGUUAUGGACUCGUGAAUCAUGAUUCUUGCAAGUACAAAUCAUUACACUAGAUGACGUCAAAAUUUAUCGGUUCUAACCGACCUUGCUUGAAAUGAGAAAAUGCCAUCUUUGAUAUCUCUUCACUUUCUAAAAAUUAUAUCCCUUGUAGUCCCAUUUUGAGCUUGGUGAGAUAUUUUCUUUCAAAAGGAAACCCUGACUAGGAUCACACCCCAUACUGGGGGCAAAUGAGAAAUGUUUUGGAGACACAGAUAAAAUCAAUGGAUCAAAGAAAAGUUUAGAACAAAAGUCCAAUGUUUGAGAAAGGGCUAGAAGAAGAAAAUCCAUAGAUUGAGGGUCAUCCAAGAAAAACUUUGAGGAAGGCUAUGCAAAAAAAUGGAAAGGAAAUGUAAAGGAAAGAAAAUGCCUAUCAAUUCUAAAGAGAGGCAAGAUAGUUUUCGAUUGAGAAAAGACAAUAAUUGCCGAAAGUCAACACUAGAAAAAUCGAUGCUUCAUAUUUCUUGGUGUGUCUAGGAUAAAGCCUCUAAUGUCUUCAAAAUUAGAUUAGUUAUUCAUCAAAGAAAAAGUUGGAUUUACAUUAUGACCUAUGUUAAGAGAAUUCUGAUAUUUGAGAUUAACAGGGUUAUAUGUCACUUUCUCUACAAUGACAACAAGAGAAAGAGAAUCGAUGAAUAGUUAAUGUUGGUCCUAGGUCGUUGAAACCCUCAAACACCUUUUGAGCCUAUUGAAAUUCUUUUCUUUCAUAGCCAUGAACCAUAGCCUACAUUACGUGCUUUUAAAAGCCCUUUUUGAUCAAGUAAACAAUCUGAACCGAUAAAUGGCGCUCUCAAAACUUGAAGAGCUUUUCCAUAAGGGUCGUGACUUCAUGAAUUAGGCUACUGGUUAUUAUGCAUGCUUGUCGCACCCGACAUCGCGGCGGCCUUAAAAAUUAAUUCUUGAAUUAUGGAAAAAGAACCGAUUUCAUGCAUCGUGUUCUUUUAGGGGAAAAGGUCUUUAUUUAAGGAGUCGCCACCUAGUAUUAUGGUCACUAGGAACCCUAACUGGUCCACAGAGAUUCUAUGAUCCGAGACUGGUUACGUAGAAGGGAAGAUAUUAUCACCCCUUAAACGUCCUACCUAAGGUAGGCUGCAUUGCUGGUCUUUGUUAUUAAUUGCUAACAUCUUUAUUGGUUUAUACUAUGAUUUCUUGUGUACAAUAUUCCUGACUCUGGUGCCAGUGAAUAUUCAACUACGUAUAUUUCCAACUCUGGCGUUGGUAAAUAUUACGUAGGUAUCAAAAUAAAUUCAUAUCAUCAUUUUUAUUAUAUUCCUGACUCUGGCGUCAGUGAAUAAACAAGUAGAAAUCAAUUUUUUUUUUUUUAUGCAUGCGAAACAAAAUAAAAUAAAUUUAUCCUAGUAUUUUUUUUUUAUUCCCGACUCUGGCGUCGGUGAAUAUACUAAAUAAAUUUAUCCUAUUUUAUCUUAUGUGAAUAAAAAAUCAAUUCAUUUCUUUAUCAAAUUAUUUUUUUAUGCAUGCGAAACAAAAUAAAAUAAAAUAAAUUUAUCCUAGUAUUUUUUUAUUCCCGACUCUGGCGUCGGUGAAUAUACUAAAUAAAUUUAUCCUAUUUUAUUUUAUGUGUUUUUUUUUGUCAAUGAAUAAAAAAAAUUCAUUUAUGUAUAUAUUUUUUACAUACACAAUUUUUAUUAUAUAUUUUUAAUAUUUUAUAUUUUUUACCUUUUUUUUAUUUAUUUUUGGCCUGGGCUGGGCUAAAUCCAACCCAGCAAGUAUAUAUAUUAGUGGCUGGGCUCAGCUCAGCCCCACAAGGGCUGGGCUGAACCCAGCCAGCCCGGCCCGGGUCACUGGCCCAAGCCAGUGACCUGGCUACACAAGAUGCACGCGUGAAACAGAUCACGCGUGCAUCAACAGUGCGAAGGUAAUUAAAUUACCUUCGCACUGUUCAAACAAUUAUUUGAACACGAAGAGCAGAGAAAAAAUGGAAAAGGAAGCGAACCUGUUUUUGGAGAUUGAAGAAGAUUGCAACGCUGGUUUGGCCGCUUUGAGUUGACUGCUUUCUGUUUCUGGCGAUGCUGAGGCAGGUUGAGGCGACGGUGUGGCUCGACUGCUGUCGAUACACGACGUCGGGCGACGGCUCCGCUCAUUUUUGUUUAUUUAACAAAAAAGAGAUUGUUUAAUUGGGGGAAUGAAAAUUAUAUUGGAGUCGCCAUCUAGUAAUUUGAGGGAACUAGAAAUCCCAAAUUAGACACUGGUCCCAGAGAUUCAGGUACUGGGUUAGUUAUGAUUAAGGGAAGGUAGACACCAUCCUUAAAACAUCCUUUCAAAAGAAAGGUUACCCUUACUUGUGUGUUUUUUUUUAUUUGAUUUAAAUGCUAUUAUAUUUUGAGCUUAUUUGCAAUUUUGUUUUUUUUUAUGGUUAACGUCGGUCCCUAAAAAUAGGAGACACGUUAAAAAUGACAUCAGUCCCUAAAAAUAGGAGACUUGUCUAAAAUAUUGACGUUUAACCCUAAAAAGGAGAAGUACGUCUGAGUUACCAAAAAACUAUGGACAUAAUCCAUAUUUGGGUAUUUAAACUUUUGACAUCGGUCCUUUUUAAAAAGAGACGUGUCGACAAAAUAUUUGUUUAUAAAAAAAAUAUUUUAUAUCGUUGAGAUAUGGGUAUAACUAUAUUUGAAAAUUGGGCUUUGGACCCACGAAUGAUGACAUAAUAGGAUGGGUGUUGGACCCGCGUUGUUAUUUUUUUUUUAUUUUUUUGUUUUACAACAUGCAAGAAAAUUUAUAUACAAAAUAAAAAAAAUAUUAGCAAUCUAAAUAAAAUUACAUGAGUGACACAGUAUAGGUAAAAGACUGAAAUACCCUCGGAUUUAUCAGAAAUUACGAAAAUGCCACUGGCGGCGCGUGUGUCACGCGCGUCACUGUUGGUGGCGACGAGAUUUUCAGGCGAGAUUUCUGGCCAACCGAUGGUCGGUUCUGGUAGAUCUGAGGUCGAGGAUUCUGUUGGUGGUGGUCUCGACGGUCGUUGAUGGCUGACGAGGGAGAAUCGUCGACUUGAAGCUUCGGUGGCCGGCGAGAAUCGCGGCCUUUUUCCGGCCAGAUGAGGCGGCGAAAACGGUUAAAACCACCGGGGUUUGCUUUAAACAGUGGAUCAACCUUUCUGUGGUGGUUGGAGGUGAUAUGGCCGGAAAGUGGAGAUCGAGGAGAGAGAGAGAGUCGCCGGCGAGAGGAGAGAGAUGCUCCGAGAUUUGCUACGGUGCGGACGCGUGUAUGGUGUACCGGUGCCGCUGAAGGAUGUUAACCGUUGGAUCUUGGAUGAAACGAUCGGAUGGCUGUGAUUGGCUAGAUCAGCAGGUUGAUCGGACGGCCCAGAUUGUCUGGUUUUGAUCUGUGUGGCGCGGUGCACCGAAAGCUCGGUGCACCGGAUGACGUGGCGCAACGGAUUAAAUCCUGGAAUAUGUUAACGGCUGAGAUGUGUUGGGAUAUGUUUGGUAUUUUUUAAAUUGUUUUUUUUAAAAGACAAUAUCCUACUCUCCUGAAGAAAAACUAAAAAAUUAGAAUUAUCAAUCGAUUCUUUCUUUUUUUUUCUUUUCUCUUCCUCCUUUUUUUUUUUUCUUGCCCCCCUCUCGUGGCUAUUUAUAGCCACGGGACAACAACCAUAAAAUUCUAUUUUAUUAUAUAUAAUAAUAAAUAAUGCACACAACUACCAUAAUUUUGUUUUAUUAUAUAUAAUAAUAAAUAUUGCACACAACUACCAUAAUUUUGUUUUAUUAUAUAUAAUAAUAAAUAUUUACAUGGGUAAAACUAAAAAUUCAAAUCAGUAUUAGAAAAAUCCCGUUUCAACCGCCAAAAAAUGGAAUACCAAAAAAAACAUUUGAUGGGUAUCGACCCGAUGAACCGGGUUUUGGUCGAAAAUGACGGUUUUGACCCAAGACAGCCCGAAACUCAUUUUUUACCCUGGUCGACAUGGUAUGACCCGUAUUGACCCGGUGAACUCGGUUUUGGUCGAAAAUGAUGUUUUUGACCCGAAACAGCCCGAAACUCAUUUUUUACCCUGGUCAACAUGGUAUGACCCGUAUUGACCCGGUGAACCCGAUUUUGGUUGAAAAUGAUGUUUUUGACCCGAAACAGCCCGAAACUCAUUUUUUACCCUGGUCGACAUGGUUUGAAUGAAGAGAUGCGGUUGACUCGAGAGAGAAAAAAAAUAUUUUUAAAUUUUCAAAUUUUUCUUAAUGUUUUUUUUGGAUUUUUUGAAAAUAUAUAAAAAACAUGGGUCAAAAAUUGGGUAGCAACAGAUGCCCCCUCUUUACAAUGCUUACGAAGCAAAAAUCCUCGAUGUUUUGCAUAGUAAGCUUUGUAAAGAAAAAAAACUUGUCUUUCUGUCUCUCUUUUUUCGUUAACCUGAGAUCCCAUCUGGCGACCUCCUUUACCAAAACCAAAGAAUGUGUAAAACGUGGUCUCAUUGUAAUGGGUAACCAACCCAGGUGGAAAGAAUGUGAAAAAAAAAUGGUCUCAUUAUGAUGGGUGACCUACCCAAAGGAGAAGUGGUCUCAUUGUAAUGGGUACCCAAAAGGUGAAAAAUGUGAAGUGUGUCUCAUUGUAAUGGGUGACCUACCCAGAUGGAAAAAAAUGAAGUGGUCUCGUUGUGAUGGGCGACCUACCCAAAUAGAAAGAAUGUGAAGUGCGGUCUCAUUGUAAUGGGUGACCUACCCAAAAAUGGAAAAAAUAUGAAGUGUGGUCUCAUUGUAAUGGGUAACCUACCCAGAUGGAAAAAAUGUGAAGUGCGGUCUCAUUGUAAUGGGUGACCUACCCAAAAAUGGAAAAAAUAUGAAGUGUGGUCUCAUUGUAAUGGGUGACCUACCCAGAUGGAAAAAAUAUGAUGAAGUGGUCUCGUUGUGAUGAGCGACCUACCCAAAUAGAAAGAAUGUGAAGUAAAGAAUUUUGUGAGUGGUCUAAUUGUUCCAGGCGACCUGCCCGAUGAUAAAAUGCGAGGAAACUCGCAAGUGGUCUAAUUGUUCCAGGCGACCUGCCCGAUGAUAAAAUGCGAUGAAAAUCGCAAGUGGUCUAAUUGUUCCAGGCGACCUGCCCGAUAAAUGAAAAAAAAAAUGCGAGGAAACUCGCAAGUGGUCUAAUUGUUCCAGGCGACCUGCCCGUUGAUAAAAUGCGAGGAAACUCGCAAGUGGUCUAAUUGUUCCAGGCGACCUGCCCGAUGAUAAAAUGCGAUGAAAGUCGCAAGUGGUCUAAUUGUUCCAGGCGACCUGCCCGAUUGAUAAAAUGCGAGGAAACUCGCAAGUGGUCAAAUUGUUCCAGGCGACCUGCCCGAUAAAUGAAAAAAAUGCGAGAAAACUCGCAAGUGGUCUAAUUGUUCCAGGCGACCUGCCCGAUGAUAAAAUGCGAUGAAAAUCGCAAGUGGUCUAAUUGUUCCAGGCGACCUGCCCGAUGAUAAAAUGCGAUGAAAGUCGCAAGUGGUCUAAUUGUUCCAGGCGACCUGCCCGAUUGAUAAAAUGCGAGAAACUCGCAAGUGGUCUAAUUGUUCCAGGCGACCUGCCCGAUAUGAAAAUGCGAGAAAACUCGCAAGUGGUCUAAUUGUUCCAGGCGACCUGCCCGAUGAUAAAAUGCGAUGAAAAUCGCAAGUGGUCUAAUUGUUCCAGGCGACCUGCCCGAUGAUAAAAUGCGAUGAAAGUCGCAAGUGGUCUAAUUGUUCCAGGCGACCUGCCCGAUGAUAAAAUGCUUGAAAGUGAAUGAGCUUCAGGGUUGAUGAAAACUUCUAAAGGAAGUCAUACCUGUACGGUUGAGAUUUGAUCUGUAAAUCGAUCUCAAAGAUGAUGUAAGCUUUCACGAAAGUCGUAUAUGUAAAGCUGAGAUCUGAUUUGCAAAUCAAUCUCAAAGAUAACACUCAAGAAAGUCUUACAUGUACAGUUGAGAUCUGAUUUGCAAAUCAAUCUCAAAGACGACGCUCAAGAAAGUCUUAUAUGUACAGCUGAGAUCUGAGUUGUGAAUGGAUCAGGAAAGCUUCUCAAGAAAGUCUUGUAUGUACGGUUGGGAUUUGAUUUGUAAAUGGAUCCCAAAAGAUGAGGAAAGCUUCCCAAGGAAGUCUUGUAUCUACGGCUAAGAUCUGAUCUUCUAUUGAAAAUGAUGGCCGGAGCAAAUUCCCUAUAAAUCACGCAAUAUUGGGCAAAAGACAUCAUCCACUUCUCACAUUUUCAAUACUCUCAAAGUUCUUAACUUUUGAAGUUUUAACCAUGUCUUCCUCUUCUUCCAAUGCUAAUCCAAACCUUGUUCCUGCGGCAGAGCCUGUAGUUUGGCGUACAACCUUUGAAGUGAAUGGUCGUCCAGUUACAAUAGAGGAUACUGUAAUGGACGAUGAAGAUACCGCUGUAGCCGUGGCUAGAGACAUGAUCCUUCCUCGUGAUGAAAUGAUGCUGGCAGCGAGGACCGAUAUUGAAGCAGUGAAUCAGUCACUUGCUCUUAGUAUCAGAGCUACUUCGUCUUUGGUGAAUGUUGCGGAGCGUCUUCAUGCCAGAAGACUUGAGUUGAAUACUCAAAUUCCUGAGCUCCAUAAUCAGAUUGAGAAUUUAAGGAAAAGGCUCCAUGAUGAGAGACGUUACAGGAACGAAUUGGAGAGGAGAAACCAAGAGCUCAAUGCACGUGUUGACUUUUGGAGGGACUAUGUUAACACUCGACACCUCGAGUUCGAGGAAGAGAUGGAGCGCAUGCAUAAGCAAUUUGAGGAAUUCCGAGGCAUGAUUGGCCAUCAAGAUGAAAAUAUCCCUAAUCGUCCUCACAGUGUUUAACGUUUGUACUUGUAAACCAUUAUGCCUAUGAAUAAAAAUCCAUCUUCUCGUCUUCAUUCAUGAAUUUUGCCUUUGUGGAAUUGCCAUAUUUGAUAUGAUUUAAAAGAACUUCAAUUCAUCUUUGUCUCGUUGGAUCCCAUGAGGAGUUUUGUUUCGAGAGAUAUCUGCAAAACAAAUAUGCGAUGCUUGUGAAGUGAGAUGAUAUGCAAUGCAUCUUACCUGUUUUUGAAAUAUAGAUCCCCGUUCAUCUUGUUUGAGGGUUUUGACUUUGAGUGAGCUCUUUUGAUUUACGCGUACUUCAAGUCUACUCAAGCUGACCCAUGUUGUCCAUUUUUUGAGUUUCCCAACAGUCACUGCACGUUUCUCUAUUGGUAACUUCACUAAGAGAAUCAGCUUCUCCGUGGCCCGACAUUGUCCUGAGAUUUCAUCUGCAUUUCUCUUACUGAAGAUGUAUCAGUUAUCUUGUUGUCUAACUGAUCAUAUUGUAAGAGUCAACAAUCUCCUUUCAUAGAUACUGAAAAUCAUACUAUUUCAGUCCGCAUGCUAGAAGAAGUCCACAGUUUUAUCAUGUGUAUUUUCCACUAGGGAAGCAAAUUUCUUUGUGUUUAAGGAUCUGGUAACUGCUUCUCUGCCCCCUGGGAGAAUUAACUGCCUCAUUUCAUUUCCUCCUUUGCUCUUGUUGUCAUUAGAAUCUCUGAUUUUCUAAUGGUGCCUUAGUGUUAUAUUCAUUUUUCUUACAAAGAAAACCUUUUUUCAAAAAUGAUUUUUUAAAAGAUCUGUUUUGUUCCGAAAACUGAAACUCUCAAUGUCUGUUUAUAACAAUGUUCAGGCAAUUCUGGGGCUUUAUGUCAAAUCUCUUGGUAAAAGUAAUCUAAGAUGAAGGUAAGUGAUGAGAUGACCUUCUGCUUUGGUUUUCAAAGUGUUCAAGCGAUUGCUUGAAGGUAUUUUGAGAGAAAAGAAACAAUUUGCCUUUUAUCUUUAGAAACACUCUUUUUAACAGCAUGAAUAAUAAUGAGUAAUUAUUUGCUAUGCUAUGACUCUUUUGGAAAAGUCUCUUAUUUUGAGAACGCCGUUUAUUGAUCCAGGUCGCUUACUUGAUUAGAAAGGACUUCAAAGGCACGUAAUGUAUUUAUGGCUCAAGGCUAUAAAAGAAAGAGUAUUCCAUAAGCUCAAAAAGUGUUUAAGGGCUUAUAAACUAUAGAUCACUAUUAUCUUGUCUUGGCAUUUUCUUUUGCUACCUUGACAACAAAAAUGAUGAUGAAUAUUCCAAAUGAGGAACUUCUGUUUUCUUUUUUGUUAUUCCCAUAUUUGUUAGGAAUUCUCUCAAUUGUUUGGAAUUUAAUUGAAUUCUUUGUUGUCAGACUUUCUUUAAAGCUCACAUGCCUUCAAGACAAUUUUCUUAAUCAUAUUUCUCUUUUUGCCCCCUAGUGUAGGGUGUGAUCUUAGUUAAGGUUCUUGUGAAAGAAAAGGCUUUAAAUAGACUCAGCUCAAAUUGGGACUGCAAAGGAUAAUUUUAAAGAAAGUGAAAGGAAUAUCAAAGAUGGCCUUUCCUCAUUUCAAGUAAGAUCAGUUAAAACCAAUAAACUUUGUCCAUAUCCAACGUAAUGCUUUGGAUUUGUAAGAUACCAUGUUUUGCGAGUCCAUGACAAACUAAUGUACUACCAACCAUUAUUCAUGCUGAUAAAAUGUGGAUCCAAGACAUAAUUUGGGUGAUAGUUGUUCCAAUUGCAUGUUUUUUUUUUUUUUACUUGUUUGGUCAUCUCUUUCAAGGGAAUUGCUCUGAACAUUAUUCCAAACAAAUCAUUGAUUUAUUUCAUUGAAAUCACAAACAAAAUCAGUUCUUUUAAAACCUCAUUUAAGAAGAAUGGAUUCUCCUGUAAAAAAAGUUUGAAAGAUCAAAUUGUUGAGCAUUGAGAUCAUGCAUGAGGCUUUUUGGUGAGGUAUAAUGCAAAGGAAUUUCCUGGCCAAAACUUUAUUGAUUUGAUUGGAUGAAACCAAUCAUACAUAAUACUUUUUCACAGAAUCAGAGUUCACAGGCCUAGGUAAAUCAUCUCCAUCCAUCCUACUUAACAACAGAGCUCCUCCAGAUAGUGUUUUCUUCACUACAUAUGGGCCUUCAUAGUUUGGUGCCCACUUGCUUCGGUCUUCACUUGGUAAUGGCAAGAUUUUCAUAGUACAAGAUCCCCUUCUUUGAAUUCUCUUGCAUGAUUGGGCAAAGGGUUGGACUUCACAUUUGGUGCAUCAUCAAAAGAUAUCCAUCCAGCUUUUAUCAAUUGCAAAAGCUUGUUCUUAAAUGCAUUACAACUUUCAAUGUUAUGCCCAGCAGCGCCAGCAUGAUACUCACAUUUCAGAUCUGUCUUAUACCAAUUUGGGUAUGGAGGUUGCAGUGGGGUUAAGGGAAUAGGGGCUAUUUGCCCAAUACUCAACAACUUCGAGUACAUUUCUCCUAAGGGAAGUGGUAAUGGUGGCAGUCGUUCUUGGGUUCUUUGAAAAUUCCUUCUUGGAGGAUUAACAAUCUGGUUACUUUCUUGGUUAUUUGGUUGAUUUUGUUGGUUGGUAGGGAAAUGUUUAGUGAAGUUUACACUUGCAACUUGUUGGGUAGGUAUUUGGAAGUUAUAAUGAUAGUAAUUCUUUUUCAUACCCUUAUACACUUCUUCCACAUUGUUCACAUCGGCAUCCUUUUUCCCAGUAAAGCCUUUCUUCUCAGUAGGCUCUGACAUUCUCCCCGCUCUUAUCGCUUGUUCUAUUCUCUCAGCGAUAGUUACAGCAUCAUAGAAAUGCUGAGCUGAACUACCCACCAGGUGUUCAAAGUAUGGAGAUUUAAAAGUGUUAGAAAACAGAGUGACCAUUUCUUUUUCUAACAAAGAGGGUUGCACAUGCGAUGCUUUUUCACGCCAUCUCAAAGCGUAUUCUCUUACAGUCUCUUUGCUGCCCUUCUCCAUGACUAACAAGCUUGACCUGUCCGGGGCUACCUCCAUGUUGAAUUUAUACUGCUCCACAAAGGCUUUUACCAAAUCUUUCCACUUUCUGAUCUUGGUGUUAUCCAGCCUUGUAUACCAGCUUAAUGCCGAUCCAGAAAGACUGUCUUGAAAGAAAUGGAUGAGAAGUUUCUCAUCAUUCACUACUUCUGCCAUCUUAUUGCAGUAAGAUUUAAGAUGCGUGACUGGGCAUUCAGUUCCCGUAUACUUGAUGAAUUCUGGUACCCUAAAUUUUCUGGGUACAACUACAUUUGGAACUAAACACAUUUCUGCAGCAUAAACAGGAUCAUAUAAGUCUGCCCCUUCUACUGCCUUCAAUCUCUCUUCCAGAGCGGUCAAUUUAUCAUAAUCGAUAUUUUCAGAGAAUUUCAUCCUUUGUGGGUCAUCAGUUGCCAGGUUUACAUUAACUGGCACUUGUGCUGGUGGAACAUUGGCAGUGAACUGUUGUUCAAAUGAAGAGGGAUUUGCCCCUAAAUUUUGAGGCGGGAUAACAAAGGGAGCUGAUGGCAUAGAUAUAGAUGGAGUUGCAACUGCCGGCUGAGUAGAGGUGCCUUCCCCAGACUUGGAUACUAGGGCCUGCUCGAGUAGACUUGUAAGUCGUGCUAUAUCAUUUUUCAUGUUCUCCAACUCUCUUUGAUAAUGAGCCUCCAGGUGUGCCCUUUCUUCGUUCUCCAUUAUCUUCCUUCGUUGUCGAGUGUAAUGAAUUUUACGGCCUUUUGGGGGAUCUAUAUUUUAACCUGAGUGAAUGCAAGUAAACUAAAUGAAAUGCACAAAUGGAUGCAAAAUGCAUAUGCUUUAUGCAUGUUGUUAUUGGUUUCAAUUUUUUUUUAACUUAUACGAGGAAUAGACCAGAUCAGAUUCUCUUAAGAAAGUUCUCACUGAGGACUCCAAACCUACAGGGACUUGAACCGAUUUAGGGGAGAAAUUUGAUGCAUGUUCUGAUGGCAAACAAUCCCUUCAUCAUGUUGGUUCAAUUCUGAUCUGGUCAAAAAUUCCUCAAUAGUAAUGUUUUUUUAAUCUCACACUUCCUAUGAGGAUCGGUGGAGAUUUAAUGAGAAUAUUAAAUGUAUAUGAACAUGUAUGUUAAUGCAUUGAUAUUUGUUUGUGUCCUAAAGGUAUAUCCUAAUUGAUAGGAUCUAGCUCAUAGGGUUUGGCUCAGUUGAUUCUAAUCUUAAAGAUCAUCUUUGGUUCUUAGAUUGCCCGAAUUACCCAUGGGGUAAUCGGCCUCUUAACCUUAUACAACAUGAGUAUGGGAAGAAAAUUCCACAAUACCGUUGCAUAGGGUGAGUUACAAUCCAAGCGAAAGUCCAAAUGAGCAUCAGUGGACAAAGUCACACUUGCCACCUGAAUCUUUCUUUUCUAAUCUUAAAAAGGACGAGCUCGGGUCCAGAGCUUUUAUGGGUUCACUGUGAAGUGUGUGAAUACACAAAUAAAUAACAUGCAUGCAUGUGUAAUUAAAAAAUGAAAUGAUUUACAAUUGAUAUUGCAUAAAAUAAAUAGUGCAAAUAAAAUAAAUACUCAAAAAAUAAAUAGCAAUAAAAAAAAUGAAAAGCACACACAAGCAGUUGGUUCAACCCUGUCCCCAGUGGAGUCGCCAUUCUGUCGAUACACGACGUCGGGCGACGGCUCCGCUCAUUUUUGUUUAUUUAACAAAAAAGAUUUGUUUAAUUGGGGAAAUGAAAAUUUAUUGGAGUCGCCAUCUAGUAAUUUGAGGGAACUAGAAAUCCCAAAUUAGACACUGGUCCCAGAGAUUCGGGUACUGGGUUAGUUAUGAUUAAGGGAAGGUAGACACCACCCUUAAAACAUCCUUUCAAAAGAAAGGUUACCCUUACUUGUGUGUUUUUUUUAUUUGUUUAAAUGAUAUUAUAUUUUGAGCUUAUUUGCAAUUUUUUUUUUAUUAACGUCGGUCCCUAAAAAUAGGAGACACGUUAAAAAUGACAUCAGUCCCUAAAAAUAGGAGACUUGUCUAAAAUAUUGACGUUUAACCCUAAAAAGGAGAAGUACGUCUGAGUUACCAAAAAACAAAUAUGGACAUAAUCCAUAUUUGGUAUUUAAACUUUUGACAUCGGUCCUUUUAUAAAAAGAGACGUGUCGACAAACAUAUUUGUUUAUAAAAAAAAUAUUUUAUAUCGUUGAGAUAUGGGUAUAACUAUAUUUGAAAAUUGGGCUUUGGACCCACGAAUGAUGACAUAAUAGGAUGGGUGUUGGACCCGCGUUGUUAUUUUUUUUUAUUUUUUUGUUUUACAACAUGCAAGAAAAUUUAUAUACAAAAUAAAAAAAAUAUUAGCAAUCUAAAUAAAAUUACAUGAGUGACACAGUAUAGGUAAAGACUGAAAUACCCUCGGAUUUAUCAGAAAUUUACGAAAAUGCCACUGGCGGCGCGUGUGGCUCACGCGCGGCUACUGUUGGUGGCGACGAGAUUUUCAGGCGAGAUUUCUGGCCAACCGAUGGUCGGUUCUGGUAGAUCUGAGGUCGAGGAUUCUGUUGGUGGUGGUCUCGACGGCCGUUGAUGGCUGACGAGGGAGAAUCGACGACUUGAAGCUUCGGUGGCCGGCGAGAAUCGCGGCCUUUUUCCGGCCAGAUGAGGCGGCGAAAACGGUUAAAACCACCGGGGUUUGCUUUAACAGUGGAACCUUUCUGUGGUGGUUGGAGGCUGUAUGGCCGGAAAGUGGAGAUCGAGGAGAGAGAGAGAGUCGCCGGCGAGAGGAGAGAGAUGCUCCGAGAUUUGCUACGGUGCGGACGCGUGUAUGGUGUACCGGUGCCGCUUAAGGAUGUUAACCGUUGGAUCUUGGAUGAAACGAUCGGAUGGCUGUGAUUGGCUAGAUCAGCAGGUUGAUCGGACGGCCCAGAUUGUCUGGUUGUUGAUUCUGUGUGGCGCGGUGCACCGAAAGCUCGGUGCACCGGAUGACGUGGCGCAACGGGAUUAAAUCCUGGAAUAUGUUAACGGCUGAGAUGUGUUGGGAUAUGUUUGGUAUUUUUUAAAUUGUUUUUUUUAAAAGACAAUAUCCUACUCUCCUGAAGAAAAACUAAAAAAUUUAGGAAUUAUCAAUCGAUUCUUUCUUUUUUUUUCUUUUCUCUUCCUCCUUUUUUUUUUUUUUUCUGCCCCCCUCCCGUGGCUAUUUAUAGCCACGGGACAACAACCAUAAAAUUCUGUUUUAUUAUAUAUAAUAAUAAAUAAUGCACACAACUACCAUAAUUUUGUUUUAUUAUAUAUAAUAAUAAAUAUUGCACACAACUACCAUAAUUUUGUUUUAUUAUAUAUAAUAAUAAAUAUUUACAUGGGUAAAACUAAAAAUUCAAAUCAGUAUUAGAAAAAUCCCGUUUCAACCGCCAAAAAAUGGAAUACCAAAAAAAACAUUUAAUGGGUAUCGACCCGAUGAACCGGGUUUUGGUCGAAAAUAACGGUUUUGACCCGAGACAGCCCGAAACUCAUUUUUUACCCUGGUCGACAUGGUAUGACCCGUAUUGACCCGGUGAACUCGGUUUUGGUCGAAAAUGAGUUUUGACCCGAAACAGCCCGAAACUCAUUUUUUACCCUGGUCACAUGGUAUGACCCGUAUUGACCCGGUGAACCCGAUUUUGGUCAAAAUGAUGUUUUUGACCCGAAACAGCCCGAAACUCAUUUUUUACCCUGGUCGACAUGGUUUGAAUGAAGAGAUGCGGUUGACUCGAGAGAGAGAAAAAAAAAUAUUUUUGAAUUUUCAAAUUUUUUCUUAAUGUUUUUUUUUUUUGAUUUUUUAAAAAUAUAUAAAAAAAACAUGGGUCAAAAAUUGGGUAGCAACAACUGCUCUAUGUCAAUGAUCUACGGUUUGGUGAUCAAUUGGGUUUCUGUUUUUGGAGAUUGAAGAAGAUUGCAACGCUGGUCUGGCUGCUUUGAGUUGACUGCUUUCUGUUUCUGACGAUGCUGAGGCAGGCUGAGGCGACGGUGUGGCUCGACUGCUCUAUGUCUACGGUUUGGUGAUCAAUUGGGUUUCUGUAGGGGUGAAAACAAUUCGGAUGAAAAUUGAUUUCUAGAAGGGAUGAAAUCUGGUUGGUGAUACUGUUCUUCUCUGACUUUUUUUUUUUGUGUUUUGUUUGCUCUGUUUUUUUUUGUGGGUGCUGCCUUUUGGGUUGUUUUUUUUUUGUUCUUGACUCUGUUUUCUGGGUUUAAUUCUCUGCUUGCGACUAGGUUUUCUGCUCCCUUUUAUAGACUACCCAGCUCCUCUCCUUUAACCAGUCCUGUCUUCGCAGGACUCUUAUCUUCCCCGACGAGAUCGUGUGCGAUAGACGUGGUCCACGAUGGGAUCAACUUCGUUGCAGAUCUUCAGCCUGUUGAAUCGGGAUGCAGAAGACGAACACGACUGUUCCACCAUCAACGACGACGUUUCGGUAGCAAUGGAUUUCACCAGUAACGGCGACGUUUCAAGCAGCCAUGGACAUUUUCAAUUUGACCCCUGGACUUUGGAAAUUCGGCAAUUAGACCCCUAAGCAAUUAAAAGUUUCUUUUAAUUUUUCCCUUUUUUGAUUAAUUUCAAUUAAAUCCCUAAAUUAUAACACUAUUUACAAAAUAGUCUUUAAUUUGUGGAUUGUCCCAUUUGGCCCCUUAAUUAAUUAAAUUUUUUACUUUUAAUUCUUUCAAAAUUGAUCAAUUAACUCUCAAGUUACAUUCCCCAAACUUCAAAAUUUAUUGUCUUAACCCCAUUGUCAACUAUAUUUAAUUUUUAUUAUUUGUUCAAAAUUUGGGUUAUGACAGUUGCCCCCUCUUUAUGAUAUUUACGAUGCAAAGAUAUUGAAAAUUUUCAUUUUCUUUAACUUUGUGUAGUAAAUUUAUAAAGAAAAUUAGAUACAGAAAGAACCCUUUUUUUUUUUUUUUUUGUGAUGGUAUAUUGUAAUGGGUUACCAGCCCAAAUGGUCACAUUGUAAUGGUUACCUGCCCAGUAUAUGAUGGUAUGUUUAAUGGGUUACCGGCCCAAAUGGUCACAUUGUAAUGGGUUACCUGCCCAGUAUAUGAUGGUAUGUGUAAUGGGUUACCGGCCCAAAGGGUCACAUUGUAAUGGGUUACCUGCCAGUAUAGGAUGGUAUAUUGUAAUGGGUUACCUGCCCAGAUGGUCACAUUGUAAUGGGUUACCUGCCCAGUUGGUCACAUUGUAAUGGGUUACCAGCCCAGUUGGUCACAUUGUAAUGGGUUACCAGCCUAGAUGGUCACAUUGUAAUGGGUUACCUGCCCAGUUGGUCACAUUGUAAUGGGUUACCUGCCCAAUAUAGGAUGGUAUAUUGUGAUGGGUUACCGGCCCAGUUGGUCACAUUGUAAUGGGUUACCUGCCCAUUGGAAAAAUACAAGGAUUUUUUUUUUUUUUUUAGUAAGACGAGGGCUCGAAGGCGCGCUCGAAUGGAGGUAGGAUAGAAAAUGCACUACCUUUGGUGGUCGAGGGCUCGAAGGCGCGCUCGAAAAGAACUCAGACGAGGGCUCGAAGGCGCGCUCGAAUGGAGAUAAGACGAGGGCUCGAAGGCGCGCUCGAAUGGAGGUAGGAUAGGAAAUGCACUACCUAUGAUGGAAACUGAAAGGUGGUGAAAAAAUACAGAGAUUUUUCUAGUGGCCAAAUUCUCAUGGGCGGCCUGCCCAGGUUGAAAAAUUCUCAAAAAUAAAAAAUUUUCAAUAGCAAUUUUGAGCUUUGGCCAUUUCAAGUUGGCCUUCCACUUGAUGGAUUUCGUUGGAAUUUUCUCAUAUGAAAUUUGCAAAACUCAUUGUUCAAUGUCUCAAAGUUAAAUGAUAUGCAUGCAUCUUUACCUGAUUUGAAAUAUAGGCCCCCAUUUCUUCACAAUCUUCUUGUUGAUUAGUUGGUGAGAUCUUGCUAUCUGAUUUGAGUCAUCUUUGUCGCUUGACUUCCAGCCCACUCGAGUUGGCCCAUGUAAGUCUACUUCCAAAUUUGUUUGCAUAACUCAGCAUUUGUGGUGCCCAUCGUGACCCACUUGCUUGCUAAAGAUUUUUAUUCGUCAAAUAAUUUGAGAGGAUUAUUCAUUACCCCUCGUCUCACUGCUAAAAACAUUCGGUAUCACUUACUGAAAGGAUCGAGCUAUCUUGUAAACCAAAAUGCCCCCUUGUCUGGUUGAAGGAAAUUACCAUCUCCUUUUCUAGAAUCUUUCCUUCUAAACACAAUGUUGCCCCCUUGUAUUGGUUAUUGCCCCUAAGUGUGCUUCUGUCAGCGACUUAGAUAAAUAAAGGUUUUAAGAGGCCAUUCUCUCAUUUCUCUCCUUUUCAGUUUGGUAGAGGAAUAUGGGUCUAGAAUGAAUCUUGAAAUCUUGAUCUUGCAUUUUGAAAACAAAAAUUAUUUCGAUUUGAGUCAAAUAACAAUUUGCUUUUGAAAUCUUGCAACUCCUUGGUUAUUUUCUUUCUGGGAAAAGAGAUUAUUUGCUCUUGUGUUUGGUAACGAGGUCUUCGGUGAAAGUAUAUCAUGAGAUGACCUUUUGUUUUGAAGUGAAGGGCUCGAGAAAAAGCUCAAGGUUUUGUAUGAGAAAAACUUGUCUCUUUUUGAACAUUUAUUUUUAUCAGCAUGAAUAAUAAUGAGUAGUUUAUUCUUGAUGUCAUGAAUCUUAUGAAAAAGUAUUCUUUGCAUUUUAAGAGCAUUGUUUAUUGUUCUAGAUUGCUUGCUUGCUUGAUUAGAAAGGACUUAUACAGGCACGUAACAUAGGCUGUGGUUUUUGGCUAUGAAAGAAAAUGAUUCAUAAGGCUCAAAGAGUGUUUGAGGGUUUCAAAGACUGAAGAUCACAAUCAAUAGUUUGACUUUUGACGUCAUGCAUAUUUUCCUUCGCCGCUCUUCUUUGAUUUGCCCCUUCUUUUUCUUCUUUUUCAUUGCUUCGCUAGAGCAUACUCAUUUUCUCUUGGUUAUCACUUUUUCUUGUGAUUUGGGCAUGCCCCUAGUAUUGGGGUUUCUUGGGCUCUUUUGCCUUUUGGCUUUCUCACGGCUUUAUCCUCCUUCUUGAUCGUCGAAAUUUCACUUGCCCCUUGCUUCGCUAGAGCAUACUCAUUUUAUCUUGGUUAUCACUUUUUCUUGUGAUUUGGGCAUGCCCCCUAGUAUUGGAGUUUCUUGGGCUCUUUUGCCUUUUGGCUUUCUCACGGCUUUAUCCUCUUUCUUGAUCAUUGAAAUUUCACUUACCCCCAGUGUAGGGUGUGAUCUUAGUCGGGAUUUUUAUGAAAUUAUUCAGGCUCAAAAAGGGUUUGCAAGGGAUGUACUUAUUUUAGAAUGUGAAAGGAAUAACAAAGAUGGCCUUUCCUCAUUUCAAGCGCAAGCGGCUAUGAUCAAUAAACUUUGACCUCGUAUAAUGUGAUGGUUUAUUCUUUUCAAAGAUGCCUUUCAUGAGUUAUGAGCAACCAGAUCACUACAUACCAUUAUUCAUACAUUUAAAAACACAUUAUUCAAGAGUCAUGGGGUAAGGGUAUUUUUUUCUUUUCCCUUUUUUUUAGUUUGGUCACCUCUAUGAAGGAGUUGCUUGAUUCACUUGUCAUUCUACAAGUAGAAUGUCAAAAAUAUCGGUUUUUGAAUAAACAUCAAACCAUUUUCGAAAUCAAAAUGCCAGAUCAAUUUUUUCAAAAUUCCAAUAGUGAAACUGACUUUGGUAAAAGUAAUGAAUUGAAUCUAUGAGAUCAUGCAAGGCUUCAAGGGUGUAUUUAUUGAUUCUUUGAAAUCAAUAACAUUUAUGAGAGAGAGAAAAGAUAUACAAAGUGAAUUUCUUGGCCAAACUUUAUUGAUUUGAUGAGAACUUAUACAAUCAUCAAUGACUCAACAAUCAUGGAUAAUAUUUCUUUACAGAAUCAGAAUUCACUGGCCUACUCAAAUCUUCUCCAUCCAUUCCUGUUAGUAUCAAUGCUCCUCUAGAAAAUGCCUUCUUUACUACAUAAGGACCUUCAUAAUUGGGUGCCCAUUUGCUGUGGUUCUCACUAGGUAGUAAUAAGAUUUUUCUCAAUACCAGAUCUCCUUCUUUAAACUCUCUUGAUCGAACUUUUCUGUCAUAUGCUCUUGCUAUCCUGUUUUGAUACAGUUGGUGGUGACAAAUCGCUGCUAAUCUCUUCUCACUGAUCAUAUUUAACUGUUCAUAUCGUAUCUCAGCCCAUUUAGCCUCUUCUAGCUCAGACUCCAUUAGGACCCUUAGAGAAGGAAUCUCUACUUCCAAGGGCAUCACUGCCUCCAUUCUGUAAACUAGUGAAUAAGGUGUAGCCCUAGUUGACGUCCUUACUGCUGUCCGAUAUGCAUGUAGAGCAUAAGGAAGCCAUUCCUGCCAAUCUUUGUAAGUAACCACCAUUUUCUGGACAAUCUUCUUUAUGUUCUUGUUAGCAGCUUCAACAGCACCAUUCAUCUAUGGUCUGUAAGGUGAUGAAUUGGAAUGCUUGAUUUUCCAUUUAGUGCAUAAUUCCGCAAUCAUCUUCCCAUUGAAGUUCUUGGCGUUAUCGGUUACUAUCCUUUCUGGCAGACCAUACCUACAAAUUAAGUCUCUCUCAAUGAAUCGCUUGACCACCUUCUGAGUCACAUUAGCAUAUGAGCAGGCCUCUACCCACUUUGUAAAGUAAUCAAUUGCGACCAAGAUAAACCGAUGCCCAUUGCUGGCUUUUGGAUUAAUAGGCCCAAUCACAUCUAUUCCCCACAUCGCGAAUGGCCAAGGUGACACCAUAUUGAAUAAGGGCACUGGUGGUGCAUUGAUUUUGUCGCUAUACACCUGACAUUUAUGACAUUUGAUGUAACCAUAUUAUUCGAUAGUUUCACCCGCAUUUAACUAGUGUUUUGCAUAUGUUAUUUAUAUAAAAUGCCUUGAUAUUCUUUGUUUUAUGUUUUGAAGGCAUUUUUGGAUGAAAGAUGCAAAAAGGAGUAAAUUGGAGGUAAUUGGCAGAUUUGACGUUCAGUCGGUAUUUUGUGCAGAGCGUGAGUUCCAGAGAUCGAAAUGAAGUGAUUCCAGUGGCAUUAAAAAUUUAACAUCCAUACCUUUUUGGAAAUGUAAUGCAAGAAAAAUAAAAAGAGAAAGAUCAUGGAAAUCACAUCCUUCAAAGUCAAAUCUCGCAGUCUGCCAAUGUUGACCUUUGCCCAUUCAAAAUUCAAUAUCUGGAGCUUCAGAAGUCCAAUUGAUGCAAACUCAAUUGGGUUGGAUUCCUUACUCAAAGAUCUAUAAACGCUCCAAAUUUCAGCCAAAAACGAUGUCAUAUGAGGGAGAUAUGAUUUUUCAAAGAUGACAGCUGAAUUCUGCCAGCAAGCAGGUUGCGUGAAGAAACGAAUCAAAAUUUCAUCCAGAAGCAUCCAAACCGACCAGCAAUUUAGCUCCUCUAGUAAAUAUUCUAGAAGGUCAAGGAAGGCAGCCACCAACCUCAAGGCAGCCACCAACCUCAUGGCAGCCACCAACCUCAACCCAGCAGCCAGCAGCCAGCAGCCAGCAGCCUUCACACUACCACCAUCUAUUGAUGUUCACACUUGAGCUUUGAUAUUUUCUUACUUACAAUUUGUGUAUAAAUAGAGGGUGAGUAGAAGGAGGUAGAAAAAAGAGAAAGAAAAAGGAAGAAACACAAACUCUCCUCUCUACAAAUCAGAAAUUAUGUAUUCUUUCAUCUUUAGGAGUAGUUGUUCAAUAGAUAUGCAAGGCUAAGCUCGUUUUCUUGGUUGCAAGGACACAACAAACCUUCGGAUUUCAAGAACCGUGAGAUUUAUUCUUCCUUUUAUUUUCAGUUUAUGUUAUGAAUGAGUAUGUUUGUUUUCCUAUGCAUAUUUCCUAUGAUUGUUUAUCUUAAUUGCUAGAGCGGACUCUAAGUUAUUAUUGUGAACAAUCUAUUGCUAAGUUUGAUAUCAAAACCGGAGUUGUGGUAUAUAAACUUGUGAAGCAACUAAGCUUGAUAAUUGUAGCGGAACUACGUUAUUAAACUUAGGGAGAACAUUCGAUCAUAGCAACACAAAUUGACAACUUGGUUGUUAAGAUUAAUGAAUUUAUCUGGAUCUUAAGGCUGCCAUUGGAUUAAAUCAUUAGUGCGGACACUGUGAUUGUUUGUUGGUUAGGGAUAGUUAUACGGCGGAUCCGUUAAUUAACCAAUAUUAAGAAAAGAUAAAAUUCAUAAUAUAAACUGGAGUUUCGUUUCAAGGAUCGGUUCUAAUUUCCGUUGGUGGAUGUGUGCUUGCAACCAAGGUUUGUUUUCUUGAUAUAUUUCAGUUUCAAUUGAUUUUGUUUGCUAGUUUAAUUUCUGCCAUAGUUUAAAUCAUUUCAAAUCAAUCCCCCCCAAUUACAUAACGUACAACAUAAAAAUCUAACUUCAAACUUCCUCGUGGGAUCGACCCCUUGCUUGCUCUAUACUAUCUUGUGUGUUUUAAGCUAGGGUAAUUAAUUUGUGCGACCGCGACAUCGCAACAACAUUUUCGGAAAAAUUCUAUACAAUCCUUCUCCAUGGUCAACCAAAAAUACCUAGCUCUUUGCAUUUGUCUCGCCAUCAUGUGUCCAUUUGCAUGGGUGGUGCAAAUUCGUCCAUGCACUUCAUACAAGGCUUUAUUGGCUUCUGAUCUGUCUAAACAUCUUAGUAGAGCCCCAUCAAAUGACCUUUUGUAUAAGAUUUCUCCAUCUAUAAAAUAUUCCAUUGCCAUUCUUCUCAGAGUCUUCUUAUCUGUUUUUGAAGCUUCAAAAGGAUAUUCCCGAUAUUGGAUGAAUCUUUUUAUAUCUGCAUACCAAGGACUUCCAUCCCCUUCUUCUUCUACUAAACAACAAUGAGCAGGAGAACUUCUGAUAUCAAUGCCUAUAGGAUGUACUUUGAUACCGCAAUCAAUUGUGGCCAUGGAGGCUAAGGUUGCUAAAGCAUCUGCAAACUGAUUCUUAUCCCUUCCUAAAUGAUUGAACUCUAUCUCUUCAAAGUCUUCAGCCAAUUUGGAGAGAUAUUCUUGAUAUGGUUUCAAUUUCUCAUCUUUCGUCUGCCACUCCCCCUUUGUCUGGCAGAUUAUCAACAUAGAGUCUCCAUAUACCUCUAAUUUCCUUAUCUUCAACUCCAAUGCAGCUUCCAAUCCAUGAAUACAAGCCUCAUAUUCAGCUGUGUUGUUUGUGCAAUUGAACUGCAACUUAAUGGAUAUGGGAUAUUGUUUUCCUUCUGGAGAAAUUAUUACAGCACCAGCUCCAUUACCAGAUAUAUUCACCGCACCAUCAAAGUACAUGGUCCACCAAUCACCUUCUAUUACAAGCACAUCUUCAUCAGGGAAGUCAAAAUUUAAUGGCUCAUAGUCUUCAACAGCAUUAUCAGCUAAAUGAUCUGCGAUUGCACUUCCUUUCACGGAUUUUCUUGUUUUGUAAAUGAUAUCAUAUUCAGCCAACAACACUUGCCAUCUGGCGAGCCUAUUUGACAUGUAUGGUUUUUCAAAGAUAUAUUUGAUAGGAUCUACCUUUGAAAUUAACCAAGUGGUAUAGUAUAGCAUAUACUGUCGGAGCCUUUUCGCACUCCAAACCAAACCACAACACAACUUCUCAAUCAUGCUGUAACGAGAUUCACACUCAGUGAAUUUCUUACUCAGGUAGUAGAUGGCUUGCUCCUUUCUCCCAGACUCAUCAUGUUGGCCAAGCACACAGCCCAUUGCUGAUUCAGUCACUGUUAAAUACAAAAUGAGAGGCUUUCCCGGCACCGGUGGAACCAAUAGAGGUGGUUUCUGCAAAUAUUGUUUAAUCUUAUCAAAGGCUUCUUGACAGUCCUCAUCCCAUACUCCGGGGUUUCUCUUUCGAAGUAAUCGAAAGAUUGGUUCACAAGUGACUGUAAGUUGUGAAAUAAAUCGAGCAAUAUAAUUUAAACGUCCCAAAAAGCCUCGAACCUCUUUCUCAGUUUUAGGAGCUGACAUAGCUUGUAUGGCCUUCACUUUAUCAGGAUCUACUUCUAUGCCAUUAUUGCUCACCACAAAUCCCAAUAACUUCCCAGACUUCACCCCAAAUGUGCAUUUUGCAGGGUUCAGCUUUAAUUGAUAUUUUCUCAGCCUUUCAAUAAAUUCUUCAGAGCUGGGAUAUGGUUUUCCUCAUCCUUAGACUUAGCAAUCAUAUCAUCCACAUAGACCUCAAUUUCUUUAUGCAUCAUAUCAUGAAAUAGUGUCACCAUUGCUCUUUGAUAAGUUGCCCCAGCAUUUUUCAGUCCAAAUGGCAUAACUUUAUAGCAAUAUGUUCCCCACGGGGUAACAAAUGUUGUUUUUUUCUUGUCUUGCUCGGCCAUUUUAAUCUGAUUAUACCCAGAGAAACCAUCCAUAAAAGAGUAAGUAGAACUCUUAGCAGCAUUAUCUACUAAUACAUCUAUGUGGGGUAAAGGAAAAUUAUCCUUCGGGCUUGCCUUAUUCAAAUCUCGGAAAUCCACACAUACCCUGAUUUUGUUGUCUUUCUUGGGUACUACUACGAUAUUGGACACCCAUUGAGAAUAAUCAACUACUUCCAAGAAUCCAGCAUCCCACUGUUUUGUUAUCUCUUCUUUCACUUUGAUUAGUAUAUCCGGCCUUGUCCUCCUCAACUUUUGCUUAACCGGCUUACAACCUUCUAUCAAAGGUAGUUUAUGUACCACAAUAUCAGUAUCCAGACCAGGCAUAUCAGCGUAUGACCAGGCAAAAACAUCAAUGUAUUCUUGUAAAAGAGCAAUCAAUUCACUUCUAACGUCAGCAGAGAUUAGCUUCCCUAUUUUCAACUCUCUUUUAUCAUGUACUGUGCCCACAUUUAUCAGUUCUAGUUCUUCUUUUGCAGGCUUCCAUGUGCGAUCAGAUUGUUCCGCUAACUUUGCGAAUUCAUGAAUAUCCUCCUCACCAAAUUCUUCCUCAUCCAUGGCAAUUAUAGUUUCAUCAAAGUUAGGCCAAUUAUCCACAGUGCAAUGAGUUUGUGGGGUGUACGACGAUCCGCUUUCAGAUUUCUUUUUGAAAACAAUUGGGACUUCUUGAAUUUCCCAAUUUGCUAAAUCUUCUCCCUCGGCCAGUUUUCUCACGAAUUCUAAUGAGUCGUCUUCCAAAACACCAAUAGUCAGCUGGGGCAACUGUUCAUGAGCAUUAUCCUCUUCCUUUAAAUCUUGUUCACCGACGUAUUCAAGAUAAUUAAUAGUAGCACCAUUGAAUUCUUUUCUUAGUCCCUCCUCAUAAUCCUCUGUUUUUAUCACAUAUGCGGAUCUUGGAAAUGUUACAUGGAUUGGUGGGAUCUCUAUUCGAUCUUCAUCUGGUUCUCUUCUCUCAAUCCGGGCUAUUCUCUUUUCUCUUCUAAUUUCAGCUGCUCUUUUGAAAUCUGCUUUCCCAGGCUUAAACCCUAAGCCAAACUUUUGAUCUGCGCACUUCAUUUUUAUCACAUUAAUCCUCUCAGGCAUUCCGGUAGUAUGGUCAUAUUGAAAUGGCAGUCCAUGCUUUAAGAAGUAUUUAGCAGCCAUUUUUGCUGCUUCGGAAACUUCUGGCUUUCUUCGUACCGUAUUUUCUGGUACCCAUUCAGCAUUUACAACUUCAAAUGCAUGCAGAUUUUCAUCCUUACUUUCUUCAGUUUCUAUGUAAGGGAUCGAGACAUUUUUUAUCAUUGACAAAGUUUCCUCAGCUCUCACAGUCACCAAAUUCCCAUUGAUGAUAAACUUGACCCGUUGAUGUAAAGAAGAUGCGACAGCUCGGGCUGCAUGGAUCCAAGGUCUCCCUAGUAAAAUGCUAUAUGAUGGAUGAAUGUCCAUUACUUGUAAUGUGACUUGGAAUGGUUGUGGGCCAAUGAUUAGUUCAACAUCAAUGCUCCCAGUGAUUGGUCUAGAUGACCCAUCAUAUGCCCUAGCAGUCAUGGUACUUGGCUUCAUGUGAGAAGCAUCAACUGGCAUUUUAUCAAGUACAUGUCUUGGCAAUACAUUAAGAGAAGAACCAUUAUCUAUAAGCACCUUAGCAAUCACACAAUCCUUGCAUUUUACCGUGAUAUGCAAUGGUUUAUUAUGACCGGUUCCUUCAUGAUCAAGCUCAUCAUCGGUAAAAUAAAGGUAAUUGGUGGCUUGAAUCCGACCCACCAAAUGUCCUAUGGAAUCUUGUGUGAUAUCUUGAGGAACAUAUGCUUCAUUAAGAACCUUCUGAAGGGCGUUCCUAUGCAAUUCUGAACUCAAUAUUAAUGACAACAAAGAAAUCCUAGCGGGUGUUUUCUUUAGCUGAUCAACCACACUAUAUUCGCUGUGCUUCAUCAAUUUUAGAAAUUCAUUAGCCUCUUCAUCACUUACUGGUUUAUUAACCUCAUCUGUCUUUGUCAAUUCUAUCGUAUCCUUUCCUUUGGCUUUUCUAUGGUUUUCCAACUCUUCAGGAGUAAAACAUCUCCCACUCCGAGUGAGUCCUCCUACUUCCGUAUGGAAAACAGGGGCAGGCUUUGUGCUGUGAAAGGAAUAACCAUAAUUAUAGGGUUGGGCAUUAUAGCUUCCGCUAACAAUGUUCGUAGGCUUUGUUAGGAUCAUUUUUGGCGGACCCCUUUCAGUUGGUAUGUAUCUACAAACUUCCACUUUUCUGUUACAACCAGUCAUUGUUCCUACUAACUCAUCUUCUUUGGGUUUCAUCAAUCUUAACAUUCCCAACGCCAUCAUAUUUUCUACCUCCAAAUGAAACUCCUCGCACGAGUCAAUAUCAUGCCCAAACUGCUGAUGAUAUUUACAAUAUUCAUUCGCAUUCCCUACAGCUUGUAUUUUGACUGGUGUCUUUAGAUAAUCUGUUUGCCUUAACAUCCCAUACAAUCUAUCCAUAGUCACCCUUAAAGUUGUUGUACCUCCCUUUCCUAUCUCCAAGUUAUUAACUCCCCCACCUCCAGAAGCGUGAUUUGGUAGAGGGUUAAAAUUCACAUUUGGAGACUCAUCAAAAGAAAUCCACCCAGCUUUGAUGAGCUGAAGGAUUUUUCUUUUGAAUGCAACACAUCCAUCAAUAUGAUGACCAACAGCACCAGCAUGGUAUUCACAUUUUUGAUCGGGUUUAUACCAAAAGGGAAAUGGUGGUUGUAAAGGUUCUAAGGGAACAGGUGCUACCUGACCAAUACUAAGCAAUCUUUGGUGCAUUUCAGUAAGAGACAUGGGUAAUGGUGGAAGUUGCACUUGAUCUAUUGGAAAAUUUCUUCUCGGACGGUAGGCAUUAUCGGUUUGGUUUUUAUUGGGUUAUUUUGGGUGUUUGUAGGUGAAGAGAAUUUUAUAUUGGAUAUAGAGGGGGUAGGUGUAAUACUUUUGGAGCUGUAAUUAUCUUGGUAAGUGUUCUUCCCUCUACUUUCCCUUUCAACAUUGUGAACUUUCGCUUCUUUUCUUUUUCCAAUAAAACCUCUUUUUUCAGUAGGAUCCACGAUCCUGCCCGUCCGAACAGCUUGUUCGAUCCUUUCAGCUAUAACAACCAAAUCAGAGAAAUUUUGUGCAGCACUACCUACCAAGUAUUCAAAGUACGGGGCUUUGAAAGUGUUGGAAAAUAAACCAGUCAUCUCCCUUUCCGACAAUGGAGGAUUUACUUGCGCGGCUGAUUCCGCCACCUUUGGGCAUAUUCUCUUACAGACUCCUUAUUGCCUUUUUCCAUGGCUUGCAGACUUGAUCUAUCUGGGGCAAUGUCCAUGUUGAACUUAUACUGUCUAAUAAAAGCUUCAGCUAAAUCCUUCCAUCCUUUAAUCUUGGUAUUAUCCAAACGCAUAUACCAAGCAAGAGCAGCAUCACUUAAACUAUCCUGAAAGAAAUGGAUCAAUAACUUCUCAUCAUGGACUACUUCAGCCAUCUUAUUACAGUAUGCUUUAAGAUGGGUGAUUGGGCAUUGAGUUCCAGUAUAUUUAACAAAUUCUGGAACUCUGAAUUUUCUGGGAAUAACCACAUUAGGCACUAAACACAUUUCAGCAGCCUUUACCGGAUCAUACAAACUAUUCCCCUCUAUUGCCUUCAUUCUUUCUUCUAAAGCAGCUAGUUUUUCCUGACCAUUUUCCUCUACGAUCUUGUUCCUUUGAGGUUCUUCUUCUAUCAACACAGUGUGGGGGACCCUCAUUGGAUGUGCUGAUUGAGUAGGUGCGAAAUGAGCAGCAUGUUGAGGCUCAAAUAGCGGAACAACAGGAGGCGGAGGUUGAGGUGUAAAUGUUUGUUGAGAAGAUGUCCCUUCUCCAACUCUAGGCCUCAAAGCUUGUUCAAGCAAGCUGGUAAGCCUUGCUACAUCCUCUUUCAGGCUUUCCAUCUCUCUUUGGUGUUGAACCAGCUCUCUUUGGUGUUGAAUUUCUAGCUGAUUUCUCUCUUCAUUUUCCAUUUUCUUUCGUGAACGAGUAUUAUGAAUACGUUUAGGUUGGGGACCUAUAUUUCACCUGUUAUAUGCAGAAUAUGACAAUCUAUAAGCAAAUGUAUGUGAUGCAUGAAUGUGAAUGCCACAUAUUGGAUAUAGAUUCGCUUUUUGUUGGUGACAUAUGGCCAUCAUUCUUUGGAUAUAUGGGUUGAACUUGAACUUGAUAUCAUUGUUCGAUGCCGAGAAGAAAUCUGCUUAGCUUUUUGACAUUUGGGCUUUCAGCUAUAUACACAUAUCUUUGCAUUGAAAAAUGUGGGUCUCAGCCCUCUUAUUACUUAUUCAGAAACUUACAGUAAAAAUUAAUCUAAUCUAUUACAGGAGAAAAAACACUGCCUCUAGUAGCUAUUGCUUUCAAAAAAAGAUCGGUGUUAUCCAUGCUUCUUCGAUAUUUCAUUAUAUCUCCUCCCACCUGACGAGCUUCCACUCGUAAUAAAUGGGCUUCUGCAGCUGCUCGAUUAAUCUGAUCUUGUAGUUCCCUUAUCCUCUCAGUAUGAAUCAAGUUGUUUCUAGACAAAAAGUUAUUGGCAUCAUCCAAUGUUUGAUUAUGUUGCUUUAUCAUUUUUUGGUUUCCCAUAAGUUGUACGGUCUUUAAUUUUUCUUUGUCCAACUUAGAUCUCAACGCUUCUGCUUCAGCCUUAUGACUGUUCAACUCUGCUUUCUGCUCUUCGUGCAUUUUAGUUAAAGCCUCAGCUCUUCCUAAUUGGUCUUUAAACUUAACAAUGUCUGCCCGACGCAUUUUCAAUAUUGCUUGUGUCUUGAUGGCUGACUCUUCCCAAUGCUUAGCUUUUUCCAUGUAAUAUGUCAUGUCCUGAUUAAUUGUCUUUUGUGUUUCCAAGUCAGUCUUUGCCUUUAUCAAGUCUUGACCACCAGAGUCCCUUUCUUCUUCAGCUAUUUUCCUUAAACCCUUUUCUUUGGCUAGCUGCCGCUCUAAAGACACUCUAUGUUCCUCAUUUGCUUUAAGCUCAGCUUGUAACGCUUUUACUUGUUUUCUUAAUUCUUCUUCACAGUUUACUCUUUUUCUUCGAAUGCCCACAGACUCAGAAACUUCUGCCAUAUAAGAGACUCCUCCAUUACGCCAUUCAGAAUACUUUUCACUAACUGUAGGAUUCCUUAAUCCAGUCUCCUUUUUCACAAGUACCAAAGACUUCCAAUCCUGUUUAAUGCUCUCCAACAUCUCCAUGGUAGCUCCUUUGUACACUCCAGUAAAUUGAGAUAAACCAACCGUUCUUGGGAUGCUUUGUAUGCCCCCAAACUGUCUUGCAACUAAAGCAGGCGCAUAGCUAAUAUAUCCAGUCACUCCAAUCAAAGGUACCCAAGGCUUCUUUCCACAACUCAUUAAGUACGUUACAUUUCUCAUCCAAGGAGCUCUCCAAUUAAACUUGCUUCGUGGAAUUCCUUGUAAUUUUACCCCCCAGUCAUCUUCAGAAAAUAUUUUCCAUUCACUUGAUACCAAUAACUCUAGUGGCCUUUGAUCAAACCACCAAAAAUUCCGGAAUAUUGGUGUCUCGGAUUCUAUAUGACUUACCAUCCAAAUGAACAAUAAUGGCACACAACAUCUCAUAGAACCUUUUCAAGUCUUUUUGCAAUGAUUGAGGGACAAAAAAGUUUCAGCCAAAAUCGCAGCAGAAGGAUUAAUUUUAGUCUUCUCAUACUCAACAAACAAAUUGGCUGCCUCUAAACUAACAAUUCCAGCAGAUGAAGGGCACAAAAUCAACCCAAAUAUUCCCAAAGCCAAUAUUCUGUAUACUUCUACUUUAGCACAUGGAUUAGACUUUUUAGCAAUCAACAACUCUUCUAGCCGUUUCCAUCUCAAACCCCUAGAAUUAUUUUUUUCUCUAUACAAACUCAUUUGUUGGAUUCCCAAUAGCUUAGCAAGCUCCUCUAUAGUAUCCUCAGUCUUUUGAUGAAAGUAAACCUUAUGUAUAUCCUCAAGAAAUUCUGUCAAAACACCAUACUUGUCGAUACACGACGUCGGGCGACGGCUCCGCUCUUUUUGUUGUAUUUUAACAAAAAAAGAUUUUUUAUUAUUGGGGGAAAUAGAUUUUAUUGGAGUCGCCAUCUAGUAAUUUGAGGGAACUAGAAAUCCCAAAUUAGACACUGGUCCUAGAGAUUCAGGUACUGGGUUAGUUAUGAUUAAGGGAAGGUAGACACCACCCUUAAAACAUCCUUUCAAAAGAAAGGUUACCCUUACUUGUGUGUUUUUAUAUUUGAUUCAAAUGCUAUUAUAUUUUGAGCUUAUUUGUAAUUUUUGUUUUGUUUAUAAAAUAGUUAACGUCGGUCCCUAAAAUUAGGAGACACGUUAAAAAUGACAUCAGUCCCUAAAAAUAGGAGACUCGUCUAAGAUAUCGACGUUUAACCCUAAAAAGGAGAUUUUCAUCCGAGUUACCAAAAAAACAAAAUUAUGGACAUAAUCCAUAUUUGUUUGGUUUUUAAAGUUUUUAUUUGACAUCGGUCCUUUUCUAUAAAAAGAGACGUGUCCACAAACAAUAUUUGUUUAUAAAAACAAAUAUUUUGAUAUUGUUGAGAUAUGGGUAUAACUAUAUUUGAAAAUUGGGCUUUGGACCCACAAACAAUAACAUGAUGGGAUGGGCGUUGGACCCACGUCGUUAUUCUUUUUAUACUUGUUUUUUUGUUUUUUUAUUUUAUUUUACAACAUGCAAUAAAAAUUUACAAAUAUUUACAUAAAAUAAAAUGUUAGGAAUUCAACAAAAAUUACCUGAGUACCCCUGUAUAUGUAAAAGACUGAAAUACCCUCGGAUUUUUCAGGAAUUUAUGAAAAUGCCACUGGCGGCGCGUGUGGCUCACGCGCGGCUACUGUUGGCACUGGCGAAGUUUCCCGGCGAGCUUUCUGGGAAACGAACCGUCGAUCCUGGUAGAUCUGAAGGAGAGGAUUCUGAUGGUGGUGGUCUCGACGUCCGUUGAUGGCUGACGAGGGAGAAUCAGCGACUUGAAGCUUCGGUGGCCGGCGAGGAUCGCGACCUUUUUCCGGCCAGAUGAGGCGGCGAAAACGGUUAAAAACGCCGGGGUUUUGCUUUAAACCAGUGGAUCAACCUUUCUGCGGUGGUGCGGAGGCUGGAGGCGGCCGGAAAGGGGAGAUCGGAUGAGAGAGAGAGCGUCGCCGGCGAGAGGAGAGAGAGAGUCCGAGAUUAGGCUACGGUGUGAACGCGUGCAUGGUAUACCGGUACCACUGAACACUUUGCGCCGUUGGAUCUCUGAUGGAAUGAUCGGAUGGCUGUGAUUGGCUAGAUCUGAGGUCGAUCGCACGGUAUGGAUGAGUCUGGGUUUAGAUCCGGUGUGACGCGGUGUACCGAAAUCUCGGUACACCGGAUGACGUGGCUUAACGGGAUUAAGUCUUGAAUUAUUUCAAUGGCUGAGAUGAGUUGGGAUAUAUUUGGUAUUUUUUAAAUUGUUUUUUUAAGAAAACAAUAUCCUACUCCUGUGAAGAAAAACUCAAAAAAUAUGCACAGUAACCAUUCUUUCUCUUCUUCUCUGGCUUUGUUUUCCCGUUCCCCUCCUUUUUUUCUUUUCUUUUUUUUUUCUUCCCCCCAUUUUCUGGCGAUGCUCACUGCCUAUUUAUAGGCAGUGAACAAUAAUAUAAGAAUUGAUUUCUGCCUAAAUUUGCCUAAUUGUAAGAAGAAAAAAAAAGUACUUGCCUAACAUUACCUAAUAUGACAAAAAAAGUUUUUGUUUUAUUAUAUAUAAUAAUAAAUAUUUACAUAGAUAAAAUUAAAAACUCAAAUCAGUAUUAGAAAAAGCUCGAUUCAACCGCUAAAAAUCAAUUUUAAUUACCGAAAAUUAUGUCGAAACAUUAAAAAAAAAAAAAAAAAAAAAACAAGUAUAAAAAGAAUAACGACGUGGGUCCAACGCCCAUCCCAUCAUGUUAUUGUUUGUGGGUCCAAAGCCCAAUUUUCAAAUAUAGUUAUACCCAUAUCUCAACAAUAUCAAAAUAUUUGUUUUUAUAAACAAAUAUUGUUUGUGGACACGUCUCUUUUUAUAGAAAAGGACCGAUGUCAAAUAAAAACUUUAAAAACCAAACAAAUAUGGAUUAUGUCCAUAAUUUUGUUUUUUUGGUAACUCGGACGUAAAUCUCCUUUUUAGGGUUAAACGUCGAUAUCUUAGACGAGUCUCCUAUUUUUAGGGACUGAUGUCAUUUUUAACGUGUCUCCUAAUUUUAGGGACCGACGUUAACUAUUUUAUAAACAAAAAUUACAAAUAAGCUCAAAAUAUAAUAGCAUUUGAAUCAAAUAUAAAAACACACAAGUAAGGGUAACCUUUCUUUUGAAAGGAUGUUUUAAGGGUGGUGUCUACCUUCCCUUAAUCAUAACUAACCCAGUACCUGAAUCUCUGGGACCAGUGUCUAAUUUGGGAUUUCUAGUUCCCUCAAAUUACUAGAUGGCGACUCCAAUAAAAUCUAUUUCCCCCAAUAAUAAAAAAUCUUUUUUUGUUAAAAUAAACAAAAAGAGCGGAGCCGUCGCCCGACGUCGUGUAUCGACAGAAUGGCGACUCCACUGGGGAUAGGGUUGAACCAACUGCUUGUGUGUGCUUUUCAUUUUUUUUUAUUGCUAUUUAUUUUUUUGAGUAUUUAUUUUAUUUGCACUAUUUAUUUUAUGCAAUAUCAAUUGUAAAUCAUUUCAUUUUUUAAUUACACAUGCAUGCAUGUUAUUUAUUUGUGUAUUCACACACUUAACAGUGAACCCAUAAAAGCUCUGGACCCGAGCUCGUCCUUUUUAAGAUUAGAAAAGAAAGAUUCAGGUGGCAAGUGUGACUUAUGUCCACUGAUGCUCAUAUGGACUUUCGCUUGGAUUGUAACUCACCCUAUAUAACGGGUAUUGUGGAAUUUUCUUCCCAUACUCAUGUUGUAUAAGGUUAAGAGGCCGACUACCCCAUGGGUAAUUCGGGCAAUCUAAGAACCAAAAAAAUAUCUUCAGGGAUAGACUAAACUGAGCCAAAUCUUAUGAGCUAGAUCCUAUCAAUUAAGAUAACCUUUUAGGACACAAACAAAUGUCAAUGCAUUAACAUGCAUGUUUAUAUACAUUUCAUAUUCUCAUUAAAUCUCCACCGAUCCUUAUAGGAAGUGUGAAAAAAAAAAAAAAAAAAAAACAUUACUAUUGAGGAAUUUUUGACCAGAUCAAAAUUGAACCAACAUGAUAAAGGGGAUUGUUUGCCAUCAGAACAUGGCAUCAAAUUUCUCCCCUAAAUCGGUUCAAGUCCCUGUAGGUUUGGAGUCCUCAGUGAGAACUUUUUUAAGAGAAUUUGAUCUGGUCUGUUCCUCGUCAUAAGUUAAAGUAAAAUUUGAAACCAAUAACAAUCAUGCAUACACCAUAUGACAAUUUGCAUCCAUUUGUGCAUUUCAUUUAGUUUACUUGCAUUCACUCAGGUUGAAAUAUAGGUCCCCCAAAAGGCCACAAAAUUCAUUACACUCGAUUACAAAGGAAGAUAAUGGAGAACGAAGAAAGGGCACACCUGGAGGCUCAUUAUCAAAGAGAGUUGGAGAACAUGAAAAAUGAUAUAGCACGACUUACGAGUCUACUCGAGCAGGCCCUAGUAGCCAAGUCUGGGGAAGGUACCUCUACUCAGCCAGCAGUUGCAACUCCAUCUAUAUCUAUGCCAGCAGCUCCCUUUGUAUUCCCGCCUCAAAAUUUAGGGGCAAAUCCCUCUGCAUUUGAACAGCAGUUCACUGCCAAUGUUCCACCAGCACAAGUGCCAGUUACUGUAAAUCUGGCAACUGAUGACCCACAAAGGAUGAAAUUCUCUGAAAAUGUCGAUUAUGAUAAAUUGACCGCUCUAGAAGAGAGAUUGAAGGCAGUAGAAGGGGCAGACUUAUAUGAUCCUGUUUAUGCUGCAGAAAUGUGUUUAGUUCCAAAUGUAGUUGUACCUAGAAAAUUUAGGGUACCAGAAUUCAUCAAGUAUACUGGAACUGAAUGCCCAGUCACUCAUCUUAAAUCUUAUUGCAAUAAGAUGGCAGAAGUAGUGAAUGAUGAGAAACUUCUCAUCCAUUUCUUUCAAGACAGUCUUUCUGGAUCGGCAUUAAGCUGGUAUACAAGGCUGGAUAACACCAAGAUCAGAAAGUGGAAAGAUUUGGUAAAAGCCUUUGUGGAGCAGUAUAAAUUCAACAUGGAGGUAGCCCCAGACAGGUCAAGCUUGUUAAUCAUGGAGAAGGGCAACAAAGAGACUGUCAGAGAAUACUUUGAGAUGGCGUGAAAAAGCAUCUCAUGUGCAACCCUCUUUGUUAGAAAAAGAAAUGGUCACUCUGUUUUCUAACACUUUUAAAUCUCCAUACUUUGAACACCUGGUGGGUAGUUCAGCUCAGCAUUUCUAUGAUGCUGUAACUAUCGCUGAGAGAAUAGAACAAGCGAUAAGAGCGGGGAGAAUGUCAGAGCCUACUGAGAAGAAAGGCUUUACUGGGAAAAAGGAUGCCGAUGUGAACAAUGUGGAAGGAGUGUAUAGGGGUAUGAAAAAGAAUUACCAUCAUUAUAACUUCCAAAUACCCACCCAACAAGUUGCAAGUGUAAACUUCACUAAACAUUUCCCUACCAACCAACAAAAUCAACCAAAUAACCAAGAAAGUAACCAGAUUGUUAAUCCUCCAAGAAGGAAUUUUCAAAGAACCCAAGAACGACUGCCACCAUUACCACUUCCCUUAGGAGAAAUGUACUCAAAGUUGUUGAGUAUUGGGCAAGUAGCCCCUAUUCCCUUAACCCCACUGCAACCUCCAUACCCAAAUUGGUAUAAGCCAGAUCUGAAAUGUGAGUAUCAUGCUGGCGCUGCUGGGCAUAACAUUGAAAGCUGUAAUGCAUUUAAGAACAAGCUUUUGCAAUUGAUAAAAGCUGGAUGGAUAUCUUUUGAUGAUGCACCAAAUGUGAAGUCCAACUCUUUGCCCAAUCAUGCAAGAGAAUUCAAAGAAGGGGAUCUUGUACUAUGAAAAUCUUGCCAUUACCAAGUGAAGACCGAAGCAAGUGGGCACCAAACUAUGAAGGCCCAUAUGUAGUGAAGAAAGCAUUCUGGAGAGCUCUGUUGUUAACUAGGAUGGAUGGAGAUGAUUUACCUAGGCCUGUGAACUCUGACUCUGUGAAGAAGUAUUAUGUAUGAUGUGUUUCAUCCAAUCAAAUCAAUAAAGUUUUGGCCAGGAAAUUCUCUUUGCAUUAUACCUCACCAAAAAGCCCAUGUAUGAUCUCAAUGGCUCAACAAUUUGAUAAUUCAAACUUUUUUUUACUAGGAGAAUCCAUUCUUCUUAAAUGGGGUUUUAAAAGAACUGAUUUUGUUUGUGAUUUCAAUGAAAUAAAUCAAUGAUUUUGUUUGGAAUAAUGUUCAGAACAACUCCCUUGAAAGAGAUGACCAAACAAGUCAAAAACAUGCAAUCGGAACAACUAUCACCCAAAUCAUGUCUUAGAUCCACAUUUUAUCAGCAUGAAUAAUGGUUGGUAGUACAUUAGUUUGUCAUGGACUCCAAAACAUGGUCUCUUACAAAUCCAAAGCAUUACAUUGGAUGUGGACAAAGUUUAUUGGUUUUAACUGAUCUUACUUGAAAUGAGGAAAGGCCAUCUUUGAUAUUCCUUUCACUUUCUUUAAAAUUAUCCUUUGCAGUCCCAAUUUGAGCCGAGUCUAUUUAAAGCCUUUUCUUUCACAAGAACCUUAACUAAGAUCACACCCUACACUAGGGGGCAAAAAAGAGAAAUAUGAUUAAGAAAAUUGUCUUGAAGGUUGUGAGCUUAUGAAGAAAGUCUGACAAUAAAGAAUUCAAUAAAACUCCAAACAAUUGAAAGAAUUCCUAACAAAGAUGGGAAUAAAAAAAAAACAGAAGUUCUCAUUUGAAUAUUUAUCAUCAUUUUUGUUGUCAAGUAGCAAAAGAAAAUGCCAAGACAAGAUAAUAGUGAUCUAUAGUUUAUAAGCCCUUAAACACUUUUUUGAGCUUAUGGAAUACUCUUUCUUUUAUAGCCUUGAGCCAUGAAAUACAUUACGUGCCUUUGAAGUCCUUUCUAAUCAAGUAAGCAACCUGGAUCAAUAAACGGCGUUCUCAAAAUAUAAGAGACUUUUCCAUAAAGAGUCAUGGCAUAGCAAAUAAUUACUCGUUAUUAUUCAUGCUGUUAAAAAGAGUGUUUUCUAAAGAUACAAGGCAAAUUGUUUCUUUUCUCUAAAAUACCUCAAGAAAUCACUUGAACACUUUGAAAACCAAAGCAGAAGGUCAUCUCAUCACUUACCUUCAUCUUAGAUUACUUUUACUAAGAGAUUUGACAUAAAGCUCCAGAGUUGACUGAACAUUGUUAUAAACAGACAUUGAGAGUUUCAGUUUUCGAGAACAAAACAGAUCUUUUGAAAAAUCAUUUUUGAAAAAAGGGUUUUCUUUGUAAGAAAAAUGAAUAUACGGCACACUACGAGGCCCCAUUAGAAAAUCAGGGAUUCUAAUGACAACAAGAGCAAAGGAGGAAAUGAAUUGAGGCAGUUAAUUCUCCCAGGGGGCAGAGAAGCAGUUACUAGAUCCUUAAUGGCACUAAGAAAUUUGCUUCCCUAGUGGAAAAUACACAUGAUAAAACUGUGGACUUCUUCCAGCAUGAGGGCUGAAAUAGUAUGAUUUACAGUAUCCAUGAAAGGAGAUUGUUGACACUCACAAUAUGAUCAGUUAGACAACAAGAUAACUGGUACAUCUUCAGUAAGAGGAAUGCAGAUGAAAUCCUAGGUGAAGCGGGAUAAUCCUCUUACAUUGACCAUAUGAAUUGGUUAAAGAAUCUUCAAUAAUGGGAAUGUUGCCUAUAGAACAAUGUCGAGCCAGGGAGAAGUUAAUUUUCUCAGUGAAGUUACCAAUAGAGAAAAGUGCAGUGACUGUUGGGAAACUUAAACAAAGCGUAUCUUAGAAGAAUGAACAACAAGGGUCGGCUUGAGUAGACUUGAAGUACGUGUAAAUCAAAAGAGCUCACUCAAAGUCAAGACCCUCAAACACAAUGGAUGGGGAUCUAUAUUUCAAAAACAGGUAAGAUGCAUUGCAUAUCAUCUAACUUCACGAGCAUUGCAUAUUUGUUUUGCAGAUAUUUCACGAAACAAAACUCCUCACGGGAUCCAACGAGACUCGGAUGAAAUGACGUCCUUCUAAAUCAUAUCAAGUAUGGCAAUUCCACAAAGGCAAAAUUCAUGAAUGAAGACGAGAAGAUGGAUUUUUAUUCAUAGGCAUAAUGGUUUACAAGUACAAACGUUAAACACUGCGAGGACGAUUAGGGAUAUUUUCAUCUUGAUGGCCAAUCAUGCCUCGGAAUUCCUCAAAUUGCUUAUGCAUGCGCUCCAUCUCUUCCUCGAACUCGAGGUGUCGGGUGUUAACAUAGUCCCUCCAAAAGUCAACACGUGCAUUGAGCUCUUGGUUUCUCCUCUCCAAUUCGUUCCUGUGACGUCUCUCAUCACGGAGUCUUUUCCUUAAAUUCUCAAUUUGAUUAUGGAGCUCAGGAAUUUGAGUAUUCAACUCAAGUCUUCUGGUAUGAAGACGCUCCGCAACAUUCACCAAAGACGAAGUAGCUCUGAUACUGAGAGCAAGUGACUGAUUCACUGCUUCAAUAUCGGUCCUCGCUGCCAGCAUCAUUUCAUCACGAGGAAGGAUCAUGUCUCUAGCCACAGCUACAGCGGUAUCUUCAUCAUCCAUUACAGUAUCCUCUAUUGUAACUGGACGACCAUUCACUUCAAAGGUAGUACGCCAAACUACAGGCUCUGCCUCAGGAACAAGGUUUGGAUUAGCAUUGGAAGAAGAAGAAGACAUGGUUAAAACUUCAAAAGUUAAGAACUUUGAGAGUAUUGAAAAUGCGAGAAGUUGAUGAUGUCUUUUGCCCAAUACUGCGUGAUUUAUAGGGAAUCUGCUCCUACCAUCAUUUUGAACAGAAGAUGAGAUCUUAGUCGUAGAUACAAAACUUCCUUGGGAAGUUUUCCUCAUCUUUUGGGAUCCAUUUCCAAAUCAAAUCCCAACCGUACAUAUAAGACUUUCUUGAGAAGCUUUCCUGAUCCAUUUACAGAUCAAAUCUCAAUCGUACAUACAAGACUUUCUUGAGAAGCUUUCAUCAUCUCUGAGAUCGAUUUACAAAUCAGAUCUCAACCAUACAGGUAUGACUUCCUUUAAAAUUUUUCAUCAAUCUUAAAGCUCAUUGCUGAAAUCACUUUCAUGUAUUUCACAAAACCUAUAUUGAAAUCACUUUCAAGCAUUUCACCAUCGGGCAGGUCGCCUGGAACAAUUUGACCACUUGCGAGUUUCCUCGCAUUUUUUUCAUUUAUCGGGCAGGUCGCCUGGAACAAUUGACCACUUGCGAGUUUCCUCGCAUUUUAUCAUCGGGCAGGUCGCCUGGAACAAUUUGACCACUUGCGAGUUUCCUCGCAUUUUUUUUUCAUUUAUCGGGCAGGUCGCCUGGAACAAUUUGACCACUUGCGAGUUUCCUCGCAUUUUUUUUCAUUUAUCGGGCAGGUCGCCUGGAACAAUUGACCACUUGCGAGUUUCCUCGCAUUUAUCGGGCAGGUCGCCUGGAACAAUUUGACCACUUGCGAGUUCCUCGCAUUUUUUUCAUUUAUCGGGCAGGUCGCCUGGAACAAUUUGACCACUUGCGAGUUUCCUCGCAUUUUAGCAUCGGGCAGGUCGCCUGGAACAAUUUGACCACUUGCGAGUUCCUCGCAUUUUAGCAUCGGGCAGGUCGCCUGGAACAAUUUGACCACUUGCGAGUUUCCUCGCAUUUUAUCAUCGGGCAGGUCGCCUGGAACAAUUAGACCACUUGCGAGUUUCCUCGCAUUUUUUUUUAUCGGGCAGGUCGCCUGGAACAAUUAGACCACUUGCGAGUUUCCUCGCAUUUUCAUUUAUCGGGCAGGUCGCCUGGAACAAUUGACCACUUGCGAGUUUCCUCGCAUUUUUUUCAUUUAUCGGGCAGGUCGCCUGGAACAAUUUGACCACUUGCGAGUUUCCUCGCAUUUUAGCAUCGGGCAGGUCGCCUGGAACAAUUUGACCACUUGCGAGUUCCCUCGCAUUUUAGCAUCGGGCAGGUCGCCUGGAACAAUUUGACCACUUGCGAGUUCCUCGCAUUUUAUCAUCGGGCAGGUCGCCUGGAACAAUUUAGACCACUUGCGAGUUUCCUCGCAUUUUUAUCGGGCAGGUCGCCUGGAACAAUUAGACCACUUGCGAGUUUCCUCGCAUUUUUUUUAUCGGGCAGGUCGCCUGGAACAAUUAGACCACUUGCGAGUUUCCUCGCAUUUUUUUUUAUCGGGCAGGUCACCUGGAACAAUUAGACCACUUGCGAGUCUCCUCGCAUUUUUUUUCAUUUAUCGGGCAGGUCGCCUGGAACAAUUUGACCACUUGCGAGUCUCCUCGCAUUUUAUCAUCGGGCAGAUCGCCUGGAACAAUUAGACCACUUGCGAGUUUCCUCACAUUUUUUUCAUUUAUUGGGCAGGUCGCCUGGAACAAUUUGACCACUUGCGAGUUCCCUCGCAUUUUAUCAUCGGGCAGGUCGCCUGGAACAAUUUGACCACUUGCGAGUCUCCUCGCAUUUUAUCAUCGGGCAGGUCGCCUGGAACAAUUAGACCACUCACAAAAUUCUUUGCUUCCAUUUUCACCAGCGGGCAGGUCGCCUGGAACAAUUAGACCAACUGAAAAAUCUGGGUAUUUUUCAACACCGCCAUCGUUUUUCUUUACAAAACUUACUAUGCAAAGUCAAAAGAAAAUGAAUUUUCCAAUGUCUUUGCACCGUAAGCAUUGUAAAGAGGGGGCAACUGUUGUAACCCAAUUUUGGAUUCACCAAGUUUUUCUCGAAUGAUAUUUUAUUUCUAUUAUUAUUUAUAAAAAUCCAAAAAAAAAUAAAAAGGGUUUAAAAUUCAAAAAAAUAUUUGUUCUCGAGUCAACCGCAUCUUUCCAUCAAAACCGAGUUCACCAGGUCAAUACUGGUCAAAUCAUGUCGACCAGGGGGAAAAAUGAGUUUUCAGGUUGUUUCGGGUCAAAACCGUCAUUUUCAGCCAAGACCAAGUUCACCGGGUCAAUACGGGUCAAACCAUGUCGACCAGGGUAAAAAAUGAGUUUCAGGCUGUUUCGGGUCAAAACCGUCAUUUUCGGCCAAGACCGAGUUCACCGGGUCAAUACUGGUCAAAUCAUGUCAACCAGGGUAAAAAAUGAGUUUUCAGGCUGUUUCGGGUCAAAACCGUCAUUUUCGACCAAAACCGAGCUCACCGGGUCAAUACGGGUCAAACCAUGUCGACCGGGAUGAAAAAUGAGUUUCAGGUCAUUUUGGGUCAAAACUGUUAUUUUGUGGUCAAAACCCGGUUCACCGGGUUGAUACCUACUGACAGUUUUUUUUUUUUUUUUAUGUUUCGACAUAAUUUUCGGUAAUUAAAAUUAAUUUUUAGCGGUUGAGUCGGGCUUUUUCUAAUACUGAUUUGAGUUUUUAAUUUUAUCUAUAUAAAUAUUUAUUAUUAUAUAUAAUAAAACAAAAAAACUUUUUUGUCAUAUUAGGCAUAUUAGGUAAUGUUAGGUAGAGAUUUUUUUUCUUCCUUACAAUUAGGCAAUAAUUAGGCAGAAAUCAACUAUUCACUGGCUAUAAAUAGCCGUGACAAUCGUGAGUAAAAAAAAAGAAGAAAAAGAAAAAAGAGGGGAACGGGAAAACAAAGCCAGAGAAGAAGAGAAAGAAUGGUUACUGUGCAUAUUUUUUGAGUUUUUCUUCGCAGGAGUAGGAUAUUGUUUUCUUAAAAAAACAAUUUAAAAAAUACCAAAUAUAUCCCAACUCAUCUCAGCCAUUGAAAUAAUCCAAGACUUAAUCCCGUUAAGCCACGUCAUCCGGUGUACCGAGAUUUCGGUACACCGCGUCACACCGGAUCUAAACCCAGACUCAUCCAGACCGUGCGAUCGACCUCAGAUCUAGCCAAUCACAGCCAUCCGAUCAUUCCAUCAGAGAUCCAACGGCGCACAGUGUUCAGUGGUACCGGUAUACCAUGCACGCUUUCACACCGUAGCCUAAUCUCGGACACUCUCUCUCCUCUCGCCGGCGACGUCCUCUCUCUCAUCCGAUCUCCACUUUCCGGCCGCGUCCAGCCUCCGAACCACCGCAGAAAGGUUGAUCCACUGGUGUAAAGCAAAACCCCGGCGUUUGUAACCGUUUUCGCCGCCUCAUCUGGCCGGAAAAAGGCCGCGAUCCUCGCCGGCCACAGAAGCUUCAAGUCGUCGAUUCUCCCUCGUCAGCCAUCAACGGACGUCGAGACCACAACCAUCAGAAUCCUCUCCCUUAGAUCUACCAGGAUCGACGGUUCGUUUCCCAGAAAACUCGCCGGGAAACUUCGCCAGUGCCAACAGUAGCCGCGCGUGAGCCACACGCGCCGCCAGUGGCAUUUUCGUAAAUUCCUGAGAAAUUCGAGGGUAUUUCAGUCUUUUACAUAUACAGGGGUACUCAGGUAAUUUUUGUUGAAUUCCUAACAUUUUAUUUUAUGUAAAUAUUUGUAAAUUUUUAUUGCAUGUUGUAAAACAAAAAAAUAAAAAACAAAAAAACAAGUAUAAAAAGAAUAACGACGUGGGUCCAACGCCCAUCCCAUCAUGUUAUUGUUUGUGGGUCCAAAGCCCAAUUUUCAAAUAUAGUUAUACCCAUAUCUCAACAAUAUCAAAAUAUUUGUUUUUAUAAACAAAUAUUGUUUGUGGACACGUCUCUUUUUAUAGAAAAGGACCGAUGUCAAAUAAAAACUUUAAAAACCAAACAAAUAUGAAUUAUGUCCAUAAUUUUGUUUUUUUGGUAACUCGGACGUAAAUCUCCUUUUUAGGGUUAAACGUCGAUAUCUUAGACGAGUCUCCUAUUUUUAGGGACUGAUGUCAUUUUUAACGUGUCUCCUAAUUUUAGGGACCGACGUUAACUAUUUUAUAAACAAAACAAAAAUUACAAAUAAGCUCAAAAUAUAAUAGCAUUUGAAUCAAAUAUAAAAACACACAAGUAAGGGUAACCUUUCUUUUGAAAGGAUGUUUUAAGGGUGGUGUCUACCUUCCCUUAAUCAUAACUAACCCAGUACCUGAAUCUCUGGGACCAGUGUCUAAUUUGGGAUUUCUAGUUCCCUCAAAUUACUAGAUGGCGACUCCAAUAAAAUCUAUUUCCCCCAAUAAUAAAAAAUCUUUUUUUGUUAAAAUACAACAAAAAGAGCGGAGUCGUCGCCCGACGUCGUGUAUCGACAAUACUCUUCAAUGGUAGGAACCAUAUCGACAUCCCCAAAUGUAAAACAUCGAUAAUCAGGAUCCCAAAAAUGAAUCAGAGCUCUUAUGGCCAAUGGCAGUACCGGCACAUUUAAAAGAUGCAAAACUCUCCCAUAUAUCUUAGUAAAUUCUGUCUCAUCAUCCAAAUAUUUGGUGAGUGGAAUCAAACGAAUAGCAUCAUUUAUUACACAUCUCACCUCUUUUAGCAGCGGUAUCCCACUGUCAUCCAGUCUAGGGCAGUCUCCCUCGGUCAUAUGCAAUGAUUCAGAUUCAAGCCCAUACUCAAUAGUGUUGACUUCUCGAUUAACAGCCAUUAUGUCACCCGAAAUAAUAAUCCUGUUAUGAAAUGAUAUAUGUUAAGCUUUACUUUAGUGAAACUUACAUAGGGAACAACCUAAAGGGUAAGUUCUAGUCAUUACAUGCUUAGGGUAGGUUGCUAUCUAGUCUUUGAAAGGUCUUUCGCAUGCUCAGUGAUCUUCCUCGAAAGGUUGAUGUGAGGCUUACAAGUAGCGUGAAGAUAGAGGCCCUGAAUAAUAUCAGUUUAGGCAUACCAACCACUAUCGAGUAAACAAUCAAGCGAAAGUUGGAUGGUUUCACGAGUCUUACCCAGGCCAAAGCCAUUGGGGUACCGCUACUCUCCCACUUAACAUAAAGUUUGUAUAACAGAUAUUUAUUAUGAAAUGCGUGGUGUGUGAAGGCACAAAUCUAUAUUCAAUGUAUAUGAUGACGUGAAUAAAUAUGGAUGCUAAAGCAAUAAAAUAAAAUAAACUAAAUAAAAUAAAAAAUAAUAAAAAACAACACAACAAACAUUUAUAGCAAUUUUAACAAAUAAAGACAAAGCUUAGUCUUAAGUCCCCAGUGGAGUCGCCAUUCUGUCGCACCCGACAUCGCGGCGGCCUUAAAAAUUAAUUCUUGAAUUAUGGAAAAAGAACGAUUUCAUGCAUCGUGUUCUUUUAGGGGAAAAGGUCUUUGUUUAAGGAGUCGCCACCUAGUAUUAUGGUCACUAGGAACCCUAACUGGUCCACAGAGAUUCUAUGAUCCGAGACUGGUUACGUAGAAGGGAAGAUAUUAUCACCCCUUAAACGUCCUACCUAAGGUAGGCUGCAUUGCUGGUCUUUGUUAUUAAUUGCUAACAUCUUUAUUGGUUUAUACUAUGAUUUCUUGUGUACAAUAUUCCUGACUCUGGCGCCAGUGAAUAUUCAACUACGUAUAUUUCCAACUCUGGCGUUGGUAAAUAUUACGUAGGUAUCAAAAUAAAUUCAUAUCAUCAUUUUUAUUAUAUUCCUGACUCUGGCGUCAGUGAAUAAACAAGUAGAAAUCAAUUUUUUUUUUUUAUGCAUGCGAAACAAAAUAAAAUAAAUUUAUCCUAGUAUUUUUUUUUUAUUCCCGACUCUGGCGUCGGUGAAUAUACUAAAUAAAUUUAUCCUAUUUUAUCUUAUGUGAAUAAAAAAUCAAUUCAUUUCUUUAUCAAAUUAUUUUUUUAUGCAUGCGAAACAAAAUAAAAUAAAAUAAAUUUACCCUAGUAUUUUUUUAUUCCCGACUCUGGCGUCGGUGAAUAUACUAAAUAAAUUUAUCCUAUUUUAUUUUAUGUGUUUUUUUUUUCAAUGAAUAAAAAAAAUUAAUUUAUGUAUAUAUUUUUUACAUACACAAUUUUUAUUAUAUAUUUUUAAUAUUUUAUAUUUUUUACCUUUUUUUUUAUUUAUUUUUGGGCUGGGCUGGGCUAAAUCCAACCCAGCAAGUAUAUAUAUUAGUGGCUGGGCUCAGCUCAGCCCCACAAGGGCUGGGCUGAACCCAGCCAGCCCGGCCCGGGUCACUGGCCCAAGCCAGUGACCCGGCUACACAAGAUGCACGCGUGAAACAGAUCACGCGUGCAUCAACAGUGCGAAGGUAAUUAAAUUACCUUCGCACUGUUCAAACAAUUAUUUGAACACGAAGAGCAGAGAAAAAAUGGAAAAGGAAGCGAACCUGUUUUUGGAGAUUGAAGAAGAUUGCAACGCUGGUCUGGCCGCUUUGAGUUGACUGCUUUCUGUUUCUGGCGAUGCUGAGGCAGGCUGAGGCGACGGUGUGACUCGACUGCUCUAUGUCAAUGAUCUACGGUUUGGUGAUCAAUUGGGUUUCUGUUUUUGGAGAUUGAAGAAGAUUGCAACGCUGGUCUGGCUGCUUUGAGUUGACUGCUUUCUGUUUCUGGCGAUGCUGAGGCAGGCUGAGGCGACGGUGUGGCUCGACUGCUCUAUGUCUACGGUUUGGUGAUCAAUUGGGUUUCUGUAGGGGUGAAAACAAUUCGGAUGAAAAUUGAUUUCUAGAAGGGAUGAAAUCUGGCUGGUGAUACUGUUCUUCUCUGACUUUUUUUUUUGUGUUUUGUUUGCUCUGUUUUUUUUUGUUGGGUUGCUGCCUUUUGGGUUGUUUUUUUUUGUUCUUGACUCUGGUUUUCUGGGUUUAAUUCUCUGCCUUGCGACUAGGUUUUCUGCUCCCUUUUAUAGACUACCCAGCUCCUCUCCUUUAACCAGUCCUGUCUUCGCAGGACUCUUAUCUUCCCUGACGAGAUCGUGUGCGAUAGACGUGGUCCACGAUGGGAUCAACUUCGUUGCAGAUCUUCAGCCUGUUGAAUCGGGAUGCAGAAGACGAACACGACUGUUCCACCAUCAACGACGACGUUUCGGUAGCAAUGGAUUUCACCAGUAACGGCGACGUUUCAAGCAGCCAUGGACAUUUUCAAUUUGACCCCUGGACUUUGGAAAUUCGGCAAUUAGACCCCUAAGCAAUUAAAAGUUUCUUUUAAUUUUUCCCUUUUUUGAUUAAUUUCAAUUAAAUCCCUAAAUUAUAACACUAUUUACAAAAUAGUCUUUAAUUUGUGGAUUGUCCCAUUUGGCCCCUUAAUUAAUUAAAUUUUUUACUUUUAAUUCUUUCAAAAUUGAUCAAUUAACUCUCAAGUUACAUCCCCAAACUUCAAAAUUUAUUGUCUUAACCCCAUUGUCAACUAUAUUUAAUUUUUAUUAUUUGUUCAAAAUUUGGGUUAUGACAAUGCUAAUAAAAUAAAUACUGAGAAAAAAAAAAAACAACCUUUCUUUAUCAAGCCUGAGCAUCUAGUCAUUUGAAAUUUACAAAAAUAUCACCUCACCAUAAACCAUCAAAGAUAUACCCAAAAUCAGAGUUUAAAGUGGACACAAAGAACCAUGAAAAAGUCAUUUUACAUCUUACAACAGGGUCAUUUUUGUUUUCAAAAUACAAGACAAUCAAAGGACUGCAUUGAAUAGUGUGUUGGGUCUUUGACCAAAGGAGCUCGAAUUUCAAAAAUAACUUUUCAAAAACUGAUAUCUCUCUGAUUUCAUUUCAACAAUUAUACUUGAAUAGACAUGAUUGUUGAAAUGUGAGAUUUGAUCCCAGAACAAGAAAGAUUUUCAAACAAGAACAUCAAUUGAGUUUGCAAAAUUCGUGACAAAAAUGACAUCAACAUUUCUCAACACUCCUUGAAACGUUGACCACCUGGGGGCAAUACAGUGGACCCUUAGAAGAAAAACAAACAACAUUCUGAUCAGCUGGGGUCAAAGAAAGGAUCCGAUGAUGAGUCGUCAAAGUUCAUCAAAGUUAGGUUUAGCAUCUGACAAUGACAAAAAAAAACUUUCUUGAGUAUAAAUCGAUGAACAAACCUUCAGAUCAUACUGAGGUCAAUGUUGUUCAAAGACAAUCCAUGAUCUAGUGCACUUCAGUAGUAAUUGAUGAGCAACGCUGCACUAGAAAGAUAUUUUCAUAUCUUCAUCUUAGGUUACCUUGUAAAACAUGGCUAUGACUCCGGAACAGAUGUUAUCGGGUGAGUGCAUUUGGAUGAACAUCGAACAUAUGCACACCACUAAGAUUGACUAUGGGACCAUCUAUUCUGAAGCUCAAAUGCGCACUUCACCGCAGGAAUAUGGGUGAUAACAUGAACAUCAUUGAUGAUGCCAAAGCAGGUAUUUUCACGAUCUGAUUUGACAAGCUAAGAGGAAUCCAUAGAGAAAUACAUCGCGCUUACAAUGAUGAGCUGUUUACUGCAAAGCAUGAGAUACAUGUCUGGAUGACUUGGCAGCUCCAUGAAGGCUGGUGACCAUACAUACUUGAAUGUUGUUUCAACCGAAAGCAAGUUCAUGACUGAUUAACAAACGUGAUGGGUGUUGGCAUGAUGCACACAAUCAAUCAGAGGAUAAUUUCUUAGAAGAAGCCAGGAGAGAAAAUCUCUCAUGAUGAAUCAAGUAGUACUACACUUGGGGGCAGGGUCAAGCUUCAUGAAUGAUGCAAGCAGUAAUUGUCGAAGACAACCCGGGAUGGGCACUGCACUUACAGCUGAAUAAUGGCCAGUACAUGAAUGAGUCAAUGCAUCGGAAGAACAAAGAAAGCUUUGGGGAUGCAAACAAGGGCACCCUAUGACGAUGGAGCAUCAAAGAAGGGGGGGACCUAUAUUUCAAAUCAAGUAAGGAUGCAUGCAUAUGAUCUAACCUCAAAAAAAAAAAAAAAAAAAAAACCAUUUGCACAUAUUUUUGAAUUGUUACAGGAAAAUCCUUAAUGAGGUCCAGCAAGAUGGUGGAAAGAGAAAGAAGCAUUGUGGUGAUGAUAAUAAAGAAUCGGUUUUGAUCAUGGAAUAAAAGGACGAUGGGAUGAACCCUACCAUUAGGAAAAUCCCAAAGAAAUGAAUAGAUCAACCUUGCAACUGGGAAGCCUCGAGUUUUCAACCCUUGCAGUCAGGAAACACCGAGUUUUCAAACCCCAUGAUCGGGAAUUAUCAGGAAGCACCAAGUUUUCCAGCCCUUUCUUCUGUCAUCCCUUCAGAACUUCGCUAGGUAAGUCCUAUUUUUCACACUUGUCAUAUCACAUUUUUUCCAUCUGGGUAGGUCGCCCAUCAUAAUAAGACCGUUUUCACAUUUUUUCCAUCCGGGUAGGUCACCCAUGACAAUGAGACCGCACUUCAUCAUAUUUUUUCCAUCUGGGUAGGUCACCCAUUACAAUGAGACCACACUUCAUUUUUUUCACGUGGGUAGGUCACCCAUUACAAUGAGACUGCACUUCACAUUUUUUCCAUCUGGGUAGGUCACCCAUACAAUGAGACCAUCAUUUUUCUGGGGUUCGUCACCCAUACAAUGAGACCAUCAUAUUUCUGGGGUUUGUCACCCAUACAAUGAGACCAUCAUUUUUCUAGGGUUCGUCACCCAUACAAUGAGACCAUCAUAUUUCUAGGGUUUGUCACCCAUACAAUGAGACCAUCAUUUUUCUGGGGUUCGUCACCCAUACAAUGAGACCAUCAUAUUUCUGGGGUUCGUCACCCAUACAAUGAGACCAUCAUUUUUCUGGGUUCGUCACCCAUACAAUGAGACCAUCAUUUUUCUGGGGUUCGUCACCCAUACAAUGAGACCAUCAUUUUUUUCUUGGGUUUGUCACCCAUACAAUGAGACCAUUUUUCACACAUUCUUUUGUUUUGGUUAAAUGAGGUCGCCGGAUGGGAUCUCAGGUAGCUUUGGUUAAAGGGAAUCGCCAGAUGGGAUUUCAGGUUAACCGAGUUACGCAUAUUUCGUUCCAAUUGAAUGAGGUCGCUAGAUGGGAUCUCAUGUAGCUUUGGUUAAAGGGAAUCGCCAGAUGGGAUUUCAGGUUAACCGAGUUACACAAUAUUUUUGUUCCAGUUGAAUGAGGUCGCCAGAUGGGAUCUCAUGUAAACCCAAUGUGUGGGCAAGUCGCCCGUGAAAAUAGACCAUUGGGAGAGUGUGGGUCGGUCGCCCGUGAAAAUAGACCAGAGUGAGUAGGUGUGGGCAGGUCGCCCGUGAAAAUAGAUCAGUGUGAGUGUGUGGGCAGGUCGCCCAAGAUAAUACAAUCAUUUUCCUUUUGUUUUCUUUACAAAGCUUACUAUGCAAAAUUUUGAGGAGUUUUGCUUCGUAAGCAUUGUAAAGAGGGGGCAUCUGUUGCUACCCAAUUUUUGACCCAUGUUUUGAUAUAUUUUCAAAAAUCCAAAAAAUUGAGAAAAACAAAGAAAAUCCAAAAAUAUGUUUUUUAAUAUAUUUUCGUCAUUUUAGCAUUUUCAACGUCGUCUAAAAAAAAAUUUAAAUUGUUAAAAUAUUUUCAAACGCGUUCGACUUUUCACGCGUCAUUUUUAAAAUCAUUGAUUUUCCGCAUUUGAGUCGACAUUGAUAUUGCUCGUUUUCAAAAAAUACAAAAAAAUAAGAAAAAUCAAAAUUUACAAAAAGAAAGAAGUUGAGGGACCAAGUUGAAAAACUUGGCAACAUUUUUUCCUAUAAAUACUGGUCUUUAACUCAAACAAAAGGGGGGGGCUAAUUUUGGAAACACAAAAAAAAUAACAACAAAAAAACCCUAAACCUAAAAGAUUUUUUUUCUCUACAGCCGUUGAACCAAGCCAGCCCCCCCCCUCACCUUUUGAAAAAAAAAAUUUCUCUUCUCACUCAAUCGGCCAAACAGCCCCUCCCCGGUUUGAAUCAUUCUCCAAUCCCCGGCCGUUCCUUUCCCUUCUCAAUAGCAGCGCCUCCCAACUCUGUUCCCAAUUUCCAGCCAACGAAAGCCAAAAAGAAAGCCAUAGCCAGCCGGCGUCCCUCAGCCUUUGAAGAAAAAGAAAGCCAUAGCCGAUCCCCCAUCAUCAGAUUUUUUCCCUUCUUCUCAGCCACUUCACAGCCCCCCUCCCCCACCGGACUUUUGAUUUUUUUUCUUCCCCUUGGUUUUGAUUUUUUCAGACCACGCAGCCAUCCCAGCUCUUCUUCUCCUCCCCACUUCUCCCAACGCCAGCUCUCCUCUCACCGUUCACCAGAGAUUUCUUCCUUCACAGGCCCGACGCCUCAUGGCUUCUCUCUCUCGGCCACGAUCUCCACCGCCUCUCGCCGCCCGUCAUUUGGGCGAACCAGCGGCGUCUCCGCAGUAGCGCCGUCCAAAGAUCCAGCAGACCCAGCUCCACAGAACCGGCUUCCACCGAGCCACACAGCAGCAGGCAAUCUCCCCACCGACCGGACAACCACUCCUCACUCCACAGCAGGUCGGCCACAGAAGAAGAAGAAACCCACAGACUGAUCUGCAACGAAGAAGAAGAGAAAGAGGAGCAGAUCGAAAACGAUGCAGAUCUAAAAAAGGAACAAAAACAGAUUUGAAAUCAAAGAAAAAAACUAAAAUCGACUGCUGUGUGUUUAUUUCCUUGUUCUGUAGAUCACCGAUGGUUUAGGAAGACAGGAGAAGAAGAAGCUGUCUGGACCAGCUGUUUUCCAGCUCCUUCUCACGGUGGCGCGUGGGAAGACGCGGCGCCAGUGAUUUCUGCCCCAGCAGCCUUCCCGAGCACUGUUCCUGCGGUUCUAAGUGGACUUCCCUGCACUUCUUGGACUAUUUAGGGACUGUUUUGUAGUUUUAGAAUUGUUUAAUGUAAUUUGUUUAGUUUUGAUUUUUUUUGUAAUUUAUAUUUUUGUAAAUAUGGAUGUAAAAGAAAAGAAAAGAAAAAAGAAAAAAGAAAAGAAAAGAAAUAAAAAAAAUAGUGAAAGUGUAUGUGUGGGUUUGUAUUUGUUUUUUAUGAAUGUUUUUUUUAUUUUUCUUAUGAUAAAAUUGCAAAGAUUAAAGAAGAAUUUAAUAUUUUGAUUGGAUCACGGUCCAGAUUUAUUAACUUAUACGUAAGUUGUAUUUCUAAUUUCCGAUGAAAAGACAAAAUUUUGAAACUUCUUUAACACGUCAAAAAUCACGAAGCAGCUUACCUCAGGUAGGGUGCGUUAGGGGUGCUGAUACCUUCCCUAACCACAACCAGUCCCUUACCCGGGAGUCUCUGACAAGACCAGUACAUCAGGUUUCCUAGUAGCCCUCAAUAAAUUACUAGGUGGCGACUCCAACGAACCAAUUCAAGCAACGAACGCAACAUACGAGAUUUAAAUCGCCAGCCGAUGCCGCGCGCUGAUUUGAUUUUUUUUUUGGGUGCGACAGAAUGGCGACUCCACUGGGGAAGGUAUUUUUUCGAGUAUUGGACUAAGCUUUGUGUAUUUGAUGUGUUUAAGUUUUUGCAUUUUUAUCUUUUUGUUAAUAUUUAUUUCCAUGCAUUUUAUAGAAUUGUUUCAUGCAUCACCUGUAUUUAUUUUUAAAAGCACACACAAGCUUCUAGGUUAGGUGGGGAACUAGCGAUCUGCCCUAAGACUAUCGGUCAGGGUUCAGAUGCGUGAAACACCCAACUCAUAUCUGAGUGCCUGCUUGGUAAUGGUGGGUAUACGUGCCUUAACCAUUCCUUGCAACGCCCCCAUACUGUCUUUACGAACAACGUCACUGGGCAGAUAUGAGACCCUUUUUUUUUCUUUACACCGCUUCGCCUCAUUUUUUCUUCUUCUCCCCGCGCCGCUUCUCUUCUCUUCUCCCCGCGCCGCUGCACCUCAGAUUUUUGAAUCCUUCAAGAAUUUCACCUUCAAUCUCUAGCAAGAUUUAGUGUUGUGAAUCUUCCUAAAAUUAAAAGGUGUGUAUUUUUUUCCAAUUUAUUUUAUUUACUUUUAAUUUAUUUUUAGUUUUUUUUAUUUUUGUUAUUUUGUUGUUUUGGUGUUUUUUUUGGUAAUGUAGUUAAAGUUUUGAAUUUGUCACAUUAUUAAGGUAUGUAUAUUUCGUUCCUUUUAUUGAUGUAGGUUUUUUUUUUUUUAAUAUUUUUUAUUGUUUUGUUGUCAUAAUUAUAAUGAUUAAUUUGUUGAAUUAUAAUUGUUAAUGUUGAAUUAUAAUGAUUAAUUUGUUGAAGUAUAAUUUGUUCAAUUUAUUGAAUUUAUUUUUUGUCAUAUUUUUUAUUGUUUUGAAUAUAAUUAUUGAUUAAUUUGUUGAAUUAUAAUUGUUAAUGUUGAAUUAUAAUGAUUAAUUUGUGAAUUGUAAUUGUUAAUGUUGAAUUAUAAUGAUUAAUUUGUUGAAUUUAUUGAAUUUAUUUUUUGUCAUAUUGUUUAUUGUUUUGAAUAUAAUUAUUGAUUAAUUUGUGAAUUGUAAUUGUUAAUGUUGAAUUAUAAUGAUUAAUUUGUUGAAUUAUAAUUUGUUGAAUUUAUUGAAUUUAUUUUUUGUCAUAUUUUUUAUUGUUUUGAAUAUAAUUAUUGAUUAAUUUGUUGAAUUAUAAUUGUUAAUGUUGAAUUAUAAUGAUUAAUUUGUUGAAUUAUAAUUUGUUGAAUUUAUUGAAUUUAUUUUUUGUCAUAUUUUUUAUUCUUUUGAAUAUAAUUAUUGAUUAAUUUGUUGAAUUAUAAUUGUUAAUGUUGAAUUAUAAUGAUUAAUUUGUUGAAUUUAUUUUUUAUCAUAUUUUUUUAUUGUUUUGAAUAUAAUUAUUGAUUAAUUUGUGAAUUGUAAUUGUUAACGUUGAAUUUAUCUUAGGAUUAAUAGUUGAAUAUGUUGGAAUAAUUAGUAUAGAUUGGUUCAAUUGGUUGUGGCUAUUGUUAAUAUUUGCAGGUUUGUGGAUUUGGGUAGUAUCCAGUAUAGGGGAGGUGCUGCCGAUUUUUUUUUAACUUUUGAAUUUUAUUAUACAAUUAUUUAUAUAAAAUUGUUUAGAUGCGCAAAAUGAAAACCAGAGCUGGUCGUUCACGUCCAGUCGAAUCAAGUUCGUCUAGCAGCGAUGAUGAUGUAUCCUUAGGUGCCUCUCAAGAAGAGGCACCUACACCACCUGCGCCGUCAACCAAUGCUGCCUCUUCCAACGAUGUUUCACAUCGCAGAAGCGGCGUGCCUUCGCAGCGGAAUCAAUUUACCCGCAAGUACGAGGCACAGUGGAAGGACGAUCUUUCAAUGUAAGUUUGUUAAGGUUUUAGUUUUUUUUAUAUAUAAAAAAAACAAAUUUAAAACAUAAUUUAUGAAGUAAUCACUAUUUCAUUAAUUUCAUUUCUUUUCAGGUUCACAAACAUUGAGGCUGCCCGAGUAAUAUCAUCGGCGUUUAAAGCGUCGAUGGAGAUUCCAUUGUUUCAAUGGAGUCAGAUAUCCAGGCAUCGUGAAUGGAUGCCUCAAAUCAAUGCAUAGUUUCGUAGAUUUGAGGUUCGUGUUAAUAUAUAAUUUUCAGCUUAUUUCUAAUAAGUUCUAGUUAUAAUUGUAAAUAAAUUAUUAACAUUUUAAAAAAUUAUUUUUUUAUACACAACAUCGAUUCUGUUGGGACGAUGAACAUGACACUGUUGUGAGGAGGGUGUGGGAAAAUCACGUGGCAAUUAGGUAACAUCGAAAACAAUACGACUUUUUUUUUACAUAAUUAUUUAUGUUUUGAAAUGUAAUUUUUUCGUGCAUGAAUUAGGUUGCGUGAUUUUUGGUAUGACACCCAGAAAAAAGCAAAAAAAACAGCGAGGGAUAAGGGGUUCCAAGGCUGGAACGAUGUUGCGGUUUGGAGGGAUUUCAAACCAAUAUACAUCCCGGAAGAUAUAUGGACGCACUAUCUUCAGCACGUGACGUCUGAGCGGUUCACUCGACGCUUACAGUCUGGUGCUGGCAACCGGAAUCGGCCAAUGCAUGGCUCGGUGACAACGCACACCGGCGGCUCCGUUCCGUUUGUUGCACAUACGAAACGGAUGGUAAGAUUAAUUUAAAUGAAAUAUAUCGUUCAAUUAAUUUGUUGUUAAUACAUUUUUUUCAUUAUAGGCUACGUCUCUUAGACGUGAGCCGAGCCCUAUGGAGCUGUUUGUGGAGACGCACGUGCGGAGUCAUGACCGCCAAAAGGGGACGCAACAGUUCGUUGACAACCGUGCUCAACAUUUUGUGGUAUGUUUGUUCAACCAUUUUAUUUUGUAAGUUAUUAUUAUGUUUAUUGAGACCUAUAAUAAUCGGUUGAGGGAGAGAUACAGGGACGAUCCUUCGACCCAUCCGGAAUUCGAUCCGGAUUUGUGGAUGGAGGCUGGAUCGUCAGGUGGACCCGAUAAAAAUCGAGUUUACUGGCUCUCCAACACUACUGCCGCCAACUUGCGGUCGACCGAUACUGCUUCAACCGCUGGGAGCUCCCAAUCUGUAUCGAGCUCCCAAUCUAAGGAGUUUGUGGCCUUGCAGCAAAGGUGCGACCACCUAUCAGAGGCAUACACACAACUCAAAGAAGAGCAAAGAUUGGCGAACGAACAACACAAAGCAGAGUCUGAACAACAAAGAGCGGCCUAUGAAGAGCUUCGUCAAAUGGUCAUGAACAUGACACAAGGUGGAACAUGUGCGCCUAAUCCUUUUUGGCCGCCUAACCCUCAUCCUCCUCCUCCUCCUCCACCUUUAUAUUAAUUUUUAAUAAACAUUAUUUACAUUUUAAAUUUUGUUUAAUGUUUUUUUGAAACACAUUCAUUUUGUAAUGAAUAUUAUUUCACUUUGAGUUUUUGUUGCUUAAUAUAAAUUUUAUUUGCAUAAUUGGUUUGUAUUACCAUUAAUUUAUAUUAUUUUUUCUAAAUAACUAAAAAACAAUUAAAAAAAACAAUUACACAGGGAUUUACCGACGAAAUAACUCCGUCGGCAUUAGACAGUGUCUGCCACCAUCACCCACCAUCACCGACAUAUAGAUUUACAUAAAUUUACCGACGAACGUUCUAUCACACACCGACGGAAUAUGUCCGUCGGUAAAACUAUGAAAUCUUGUAGUGAUUGGUAUUAAAAAAAUAUAAUUUUAAAAUAAAAAGUAUUUUAAAAAACACUCCCCAUACAUAUAACAAAUAGUAGGUCUCAACAAUCAUAAAGUCACUCACAAUGGGAUUAGGUCCUCUUUUUGUUUUUUAAAGCAUUUUUUUUAAAAAAAUAUUUUAUAUUAUUUUUUUAUUUCAAAUUAUUUUUUCUUUGUAUUUUCAAAUUAUUUUAAUAUGCUGAUAUUAAAAAUAAUUUUUUUAAAAUAAAAAUUAUUUUAUUUUAAUAUAAUUUUAAAUAAAAAAUACUUUAAAAAAUAAUUAUAACCAUAUUUUAAAACAAACUCUAAAAUGUGAAUAUUUCACGUUCUGCUGCAAAAUGCAGUGUGGGCUGGUUACUUUGCUGAUGCACAGUAACCAGCCCAUUUGGGCCCGAGCCGGGACAUCAGCCCAGCCCACAGUAGAUGAGCCGGAUCCGGCCCUGUUUUUUUUUUUUUUUACUAUUUCCUCGCAUAGUUUUACGCUUUUUUAUAUUAGUAACGGAAUAUAUUUUUAUGUCGUUAAAAAUACAAAAUCCGGUAUUUAAAUACAUGGUUUUCUUCAACUUAAAAAAAAUUGAAAAAAAUAUUUUUGUGCAUACGCCCAAGUGUCUCAAAGCUAAAAAAUCAUUUUGUGUUUUUCAUACACCAAAAAAUAAUGCUUGCUCAUUCAUUUUGGCUUUAACAACUAGUUUAUUAAAGUCAAGAGAAUAUUGAUCAAAAUUUCAAAAAGAAGAAAAAUUUUAUUUUAUUUUGUUUUAAUAUCAGGGAUUACAAAUUUAUAUGUAAAAUAUAUUCUUGAUAUUAAAAAAGCUAUUUUUUUGUUGACAACAUAGAACAAUUAGGUUUUAUCCCAUUAAUAUAAGAACCUCCUUACAGAAAAGGGCUUUUCUUAAAACUUAGAGAGGCAGGACUAACAAUUAGAAAUCACAACAAGACUUUAGAUUUUAUCAGACAACAAAACAAUGCAGCUUACCUUAGGUAGGGCGUAGUUGGGGUGCUAAUACCUUCCCUUUACGCAACCAGUCUAUGUAACCGAUCUUUGAGACCAGUUAGGGUUUCUAGUAACCAGAAUACUAGGUGGCGAUUCCCAUUCAAAUUCUCCACUGAUAAGAGACAAGAAUUCAUUGUCUUUUCAUAUUUUGCCAAAUACACCAAUACAAUUUUUCAUGAGGGUGGACGAUCGCAGCGACGCCGCACACAUGCGACAAUCACUUUAUUCUUGGUGGAGCAUUUUCAAAAUAAAAGUUUUCAAGUCUGAAAAUAAAGUGUGGAAUUAAAGAUGUGGUGAGUGUUGUACUACUAAUUCAAUAUUGAAGAUCUAUAAAGAAAGAAGUGAAUUGACAAUUCAAGUAAGGCCAAGUUCAAGAAAUAAUUUUUAUUUUUUUUAUCAAUAAAAGAAAUGUUAGUCCUUGUAGGAAACGUACAAGGAUUUUUAAGCUGUAGGAUGAUAUUUUUGGCAUUUUAGUUUCUCAAUCUUAAUAUUAAACAACAAAAUAUUCAAUUGUUUUGUUAACAAAUUCCCUUUGUAGUUUAUAAGUAACAAUGAAAAUAUGUCGAUUAUAUGCCUUGAUGAUAGGAAUUGAUAUUUGUGUUUUGGUAGAGCUGGGAUGCUGGCAUUUCAACUUUCCUUCCCUUCUUUGCAGGCGGACUUUCAACUCCAGAGGAAGAAGAAGAAGAAUAGUGCAAGUGGAAAUGACAUCAUUUUGGUCUGGGAAUGAUCAUUUCCAAUUUGAUCCUUGAAGUUUUGAAAUUUUGCAUUUAAGCCCCUGAUCUUUUAAUUUGAAAUUUUAACCCCUUUAAAAUUAAAUUAAAAGCAAAUGGAUCAAAAUUGAGUUAUAACAUCCAUAAUAUUGGAAUGCAUUAUCUUAAAGAUUUAUCAAACAUGUACUUUUAAAGUGAAGUUAAUACAAAUUAUACUCCUUUUUAUUUGCUUAGUUUUUUCCUAUUAGAUUUUACUUUGCAAGGUUUUAAUGAGACAAUUUGAUAUUUUUAUGAAUUCUAAAGAAUUCAAAUAUAAAUUUUGAAGUAUUUAUAUUAAACUUUUUAUUGAAUUCUGAAGUAUUCAGAAAUUAAACAAAAAUAUUGUAAUUUUUCUCUUUAACUUAGAUGUUUUUCCAUUGGGUUUUAAAUCUUUCAAUGUUUACACGCUCUUCGUGUUGGAGCAUGAUUUAUUAAUCUUAAGAUAUUAUUUAACUGCUGAUCGAAGAUAUGAUGAGAUAGUUAAAAAUCAAGAAAUCAUUGAAAUGAAGGAGCUAUUACAAAAUAGAGGAAGAAUUCACAUAACAUUGACCAAAUCAAAGUCUGCAAUUACUAAUGACAUGUGUAGACAAACCCCAAUGAAGCCAAAUUAAUCACAGCCAGCAACCUCGACAUUGGGAACCUAUAUAGGAAGAAGUCACGUAAUAUUGACCAAAUCAAAGUCUACAAUUACUAAUACACGUUUAGACAAACUAUGGAAACCCCAGUGAAGCCAUAUCACAGCCACCAGCCUCGACGUUGGGGGUACGCAGGGUAAUAGAUGAUUAAGGGGAUUUGUUUGUUUUUUUAAUUCAUAUUUUAUAAUUAGUAGUUAAUAGAAUUAGAUUUUCUAAUUAAAUACAUUAAUGUAAUAAUAUUAAGUAUGUAUUCUUAAAAUUAUUAAAAAAAUACUUAAUCUCAACUAACUUUGAAACUAAUUGAAGGUGCAUUGAUUGUUGAGGGAAAAAUAAACACAGACAGCAAAUAAUUACUCCCUCUUACACAUUCCAAAGCCAAUAAAUGCAUCCUUGAAAUGUAAUUAAUUCAAAUUAUAAUUUGUGAAAUCCUGAUCUUGGGCUCAAUUAGCUCAAUUAAAAAGCUUUAACUCUAAACAAAUUUAAUUUUGAAUAAAAAAAUCAUGGAAAAAAUAUUAAUAAAAAAUUUACAAAAAAAAAGCAACAAAAACAAUGGAGAUAAAAUUUGAUUGGAAUUUUUUUUUUUAAAUGAUCCUAAAUAAAAUAAAUAGCAACUAAAAUAAUAAGGACUAAAUUUGAAAGUUGAAAAAAUUAUAGGGGGAAAUUGAAUUAAAAAACAUUUGUAAUUUGAUAGAUUAUUUAUCGAUUAAAAAAAACAGAUGGUGAAAUUAAAAAAUAUUUGUAAUUUGAUAGAUCAUUUAUAUAUUUAAAAAUUGUAAGGAAGUUAAAUUGAAAAAAAAAUUAUAAUUUAAAAAAUUAUUUAUAGAUUAAAAAAUUAUAGAAGUGUCAAAUCGAAAAACAUUUGUAAUUUUAUAGCUCAUUCUAAAAUAAAAAAAGUAUUAAUCAAAAGGAUAUGAACCAAAUAUGAAGAAAAAAAAUUAAAGAGGAUGCUCUGAAUUUUUGCAUGGGUGACAUAAAAUUUGUGGAGAGAGAAGGGAAAAAAGGAAAAGAAAUGGACUCUAUGUCAAACUAGCACACUACUAUGUAAAAAGUGUUGAGAUCUUUUAAACGUCACCUGAAAAGCUAUUUUUGGUGGUCGGACAGUCCCGCACGCACGACCUAAAUAAUACGAGGACUACUCACACACUGGCUAAUGCGUUGCAUGUACAUGCCAACAAAUUUUUUUUAAAAUAAUAUUUAAUAUAUGUUUAUUAUAAUAAUAAUAAUAAUAAUAAUACCCAAAAAACCCUCAAAAUCUACAACAAAACCAAUAUCAGAUGAAUAAAAUAACAGAGUUAUACUUUUUGGGUCUCAAAAGAUACCUAAGUUAUUAACUAUUUUGAAAAAAAUAAAAGGGCAAAAACACCCCCAAGACUAAAGUAUAAGAGUUUUGUAUUCCAAAGCCAUUGUAGUAAUUUUACUUUGUAAAAUAAAAAUAAAAUGAUAAAUAUAACUUCAUAUAAUAUGUUAAAUACAUGUUAAAAAGACAGUUUUACAUUCAAAGCUUAAUUAGUUUAUUGUCAUUUUAGUCUCCGAACACAUUCUUGUGAUUGACCAGCAAAACAAGGCUACUUUCCUUUUGAAAUUCCUCGUUCAUCUAAGCCAUGUUUGCCCCUUUAAACUCAUUGACUGCAACCAAGGUCUUAUCUGCUAAAACUCCCAAGUUUCUGAUCAUCAACAUAAUUGUUGGUUUCUUUUGCCUCACCGAAAAUCCUUACUCGCUGAUGCUUUAAGCCACUCCCUCGUUUCCUCUGAAGUUUUUCUCCUCACUUUUUUUCUUUUCCUGCACAUCAUGUAGAAUUGUAGACAAAUGAUUACAAGGAAAAUUGUUGCCCCCCAAUAGCUGCAAAAAAAUGUCAACGAGGGAUGCGCGUAACUCACAAAACGAACCAAUGGAAAGGAUACAUUUACUAAAUUGUUACCAAGUGAUGAGCAUUCAAAUCCAAUUAUUUUCUAUUUUAUUGUUUUACAGUUAAGAGUUUCCAAAGUGGUGAUAGGCCGUUAAUGUUACUUACAAGCCCAUCACCAAUAAGAUAUAGCAACUAUUUUAAAAUCCGACAUGACUUGAUGGUUUACCCAUGAUUCUGGUGACUUAAAGCUUAGGUCAGCAAUGAUUUCAAAACAAUUGGGAGAAUUAACCUAAUAAAAAUUCUCAUUGACCCGAGACUCAAUCAAAAAAUGUUGUUUUUUUUUUCUUUUUAAAUUUUAUUUAAAUGAUGUUAAUUUUACUUUUUAUAAAAUUAAAAAAUUAAGUUAACCCAAAUUAAUUACCCUGAACCGAAACUUGAGACUUGCCAAAACUAUGUUUACAGUUGCUCAUGCAAUGGCUAGAAAAUGAUGGGAAUCUUGUUUUGGUAAGAAUUCGUAUGCUAUGGAAAUUUGAGCUAGCUGUGGAGCUUUCUCUGUCUGUGAAUGUAGGUAAACAUCACUGAAUUUGGUUUGAUUAGGAAAUCGAAGGUACUCGUCAAUUUCGCAAAACAAUUUCUUUUUGAGAGAGUAUAUUAAUUAGUCCUGUAAACACAAUUUUUAUUUGAACACAGGUGACAAAAGAUAAGGUACAUCUGGAUUCUUGAAAAAUGUCAAGCUUCCAAGUUCCAGGAGAAUUACUAGAGACAAUAACUCAAGAACAUCAAUAGCCAUAAUCUACAAUUUAUUAAUGGAGCUAUCUGACUUAUUGAAUGUUGGAAACUGAUUGUGGUCUGACUUUAACUGCUGUUAGUGUAGUUCUCGAUCUGCAAUGAUAUCACAGUCUGGGAUUGAUCCAUGGGAGGACUUGCAUUCUUGCAGAAAGAUUGUGAUGAUUCGCCUAACAAGUAGUCUGUUUCCUCGCUAUUUUGCUGAGCCAAUGAUUUCUGAUGAAGAGCUUUCAGCUUAGCAAGCUCAUCGGACACUUCCUUCAUGGUUGGCCGGUUUACUCCCAUGCUAUUUAGACAUCCUUUCGCAAGCUCAGCUACAGCUUCUAUCUCAUCCAUUUCACCUUCAUUAGCUGUCUGGAAAUCCAAAAUUUUGAAGAGAUGAUUAUUUUGCAGUGCUGAGAUGAAGUGUUGAAUAACGUUCCGUUUCUCUCCAGACUUGGAAAUGGAGUUUGGCAUCUCUCCAGUGAGAAGCUCCACAAGAACUACCCCAAAGCUAUAGACAUCACUUUGAACGGUUAAAAUACCCGUCAUAAGAUACUCAGGAUCCAGGUAGCCUAGAGUCCCUUGUAUUUUUGUAGCUAAGAUAUUGGUUUGGCCAGGAGACAUCAGCACCGAAGCUCCAAAAUCUGCUACUUUUGCUGUGCAAUUAUUGUCUAGAAGUAUGUUUACUGACUUGACAUCUCCAUGAAUAACUGGAGGGUCUGCCAGAGAGUGCAAAUAAUCAAGCGCAAGCGCAGUCUCCGAUGCUACCCUCAAACGAUUGGUCCAGGAAGCCAAUAUCCGGGAACCUUUGUCGUGGAUGUGCUUGGAAAGAGUUCCAUUUGAGAUGAACUCAUAGACCAGUAAUGGAACUUUGGUCUCUAAACACAGGCCCAAGAGCUUUACCACAUUCUUGUGAUUGACCUGUGAAACAAUGCUCAUUUCCUUUUGAAAUUCCUCAUUCAUCUGAGCUUUGUCCACCCCUUUGGACUUCUUGACAGCAACCACUGUAUUAUCUGUUAAAGCUCCACUGUAAACAGAACCAAAACCACCCUCCCCGAGUUUCCGAUCAUCAGCAUAAUUGUUGGUUGCCUUUACCAGCUCUGUCUCGCUGAAAAUCCGUACUCGUUGAUUCUUUAAAAAUUUUCCCCCGUUCUCUUGGAAGUUCUUCUCCUUUAUUCUUUUCGUGCAGAUCAUGUAGAGUAGCAGACAAAUAACCACAAGGAGAAUGCUUGCGCC